This 120465-nucleotide long non-coding RNA is filed under the name Physcomitrium patens. RNAcentral describes it as "long non-coding RNA (PPAT_LNC006277)". Lineage: Eukaryota; Viridiplantae; Streptophyta; Bryopsida; Funariales; Funariaceae. The record is from RNAcentral.
UUAUUUAACAAUUGCAAUUCUUGUGAACAAGCAUUUUGUAAAUUUGGUCUUUUACCACUCUCUAUAUUUGCUUGUUAAAUUUUAAGUUGAUAUUCACCACCAAAAGAUUUUGUUCUCAAAAUAAUCUCAUUACACAUCAUCCCAAAACUAAACAAAUCUAAUUUCAAAGCAUUUACCUCUAGCAAAGCUUCUCUACCUAUAUUCUUUUUUAUAACCUCUGGAGCCAUAUAUCCAAUUGUACCUAAAUUUUCUCCUCUUGUACAUACUUGUGGAUUGUCCUUCACUUCAACUUUUGAAAUACCAAAAUCAAGUAACUUCACAUGUACACAUGUCAUAUCAUCCACUUUUGAUAUAUCUACUAAAUUAACAAUAACAUUCUUAGGCUUCAAGCCACGACAUGCUACCUUCAAGUCAUGCAUGUAACACAUUCCACAUGCAAUUUGUAGCAUAAUAUCCAUUGCAAUUACCUUUGGAAGUGGCCCACUUUCUUUUAUCAUUGUAGAUAAGGUCACCUUUCCUUCUUCCAUAACAUAUUCAAAUUCUUUUUUUUUUUUUUAGAAAAACCACAACAAAAAAACUUAAUGAUGUUUGAAUGACUUAAUCCACCUAAAAUGCCAACUUCUUUUAAAAUUUCUUUUGUGUAUUCCUUUGAUAAAUCAACAAUAGGAGUAACCUUAUUUGCACUCUCCAAAUCCAACCAUUUUGUUGAAUAUAUUGCUACACCUCCUUGUCUUUUUCUACUCAAUAAAAUAGGUGGUCUUCUAUAUUCAAGAAGAGGAUACUCAUCAAGGAGAAUAAUAAUGUCUAAUCCACCUCCUUUAGCCUUUUCAAUAUCCCUUAUCCGUCCUAUAAGAUAAUGUGCAAGUUUCAUGUCUUCACUUCCAAGUAGUUGAUGUAAUAAAAUUCCAUUAAGCAUCUGGAGCAAUGACAAUAAAUCUUGAUCAACUUCAUCAAUACAUGUUGGAAAAAAUUUGGUACUUCUUUUAAUCUCAAUAAUUUCUUUAAUUUGAGUAGAAUAAUAAUAUUGAGAAAUAUUACAUAUGGUAUCACAACAACAUUUAAAGUCCACAAGAAGUUCUCUAAAAGUUUUUUUGUUAUCAAUUUGCAACACUACAAUCUUAAGCCAAUCUUCCUUGCAACAUUCUUCAAUCAAGGCUCUUGCUUUGUAUAUAAUUUGAAACAAGUCUUUUUUUGCUCCAUCAAACACAUUAGUGCAAGAUCUACCAAUAAUGCUUUGAAUUCUUUCAACACCCCUUGAAAAGUUUUGCAAUAGAUUCUUACAUUGUCUUUCAUUCAAUGUUGCUUCUCUCAAUGAUAUUGUAGCUUUUGUUAUAAUCUCUAUUGAUAGUUGCAAAAAGUCCAUUUUAUAAUACUUAAACAACCUUAGUUGCUAAAACUAUUUGUUGCAUCAAUAAGAAGUUUAGAAAUAGGUAGGAUCACAUAAUAUCUCUUCUAAUAUUUAAAAGAAACUUUUUUAAUCCACCACCUAACUUCAUUUCUAUAUCAUUUUAAUUCUUAGAAACAAUCUUAGCAAAAACCAUCAAAUAUGUAACUAGAAUAUAUUAUUAAUAUAAUAAUGCUCUAAACACUUAGUAGUAGCAUACUAAUAAUCCAUGCAUUUAUCCAACUACUCACAAUACAAUAAAAACUUACAAGUAUGACAAGAUCAAUGACUCUUAAUUAAUGAUAUAGAAUAUUGUGCCUAAUCAUUAUAAACAUUAAUGUCAAAAUAUAAAAUCACAAGGUGAACCAAAAAAAAAAACAAAUACCUUAAGUGUUUUAAUAGAGCUAUUCCAAUGUAAAUUCCAUAAGAAUUCCAAUUCCUCCAAAGGCAACUUCAAGUUAGAGCUUUCAAAAAACAAAUAUGCUUGUCUUUAUAAUUUAGAAUAUUUCAAGUUGGUAUACAUGUACACCUAUUGUUCACAAAGACAAGCAUCCUAAGAUGUCAAAACUAAAUCAUUAUCAAUUUAAUAAAUCACAAGAUACAACUCCCUUACAAACUUGAAAGCAUUAUAAUAAUCUUGUUCUAAAUUACUUUUUGGUCUUAGUUAAUAUUAUGAGACUUCUAUAUAUAAUAUAAAAUUAGCAAUGUUAUAACAACACAAUGAUCUAAUGACCUAACUUCACAAUACAAGGAAAAUAGUUCUAUAAAGGCCAAGGAAGGCCUUUAUAAUAACUAUCUUUUUUCCACAACAUCCACAUAGAAUAGAUAAAUUCUUGCAAAUUAAAUAUUCUACAAAUACUUCACACUAUAGAAGUUAUGUUCAUUUAUAACAAAGCUCAAUAAAUCAUAAUUGUUAAAGAAAAUAUAUUCUAAGAUAAUUCAUUUAAUUUUCUCAUAUUAAUUAAGAAUGUGUAAUACAUUAAUUAAGAAUAUGUAAUAUAUAUCAUACAUGAGUAAUAAAAAUGUAUUAUACAUAUAAACUAUAACAAUCAAAAUACUCUAAUCUUGAACAUACAUCUUCACAAAUUCCUCAUUUCAAAUAUAGGCUUGAUUUCUCUCCAUUACACCUCUAAAAUCAAUUCAAACAAUCAAAAACCAUAUAAUUCUCAAAUGAUUAAGACUAUUUACUCACCAUUAGAAAGCUAUGCUUAAUAAUGGAGGCAUUGAAAGUACACAAAGAAUAAAAAAUAAUGGCAAACAUGAUUACAAUUCAAAUUAAAGAAAAAAGAUAUAACCAAGUAAAAACUUCUAACCAAUGACAUCCUACACUUCCUAAAUCUAAACCUAAAUCCCACACUUCUUAAAUAUAAGCAAGGUUAAUAUUCUUCAAUACUUUCUAAUUCCAAAAACUAAAAGAAUUCCAAUCUAAAAUCACUCCCAAUUUUAAUUCCAUGCCAACAUGUUCAUAUCCUAUUUGAUAAAACAUCCUAAACAAAUCAAGACUUCAAUGAUGAUAACAAACACAAAUAUCAUAUAAUUUAACUCAUAUAAUAUGCACCAAGAUUACAUUAUUAUUAUUAUUAUUAAACUAUUCUUAAAAUCAUUUUCUUAAGUAAAAAAUUGUUUUCUUAUUCUACGCUCCACAUCAAAACAAUCUCUAUGUACAUAAUUACCAUCACUCUAUUCCACAACCCACAAAGCUGCAUCAUCGCAUAUGUUACCUGCUACUGGAUAUGGGUGUCAUAGGAACAGUAAACCAUGCAACGCUUGUCCACAACAUCCGCCGUGCUUAGCUUCUCUCGCCCGCGGUUGUCGUUAAUUGCUCCUUGAAACUCAACCAAGUGAUAGCUAUUUUGCAUCUGAAAUAACACAUUAAGCCCACUCAUCGUUAAGAGAUGAUCUCUACAUGUGCAGUGGUCAUCUCCCUCGCUCCUCUGCAACACAAACAAUGACCGCAGAGCUCAAUUUCGACUUCCGGAGCAAGACCGUCGUCAACAGCAAACUCGCCGGCGUCCCGUGACUGAGCCGCAAGUCCCGCGUGAAAAGGGCAAUAAUGAGGAGGCUUUUCCUAUACUAACGAAAAUACAGCAGUAAUUCCUUCACAGAAUGGUCGUGAAAGUGGUCAUGUUCUGUGACAGAAUGGUCGUGCCCUAAAUCUUGUCCUUCUUCAACUGCCCCAAGAGCCGCGAAAGCUCUUCAAUCACUCUUUAGCAUUUUUGAACCUUCGCCUGCGUCGUGCAUCCUCCGCUUCGUUCCUCGAUCAACCAGCUCAAGCACCAUGGCGGAGCAGGUGCUGUUGGAUGUCACAUAGUUGAUUGUCUGAAGAAGUUUUCUUCCUUUGGGAAUUUUGGCACUAGAGGUGUGUGAUUAGAGAUAACUAACUACUUUCUGGAGAAGCACGGAGAGCACAGAAGCCUGUUUCACCUGCUCUAGCCAAAGAGAGCAACGUCACAGAAUGUGAGGAUGCGUGGAAACGAGAAGAGAAGACACACAGCUUUCAGCGAGCGGGAGGCAGAUAGUGAGGGUGAGGCCAGGCCAGGCGAGAAGACAUCCACUGCAUGGCUGUGAAAACGCGUGGCUGUCGGAGGUGGCAGCCUUCGCGCCAGAAUUCCAGCGCUGGCUCCUUGCCCGAUAUAUCUGCAUGGCAUCCGCCCUAGAAGUAGCCGCGUGCACCACGUUGUAUACAGCCCUGGAACCGCGUCGAACUAUAAUAAAUAAAAGUUGACGUCGUCGCAGAACCAACCACAGAAAUCGACACAAAUGGUAUCCUUGAUUGAUAUCACACGUCGACAACUUGGACUUGGUUCUAGAUGAUAAUACACCACCACCCCAUAUGUCCUUCGCAUCCCGAUUUCUGGAUUUCAUUCGGAAACAGACAACUCAUUCUUUUUACCAAUAAGAUAUCAAAGAUUACCAUUUUACUAAGAUUUCUUACAUUUCUGAGUUAAAGCAGUUUCUUGUAACACUACAUUAUUUGAUCUCAUCUUGUAACAUGUUUUAAUGGUAACUCGUACAUUUGUUUUUACUAAUCGAUUUUCCUAACAAACCAAUGUUCAUAUCAGAGCAGCUCUUUGACCCAAAUCUUCAAAUACUGCACUGAAGAAAAUGCCUUCCACUACUCCACAAAGUACAGAAUAAAUUUGAGGCUUGCAGAUUUAUCUACAAGCAACUCAGCACAAGGAACAUGAUGGGGUGACGGCACAAAUUUCUUGCUCCUCAAACAGGCUAAGAGAUGCACAAGUUAGACCGAACAACGAUUCAAGUGACUCAAAUGGCUAUUUCUCAGUAUGAAAUAGGUGAUUUCUUAGGGCUAUUCAUGAGAUCAAAAAAACUCUAAUAGUUGCUGCAGCAGCCAUGCUUGGCUUCUCACUAUGUUCAUCUUCUGUAAGCAAUGCGCCACUAGAAUGCAGCAAACUGCUACUUGGAGGAGCUAACAUAGACAGCACCUACUCUGCCUAAGUCCGCUGCAGUUCCUGCAUCUUGUGGUCUUCAAGGACUUGCCUGUACAGAAACAAAACUCUUGUUUUGUGUACUCAACCUCAACAAUCCAACAGCUACGAGUUCUUUAAGUUAUCUAGAAGCACGAGCACUUUGAAAAUCAGGAGUGUAGUUUAGAAACGCAUGAAUCUAGGCUCCAAGUCCCAGGUUGAGGUAAAUUCCACUUACUUCAGAAGAGAAGCGAGUCGCUCAGGGUGCAUUCGCCAAAAAGAGCUUCCGGAACUACGGGUGAAUUCAAUAAGAUGUUAGAAAGCGAGAUGUACUCCAACUUUGUGCGUGAUUUGAUCAGCCACUCCGUAAUUGGAUUGGCACGGUACGCCACCACACUUGGAACCCUUGCUAACAACAAUUGCAUGCUCGCUGUUCCCGAUGUACACAACCCUGCAUCGCUUGCCUUGCAAAGAAAGAAAAUACAUUAAAAUAAGAUUAUAUUCACACCAGAUAAGCUUUGUAAAACAGCAGAAGUUCAAAUCAAUCUAGACAACCUGUGGAAGCAAAAUAUGAGGUCCUCCUAAAUCUUGAAACACCAGGUUUAGGGUUCUUAAAUGAAACAACACACGAAACAUUUACAUUUACAAUGAACAGCUGCAGCAAGUCAUUUAUACAAAGGUCUAAGCCACUACACCGUCGGUUUCACAGACAAAAAUAUGAAAGGAGAGCUUGAAACUUACAGCAAACGCAUCAUAUUUUUCGAGAUCUGAAGCAGCUGGAACAACUAUGGCAGGGAUUUCCCAUCUGGAUACGGAUUCUUGUACCAUGUUUGUGACAACAGAACUUUGUGCAGUUGGUACGACAGCUUUGAUAUGCGGAUAAUCUUCAGCUAGACGGUGCAUGGCGAUUCUGAACAGUGGCAGCAUGCGCUUCACUUCUUGAACGCGACUCCCAGGCAACACACUAAUAAUUUUUGUCCCUGCAAAUGAUUAGAUCUACUUCAGUGAACACUCGAAAUGACUAAACUCAAAAUUUCUCCAGAACUGGCAGGCAUUUAUUUAAGGCCUAUUAAGAGAACAUUGUUGAAAAUAUAAAGCAUACCAGACUGCACACCAUGUUUUUCUCGAAAAUUGGUCCCAAAUCCUUGAAUCUCCCAGUUCCUUGGUGCGCUAUUCUCUGCACUCUGCACAUGACAUUACUCAUCCUCAAAAUUACUUCGUGAGCUGAAACAAAACAACACAGAAAUAUGAUGUGCAAGAAAAAGAACUAGAAAUUAAGGAGCCUUACUAGAACUAGCAAUCGGAUGAAUUCAUGCAUGAGGGCUUAGGUACCAGAAGGCCCGUACAGGUACAUUCAUAUAGGGGUCUUCCAGUACAGGUUGUCCCACAAAAGUUGCUCCCAGUCCAUGAGCUUUAUACAUCGGAGCUUCGAAGGGCAAGAUACACAAAAGGUGGUCAACAAAUUCUUUCAUACUAUCCAACCUCGCAUCACCCAUUUUCCAUGCCCAGUAUGAUGGUGCUAAGUAGUGCACCAAGAUGGGCGGCUGCUCUGUUUUUUUUCUCGUAUAUGGCUGCACCACAGAAGGCACACGCUGGUCCUCAUUAAUUUCAUGAUGCAGAAGAACAGGAAUAUGAGGAAGAAAUUUCUCGUUGUUCGAACAUGGAAUAAAAAAUGAUGUACAAGUCAUGUCUCUUACUAUAUCAACAGGCACAAUGCUUGCAAGCAGUACCAAUCUCGAAGUGUCCGAACCCGAAAUCAUACUAUAACCAUUACUUGUCAGGCUGCGAAGCACACGAAACGAGAACCCUUUCGCGUCCACUGUGACAACUACAUGCGGCUCGAAAUCUACAACUUCUGCAACAGUCUGACGGAGCCGCCGCUAAUCCAUGACACAGCACAUUCAACAUGCAUGAAAAGUCGAUGAACAUGUCGACAAGAAAAUUGGUUGCACUAACGGACUAAAUCCACAAUAGAAUAUUAGAUACUCUAAUGAGCAGCGUCCAAAGAUUAGGCUAGAAUAUUAAGCGAACACCAAACAGCUGCGUCUCAGCUCACAUGGUUCGGACCUAAUGGAAAUCGAUAAGUGCAGAAGGUGUACCCAUAUGCGAAACAUGUGAGGAAAGAGCUCAGCUGCGCCCAUGACAGUGAUGUAUUCCAUCUUGAAUACAGAAUUCAACCCCUCUUUCUCCAUGUUAGCUCUGCUUGCAUAACCAAAUCUGCUGUCGAAAUGAAAGCAUCGAGAAAGACUACGAGAAAGGAAAAAGAAGAAAGAAAGAAUAUCCCUUGUAGGAUUCUUGAACAUAAUAUAUCUUAACGAAACUGCAUGCGAGAAGUAUGCAUACACCCCGAAUGCUAAAGAUUCAUUACCCGCCUACUCCUGCAAAACGCAAUGGCUUUGGUGACAAGCGGCGCAAGGACCCCAUGAGUCGACUUCCAAUGACAUCUCCAGAAGGCUCCCCUACCACUAUAAAAACCCGGAGCUCUUCGACGCUAUCCCCGACAUCCGAUGCCACAUUCGACAAGGGAGAUGCAAAUCGCGGAUACUUCAGACCAACUGCAUCUAAGAUCCUCCAUUCCGCAGCAACUCCAAGUGACCUCUUCACAAACAGCAACCCCUGCCGCAACAUGAGGAACCCCCGCUUCCUUCCUAUCUCCACGAAAACCCGUCCCCAAAAUCAGCCCUCAACCUACUCGCCCAAAUUGCGAAAUACUUCACAACCAAUCUGUUGCUCAACGAUGAUUACCCAUACAUAACGAUGAUUAAAGGAGUUGAGGUUUAAAGUCUUUUAGAAUUUAAAUUUCUAUGGGUAAAAAUAUAUUUUGGCAGAGGUAUUGAUUUAUUUGAGAUAAAAUAUGUUGAAAUGUUUUGAGAAAUUAAAAAUGUAGGAAGUUUGAACAGUAUGCACAUUAAAACAUACUCAGUAUCAAGUUCUUAAAGUAUGUGCUAAUUUGGUUGUUCUUAAUGAGCUGUAUUUUUUGUGGAUAUUUACAUACAAGACAUUUCACACUCCCCGUGUCUUGUUGUUUUUCUUGUUUUAGUGCUGGUUCUAUUAUCCAUCAGAGGUUUGCUCGUGCUGCAAGGAGUGGCGAGACCCUCGUCCAUGGCCACGUCCAUAGCUGUACGUCGCCUUGUCACAGCGCAGGGCCUGCAGCUUCGCCGAGCACUGCAGCCUGACCCCUGCGCUGCCCGCGCCUGUUUCCAUCUCGCUAGCAAUGGGAGGGGUGUGGUUUUGCUGUGAGUCUUUUGGAGAAUUUUGGGUUGUUUUGAUGCUCGCGUUGUACAGAUGUUUUGGUUCUUUUUUGGGUGUUUUGUGUGCAUGUAUUCAACGGAACGUGGGAUUUGUGUUGAUGUAUUGCGUUGGUUUUGUUGUUAAUCUUGUGUGCUUUAGAGCGCUGUUGUUUCCCAGGAGUCAAAGUUUGGUCAAAUCUCAUGCAACGGUACGCCUUGGCUGUCGUUUCUCUUUUGGAGAUGUUUCGGCUUGUUGUGCCAUCAUUGCAAUUACUGUCGCGACAGCUUGUUUGAUUAGGUUUGGUUUGGUUUUCUUUGUUUGUUUUAAUGAUUUUAUGUAGUGAGGAGUGAGCUGAAAUGCUUCCAAAGAGAUUGCAGAGACACCUUGCAGCUAGAGAUUGUGGAACCUGUUAAAUGAGAUUCAGAAGGUCUGCAGCCUUGGGCGAUGUGGCGCAAAUUUAGAGCGUGAAUUUGCAUAAUGCUGUGGUGUAUGGGAUUGAUUGCACCUGAUUAUUGAGCUGCAAAAGAGUAGUUGGAUUUUUUUCACAGGAACAUGUACUUGUCAGAACAAUUUAUGGGUAGAUCCCAGUAGUUUGCAGUCGUUCUUGGCGCUUGGAAUCGUUGGCCGUCUUGAAUUGCUACAAUUUCAUCCGUCCUUAAAGCAAGCAAUAAAAGUUUGAAAAGAUUUUUCUUCUGGGUUGAGCUAUAAAGAUGCUUUAAAUGAAUUGGCAAGCUUUAGCAUAAUUGUUACAGUUCACUUGGAGGCGCCUUAGAGAACCUAGCUGUAAGACGCUUGCAAUUCAGUAAUAAUCUAAUAGAUUUAGCGUUCAGCUGAGUUAGACGAGAGAGGUUUCUCGCUCAUAGGCGCCGUCCUCGAUGUGGGUCUCAUGACUCGCCGCAGCAAGUUUGUCCUCUCGUCCACAGUUUGAGCAAUUUUGAUACAAUUCGAGGGUUGGCAAUGAAAGAACCAGUAGUUCGACCAAUAGAAAAUUUUGAUGAGAGGACCAACAUUCAUGUAAGGAUUGGCAAUAAGUUUCUACAUUAAUUUUACAUGAACAACAUGAAUGUUAUCUUUUAAUAUGCACCGUGGAAUAUGGAUUUCUGUGACGCUUACUUUUGCACCAUGCAUGCAACAGUGGCCGAAGCAGCUCAAUGUCAAUAUCGUUUAGGUCGAUCCCGAAAUUACUGACAUCAUUGAACACGAGAAAAAUCUUCAAUGGAAGGUAUGAUUUCUAGCACUGUUUCCAUUAUGUUUAUGUCAGAAUAUCAAGUGGUGUUUGAUGCUUGCAUUGCCUUUUUUAGGGCUUGACGAUGUUGUAUCUUCCUCCACUCGUGUCACGAUUGACAGGGCCUCGAGUUGAUCCCAUCAGAGAAUUUCACGUCUGUUUCAGUUAUGCAGGCAGUAGGUUCCGUCAUGACCAAUAAGUACAGUGAAGGAUAUCCUGGUGCUCUCUAGUACGGUGGUAACGAAUGCGUCUUCUCCCCUUCUCGUCUUUAAUCGAUUUUCUUCAACACAUCUUCACUGCGACAUUGGAUGUAAUUUUUCCAUUUAUUAUGUCGUACUGACUUCUCUAUACAAAUGCAGAUUUAUUGAUAAGGCAGAAAGGUAGUGUCAAAACAGUGCUCCCGCAGCUUUCCUCCUUGACCUAGACAAAGGAGUUUGCUUCUUUUAUCUGUAUUUGAACAAACCUUAAGCUAUUAGACUGUGUCUCUGACCUCGAAAUUGUUCCUGCCUUAUUUAGUGUAGCAUACUACACUAAUAUGAAACAUCUGUUGAACAAUGAAUUUGCAGCCCCUCGCUGGAUCACCAGCCAACUUUCAGGUUAACACAGCUCUCUUGAAGCCACAUGAGCGCAUAAUAGUUUUAAAUCUUCCCCAUGGUGGUAAUAUAUCUCGUGGGUCCCGGGUGUGACUGCUGACAAAGCUCUUUGCAUGCUACUUUUCAUUACUGACUUCACAGCGCCACAGAAUUUGUUCAGCUAUUUUUGUGCUUGUUAGUAGCUUUAAAUUUCUCGAAUUGCCAUGCAUUUACUAAUUGGCUCUGGAUUUCAUGGCAACCUACGGAUACAAAGAAAACCUUGGCUGUUUCAAUUUCCUUUGAGACCAUGCCCUGGAGACUAGACGAGUCAACCCGUUACUUUGACUGUGAUACGGUAAUCGUUGAAGUUUAUUGAUUGGGGUUUUUGAAAAUCGUCUUCAUGCAGCUAUUUCAUCUUCUCAAUGGACGUCUUUGUAUCCUCUAAUUUUUUGGGGGUUAACUUUUAAAUAUUAAAUGCAGCAAUGCUUACUCGUCUUGUUUUCCUCAAUCCAUGAUGAAAUUGUGCAUCAGUUAUUGAAAAAAAUAACAUUUACGUUCAGUUGGAGAAAAAUGCAUUUCUUUUCAGGCCAAAACUGAUAGUAGCUGGUUCUAGUGCCUAUGCUCGCCAUUACGACUACACUGGUAUGAGUAAGGUGGGUUUCAAUCUCCUCGUUACAAUCAAUUCUACUGUAUUUUUCUCCAUCUGCAAACGCCAAGAUUAGUGUCACUCACACCGAGAUCAUGUCACCAAUAUAACAAACCAUAGAGACUGAACAUAUUGGUGCCAAAUUGCCGUUUUGUGUAGCGAAUAGAUGCCGAGUUUUCUGCAGUGAGAGGGCAUGCACCUUCGGCUUGUUUUCUGCAGUUUGUGGGACUUACUUUGACCACAACUUUCAAAAAUUUAUCCAGGAUUAGUUUCCAUUGUUUCAUGGACUAAACUCCUAAGGAUAGUAUAAAAUGAUAAAUAGUAAAAGUACUCAUUUUGUUGAAUCUCAUAAGUAAAGCAAUGUUUGGGCUUCCAAGGGAACUGCCACAUGAGAAUGGACGUGGGAACUCAAGGAUGAAACGGAUGAAUGAUAUUUCCCAGAAUUCAUCAACUUCUGGUUUCCACGUCAGCAAAUUCCCGGCGCCAGCUCAGCUUGAAGGGGAAACCCCUCGCGGCGCCAUGACGAGCACGCGAGUGACGAGCCUGCGCCAGCCGCGACGUCUCCGCUGCCGUAUGCGCGGGAUCGCCGUCCCGCGAUAGAAUCCUCACACGAUCGCAGUCCGUAACCUGCAAGAAAACCAAUACGAGCUCGGACCGGACUGUUGUGUAGAUUCUGUCCCACCUGAGCUGCUCACGCACAAGCCCUAGACAGGGUUUCCGUGUGCCCUCGGUGCGUCCGUAGCUGGGGUUUUCCUUCUGGUCAUCACCACUCUGACUUUUUCGCAAUUUCCUCUGUAGAUUUGGUGUUUGAAUAAGUGAGCAUUGAAUUCACGGCGGUGUGAUGGGAGACUCCAGUGCCAGGGCGACAGCGCAGCAGCCUGCUGGAGCUGUUCCGUCGGCCCCUUUGAAGCCGCCGCUGUGGUAUCGGUACAGAGCAGGCGUGGGAGCUCUUUUGCUCGUCAAUCUCGGGAUAGGAGGUUUGUGCUCUCCUGCUGUGUUCUGGUUUUGUCUUUGAAAUUAUUCACAUUUUUUGCGGAAUGGAUUCAAUGUUCGACUGGAUUGCUUAUUGGGGGGAUAGAACUUGUGGGUUGUUUCGAAUUUUUUCUACACAGAGAUUAGUGAAUUCCUGUGUACCUAGUUUUUCUUUUUUCUUUUUCUUCUUUUUUUUUUUUUUUUUUUUUUUUUUUUUGUAUCUUGGAGUACCGGGGUUGUGAAUUUUUCAGGAGUUGCAGCAGGUAUGAUUCGUCACGUUUGAUAUGGUAAUGCAGGAAUGCGAUCUAGCUGCGUCUCAAGUUCAUGACUCCUAGAUAUCCUAUGGACCUGCGAGAGUUGUUAGGGUAUCCGGUCUUAGUUCUCUGUAACGUAAUACUUGUUUUGACGUUGACCGAUUCUAGUUUCGGGAAAGGUCGAGCUAUUUUUCACUUUUCCAAAUAGGAGCCAUUCAUAUCGCAAUAUGCUUUCACUUUCGUCAUAUACUACUUGUUUUGUGUUCAAUGUUUUGAAAGAAGAAUUUUACAGCUGGAUGUUCCUGUCACUUUGAUCUCUUUUUUAUUAUAUUUAGCAGAAUAUCCAAAUUUUCAAACAUUUUUCACGUUUUAAUUAGAGGUGUUUUAGAUUUUGGGUCCACUGCUAAUACAGAAUAUAUGUGCAGAGUCGAGAAAGUGCGUAUGUAUGCGGUGUCUUGGUCUCAACCCCGUUCUUUGGAGUAGAUGUCGAGAUCUGAUUUCAUCUGUGGCAAUUGAAGUUUCCGAUUGUUGAAAUGUCUGUGUGUUUGUUGUGCAGGUUAUGUCUUGUCUCGUCCGAGGCCAGUUCUUGAUGCUCAGCUGCAUAACACAGCAGCUGAGCCUGAGAAAGAGAAAGCCGUCCCUGAGCAGGUACCUGUGGCAGUUGUGGCGUCUGCCGUUGCAGCUGACGAAGCUCCACAGUGGGCACCACCUUCAAAAGUGCCCAUUUCUGAAGACGAGCAGCGGCAGAUGCUGCAAUGGGUACUUGAAGAGAAGAGGAAAGUAAAGACUAAGAACAAAGCAGAGAAGACAAGGAUUAACGAAGACAAGAAGUUGCUGAAGCAGUAUUUGAGAUCAAGCCAACUUCCUCCGCUGGUGUAGGCUUUUCAGAGGACAAACUUGACGAGAGCGGAUUUCCUCUUCAAUUGGUCGUUUGAUAUUUCAAUGAACCAGCAAACUAUGGCAUGUCGUUGAUGUUUUCAAAGCUGCAAGUUAUGUGAGGAAGGAGAGAUUGCUCUAACAUGGGAACAGUGGGUUGAAUAAAAAAAAGUAAUUGAUCAUGGCAUUGUUAGAUAAUGUAUUGUCUGGAAAACGGUCGUACAUAUCAUUGAUUUUUGUAAAUAUUCAUCUUGACGUUGCUUCGACAUUGGCUGAAAUGUACACAUUUGUCAAGUAUUUGUGAAUCAACAUUUUUACCAUUUUUCGGUGCAUCUUACACCAGCUCAAGUAGAAAAAUGUGUUCUCAUCAUCUUUUGCUUUACUGUCUUACUACAUUGAUGUGCAUGUGUGAGUAGGGACAUGUGUUCACUAUGCAAAUGAUUGUUACAUGCCCGUUGAUUAUUUUGAAGGAAAUUGGGAAAUAUAAUUGUCAUUUCAUCAUAAAUUUUACUACGGCAAGUAAUUAUAAAAGCAUGACUUUGUAGGUUUAAUAAUUCGCAUUUGUGUAGGACUAAAAAUUUUUGAAGAUUCAUUAAUUAUUCUCCAUUCAAAUUUUUGUUUGGAUAACAAAGUGGCAGUUUGUGUAUAUUUUCAUUUACCAAGCUGAUCUGCAUACUACUCGAUAGAGCAUAGUGAUUAUGAGAAUCUUUUUCCAAAUUAAAUUUGAGCAAUGCACAAGUUAUCAUCAAGUUAAGCCAAUAGCUUCAGCUGCGUUAUUUUACGAUGCUACAUUAAAAAGCUAUAUUUGACAUGACGCUCACGCGAAAGGAAUCAGAUAAUCUAGUGAUAUUUCCCCAGUUGACCGCCAAUAUCAGAGUACACUUUCAUUGCCCGGCGACUAUGGUAAGCCAGCCAUGAGCUAUGAUGGCACCAACAUGAUACUGAUGAAAAAGCCGUGUAGGCAGUACCUGCAAAUAUCAUCACAUUCCUUCUCAGACUGUAACAAAUGACACGGAAUUAUCAGCUACUACAUUUGAUAACAAAUUAUCUUGAGAAUAUAUUGUAACACAAUCCUCCAAAGGCUCAGCUGAGUAAGAGGUUCAUCACAAGUGAGAAAGACAUAAAUACAAGGCGACUUCAACCUUGCUACCCCAUACCUGCAGCACGAUGGUGAGGGUACAGGUUCACAAGAGAGACCCCAAAACUUAACACUUCCUCACAAAGUCAAAAAUACAAGCUCCAUCAUCGCCUUCAACCACAUGCUGGACACAGAAGAAAUAAACCGAUUACUGGACAUAGACUACGUCAUAUACCAGGCGACUUCCAGGUACACACAAACCAAGUGGAGUAAACUAAUCACCAAACCCUACACUACAAAGAAGCAUAAACAACUACUCAUUAACCAAAUCAAGCCAUUCAUCACAAGUCCGUCAAACAGACCUCCUAUUACGGCACGAAGACAAAAAACCAUAAGACCUCAGUACUGAUUUGAAAGGGAGGGGGUAGCCCGCAGGUCGCAUCACGGCUCUUUGAUUACAGAGCUUGCUUAGCGGGCAGGCGUCAUUGUGCACAACCACGCGAGCCCCUGUUUCUACCCCGAGCGGCACACGAUCCAUACAGCCCAAGCAACCAAGCGCACAGACCGAAAACAAUCGGAGUGACGGCAACGAGGGCGAGAUCCGAGGCCUGAAGUAGAGCAGAAGCCCGCUCGUGAGCACUCAGAUAAGAUCAAGUAGUGUUUUAGGGUUAAGGCCUCACUCACUCGGUUAUAUAGAACGAUGAAGGCCUCACCCCCGUUUGGAUGAAUUCUCGUUUUACCUGUUCGUCGAGCUGUGUGUGAACUUAUGUAUAGAGCUUUGCAAUUGCUUUUUGAUUAAUGGUUGAGUUUGUUGUCAAAUGUAUAUAUAUAAGAAAAUAAAUAACUGAAAAGCAUGUUGUAAAAAAAAAAUUGAAUUUUUUCUUUUGAAAUUAUUUUGGCACACAAUAUAUUAUAGAAUAAAAAUCAUAAUAAUAAAAUUAUUACUGUAAAGAAUAAUAAAGCAAUUUCCAAUAAGCCAUUUCAUACAAUGUACACAAAUAAAGUUCAAUUGCCUUUUAAAAAAAUUAUUCUUGUUCAAUAUUUAAACAGAUUUUAAUAUAUUCAGGAAGACUGCUAUAAGAGAGACCAAGCAAGAAAAAUGUUGUUCUAUAUUAAUAUUUAAGUAUAAAAAUACAUGGCUUUAUAUUUUUAAAUAAUAGAAUCAAAUGAAAGGUAUGGAAUUGAAUAUGUAAUUAGUUGUAUUUUUAUAGUGUCUCAAAAUUUAUAAUUAGGCAACAUAAAAUAAAAUAAUAUCAACAAAAUUAGAUGGAUCAAUAUAUAUAUAUAUAUAUAUAUAUAUAUAUAUAUAUAUAAAUUCAAGAAUAUGAUAGAAAAAAUAAUCAAAAAUAAGAUAUAUGUUAUCAAAGUGAGUUUUUAAAUAUUUGAUAGUUAUUAUAAGAAAUUAUAAAUAUUCUUGUAAUUUUUAUUUUAGGCAUAUUAGAUUUUUAUUUGUAAAGUUAGAAUAAAAAAUACAUUAUGCAUGUUAUAUGUUAAAAGUUUUGACCUCAUAUCAUAUUGAUUGUUUGUUUUCUUUUCUAAGAAAGUAAAAAAAGAGUAAAUAUUCACUCAAAGAUAGUUAUAAUAUUGACCGUACAGUUUCAAAAAAUAGUUUUAAGUCCAUUUGUAAAAUAAAAUAAAAAACAUACGAAUAUCUGUUAUGGAAAUUUAUUUUCUACUACUAAGAUUUUAAUCAUUCAUAUGUUAAGUAUAAAUUUGUCUAAUUAAAAUAAAUAUGUUUAACAAGACUUUAGGUGGUGUUUUCUUUUUAAAUUUAAGAUUUAAAACAUGGGCAUAUUUUUUGGUUCCUUUUUUUUUUAAUUAAAUCUGAUAAACCAUUUUAUUUUUAAUUUGUUUUUAAUAUUCGGUCAUGAAUCUAAAUAAAAUAUAUUGUAUUUAGGUAGAACAACAUCUAAACUUAUUGUCCAUAAUUGCAUGUUAUUUUUAGAUUAUCAUCUAUAGCAUUUUCUUUAUUUGUUGUUUUUUUCAGCUUAGAUAACAACAUAAUAGAAAAAUACUCUUUUUUAUAUAUUUAUUCCAAAAUUCUUUAAAUAUAGGAUAUAGUAGAUACUGUAAAAUAUAUGAUUGGAAAAAAUAACAACAUAAAUAUGGUUUUAUUUCUAAAUAUAAGCACCAAUGAAUAUAUAUAUAUAUAUAUAUACAUACAUUCUUAGUGCUUAAUAUUUGUGCUUGCUUAACCAUUUUGAGUCUCAGUAUCUAUACUUAAUUCAUCACCUUCAUCAUUCUUGCACUUCAAAAACAAGUAAGUAUAAUAUUAAAAAAAAGUCAAUUGGAUCUACCAAAUUCUUUAUUUAAAUAAAUGAUUAUUACAAACACUUAUCUUUUGUAGAUACAAGUCUAUGGAUGCUUUUUCUAACAUUACAUAUAAGGUUUAACAAAUAAACUUCUUAAUUAAACCUAAAUAUAUAUAUAAAAAAAAAAACUAGUACAUUAUUAUCCAUUGUACAUUAAGUAUACAUGAGAGGUUUUUAUUUUUUAUUCAAAUUUUUUAAUUUAAAUUAGUACACAAGCAACAUGUAAACAAAAAAAUACUUUUUUAUAUUAAAUUUAUUUAUUUUUAGAUUAAAAUUAAAUACCAAAAAUAGUCUAUCAUAUAACAAGAAAAGUACUCAAUAUCCCAUUCUUGAAUUUGGAUGGUGGUAGUGGCUACAAUUAACUAAUUUCCCUCAUUAUUUAAUCAUGAACUGAUUUAUUUUUAAAACAUUGCAAUUUCAUGUAGGUUACUCUUAUCUUUAGAUAGUCUCUUCUUAUUUUUUUUUUUUUUUGUUAAAUUCUCAUUACCCUUGAAUUAUAGCAAAGCCACUUUAAAUUGGUUUAUGACAUAAUUAUUGCAUUAAGAAUAAGUGUGGUUUUUUUAAUUAAAAAAUCAUAUGUGAAACAAGAUUAAAUCAUCUUAUAAAUUCUAUGUAAUUUGGAAAUAUCAAUAUUUAGUUUUUAUCUAGAAAUUUAUAAUUAUUUUUUUUUUUUCAAAGAAAAUUACUUAUAUUUUUCUGAACACUUGAACCACAAGCAUUAUAGUUUAUGAAAGGCUUCCAUAUAUAUAUAUAUAUAUAUAUAUAUAUAUAUAUAUAUCUUAGAAGCAAAUGUAUAACAAGAUAAAAAUAAGGUAAUCUUUAUCCUUCUUAAUUUGUUUAAUAUGUAUAAAACUUGAUUCAAGCGUCUUUAAUUUCUUUGUAUUUGACAAUUUUUACUAUGGUUUUUAUUUUUUUUUAUUUUUUUUUAUUGAUACAUAAAUAUAAUUUACCUUUACAAGUUUUUUUUAUAUUUAUACACUUGAAUUAUUUUUUUUAAUAACAAAAAAUAGAGAUAAAUACUAUUGAUUGUCUUGGCCUUGAUGUUUAUGUUCUUCAUAAGAUUUUAAUGUAUUUACAAGUAAAAUUAGGGUAGAACUUUUAAAAAAAAAAAAUAAGUAGAAGUUUAUAUAUUAAUACCAAGUUGAUAUAGAUUACAUUAAAAAUGGUAAUAGUCUAAAAAAAUACAUUAUUUAAACUAAAUCAUGAUAUUUAAAAUUUUUCCUAUCACCUUAAACUUUCUAUAUAAAUAAUUAAAUUAUUAUUUUUUUUUACAUAUAAAUAAGAAUAUCCAAAGCUCUACAAGCAUGUAAAUAUAUAUUUUUUCUGAGAUUCCAAUUAUAUAUUAGAAUUGCAAGAAUCUCAGAAUUUUAAUACAAUAAAAAAAAUUCCAAGUAGAUCAUGAUUAUGUAAAUAGAUAUAUUCAUUGCAAUAAUUAAAAAUAAAAUAAAAUCGAGCAAACGAUUGUAGCAUUGUUUAAGGACUUAGUGUAUAUACAAAAAAAAUAUAGUUAAUUAGCUUGUUUUUAAGUACAAAACUAUUGAAACUAAGCUAGUUCAAUAUUUAUUUCAUUGUCAAAGUUUGCAAAGCUAUCUAAAAAAAUGUCUUGAUUUUAUGAUAAUUCACAAUAUGAUUAAUUCAAGCAUGAUUUGCUAAAUUAAUGCAAUGCUGUGUGGUCUUGACAUUCACAACAUUGUUGAUGUCUUUAAAUUUGUAACUUGUAACAUUACAUUUAAAAAAUUGAAUAUGUUUUUAAAAAUGAUAAUGACACACUCUUUUGUGAUCUUAUUGUGUGCAUUGUCAAACCAACAAAACAUCUUGCUAAUAAUAACAUCAAUAAAAGUGUUGUCCACGUAUACAUAAUAUUAUAGAUCAAGAACUCCUAAAACGUAAGUUAAUGCUGAAGUGAUAAAACAAAGAAGCAAUGUUGUUCAAAAAAAAAAAGAAAAAAAGAAAAUUAGAAAAAACUAUCCUUUUUAAGAAACAAUUAGUUUAAAGCAUUUCUUCCAGUGUUUAGUAUGCUACAACUCCAUGUGUUUUUGGUAUAUGUUGGGACAAAAUGGCUUCUUAAAAUACAUCACAUGGGAGGUGUAAUUGUAUUUCCUACCAAUGUUCUCAUUAUAACCAAAAUGAAAGGCAUGGCAUCACAACUAUCAUCAUUGUAGCAUUGCAAUUGCACACUUUCACAGCAAAUUAAAUUUUUUUUUCUUGAUUACGAGGGAUAGAAUGUGUUUAAGUCAUUGAAAUAAGAAUACUUGAUCAAAGCAAAAUACAAGACCUUCUGCAAGUUAGGAAGUCUCUAUGGAUUCUACAAGGCUUUAAAUGUGACACCACACAAAAAUCAAGUGUGACUUAAUGCGAUACUUGGGUCCAAAUUGCCUUGUUUAAAGUGACCUAACAUGGGUGACCAAAUUAAAUGGGCAUGCUGGUUUUAUUUUGAGCAUACCAGAAUACUUCAUUUGGAUGGAACACUGAUUCCGCACUUUUAUACUCCAAGUGUGCAUGUGGGCACUGUGCAGUUAACACUUCAUUGUGAUGAACGCUCAUUCCACACAUUCACACUCCAUCGGCGACUACUCGGGGAGAGCGGUGCAUGAAUGAGAGAUUGUGGUGAGAGGGGGCAACUUCCGAUGCAUCAGCUGAAGAAAUGGCGAGAGCACUGGCAGAAGGUGCCCAGGUGGUGCGGCCACGGCGGCACAGCAGCCAUCACACAUGGCCUCGCACACACGCCCCGCACGCAUUAUUCGCCCCACCCAGCUCGACUCCCAAGCUGCAGUGCAUGUGCCCGAGCUCCCCCUCCGAUUCCCCCACUUCGUGUUCCUUCCUCCGCUGACGUGAUUUGUUGCUCGGUGCUUCGGAGGAAUGUGUGCAUUUCACUUUGCAGCACCCCUUUCUUUUUGUUUUCAACUGGAUACUGUCUCGAGGUUUUCAUUAUUUCCUCGUACUUAUCAUUCGCACUAUUCCAUGUCGUUUCAUGUGAUAUUUGCACGUGCGUUAGGUGGUGUGAAGUGGGUUUCGGAGCGGGUGCGGAGUGCGGAGUGUGGGUGUCUAAGUUGGACGUAUAGUUAGUCCGAUUGGUGUUCAUGCAAUGUCGAAGAACUCCAAUCUUGUGCAGGAAUUGGACAUUCUAGGAUGGACCAGAUUUCAGCUUCAGUGUGUUAGUUCGCGGGUUUGAUAGGAACUUGCGUUCAAUUAUCAGCAAAUUUGCUGGACCAGGUCAAGACGAUUAGUGUUAGCGUUUGCUCGUAAUUCAAACUAUCUGCUUAAAAAUUCUAACUUGAGUGGUUAAUUUGGCUGAAGCAUUAACGGGGGUUCAAUGUGACUUUUGGAUUUAGAAAGUUUUCGAAGCGUCGUGUUGAUGCUUUCGUCGGACUAGUUGCUCUGUCGAAGUUAAAAGAGCAGUAUGAGUUAGUAACCGAAAUUGGAAUCAGUCACAAUUCGUUUUUGGCAAGUCUUCGUAGGGCGCAAUCGGAUGCAACACGCUUGCUAGUGAUUUGAAUGUUGAUUUCUUGUGAAGAUGGCAGGUGAUCUGAAGGGAUGGUGGAGACAGGAGAGAGCGGAAUUUGCUUUGCAAGAGCGUGAGUCAACUACUGCAUCUUUUUUUAUCCCCUCUCCUGUUGAAGGCAAGGACACCAAGGACCGGGAAGCUGUGAAACUGAUUGCCGAAGAAAAGCGUGCGAGGGCGAAGGCUUGUACUGAUGGUAUGCUGUAUUCAUUGUUUUGAAUAAUAGUUGGGAUAUCAGGUAUCCUUCUCAGAUUUGAAUAUUGGCUGCACGAUGUUGUUCGCUGGGAUUCAAGUAACCCAUAGCAUGCCCACACCCGUGUGCGCUACCGUUUGUGGAGUAGAAAUCACGUUAAUUUAUGAGUGGAGUUUCUGAUGCGUCCCACUGCGUUUAGCUAUCCAGAACCAACUGAUAACGCAUCGAAUACCCUGGUACUGAAAGAUUGAGUUCAGUAGUGAAGUUUUGAUUGACUUUGUGUAGAGGGUAUGAAGGAGGGUUUGAAGGCGGCUUUUGUUGCAUGUCUUGCCACUGCCAUUCCAACGGUAAUCUCUCCCUGACUCUACAUUUCUUCAUUGGGGCGUGUUAGGUUACUGGAGUUUAGUUAAGAGAUCCUGGAUGUCUAGCUUCUACAUCAAAUGAGAGCGUUGCUUUUUCCGCUUUUCCUUCAACUUGGAAAGAAUGGCUGUGAGAUGCAGCGUUGUAGCCUUCAAUGUUAAAUAAGUUUGGUGGAAGGAUGGAAAGGUUUCGGAGUCGCACUAACGUGUGAUGUUUCCAUGCAUCAUGAAACCAGCUUACGGCUGUUCGGAUGGUUCCAUGGGUCAAGGCGAAUGUCAACUACACGGGACAAGCCCUGAUCAUCUCCGGAGGUGAGGGAUUCAUCCGGUGUUUAUGAGGCUCUAGAGAGUAGCUUAAUGUUCCGGAUUAUGACUUGGAUGCUGGCCUAUGCCAUUAAAUUUCUUAUUUUAUGUUGUAUCUUAUGUUAUUUUAAUUUUUAAUCCCACCAAAAUGUUGAAUAAUUGCGUGUAUCAUGGUGAUAUGCAUAUAUAUAUAUAUAUAUAUAUAUAUGGGUGUGAAUGAGUACCUCAUGUCUUCCUGUGUGGCGUGUGCAGCCACUAUAGCAACUUACUUUGUUGUGGCAGAGCAAACUAUCCUCGAAUGCUCUCGCAAGCAAAACGCAACUAAUCUUGAGAAGAGCCGGGCUGGAUUAUCAUAGACAAUCUGGUAACUACUUACUGUAGAUCAUUGAUGUUGAGGUAGAGUAUUAAUAAGAAGAAUAUUAAUAAGAAGAGCAAGUAAGCAGACCUUUACCUUCAAUUAUAAACAACGGCAGGCUGUCAAUGAGGACAUUUGUCACGAAUUCUGAUGCUUUUAGUGAAGGUGCACAUUUUCACUUAGCCGUAACCACAUUUUCAAGGUUAUUUGGUCAUGUUUAGAAUAUGUGUAUUCAUGCUUUAAUUUCAAUAAAUAUUCAGAACAGAUAUGACUGCAACUGUGUUUCAGCUCUAAUAGUUUCACUGUUGGAGAUCAAUGGAGGUUUGCUAACUGUGCGUGACAGCUAUCUUUAUUCAUUACAAAGAAUCUGCGGCAAAGCCUCAUAAAGUCUCAUACUUUAAUCAGAAAUUCUUAGAUUCAAGAAUAUACAUCCCUUCAACAUAUUACAGUUAGAUACAAAUAAGUCUGACCUAUACAAGAUUCCUUCUCAAUCCCCAAAAAACACGGCCCGAAAAGGAAAACUCAUAUGUGUUGCAUUGAAGUAGACUACCACCAUGGCAAGAGAAUAAUGAGUUCUUGUAGCAUGGUGGGAAAGUCCGAGAAUGAGAGGAGAACUAAAUGACUGGCGAGGUGUUGAAGAAUCAUGAAUCAUUUUUGGUUCUGAAAGCACGUCGGAACCUGUCGCGCAAAUGCUUGAAAGGAUGCCUGUCCUUUUCCAUUGCUCGAACCAACGAGUUAUCUCUGCUCUGACCUUCCACAAUCUUGCUUCCAUCGUGUAUCUUCUCUUUCUUGGAGCUUUUCUCUUUUGUUCCGAACGGCUUCGGCUCCACAACGUCGCUUGGUCGUAUUUCAGGUGCCUAUAGACAUCGCAGACCGUACACAUCGCAUAAGGAAAUAUCCUUCGACUGAGUGCCAAGGUUGUCGAAGGUUCUGCAAAAAGUCUAAGAUAAAUCCCAAACACGAAAACAUUCUGUAAAUGAUUUCUUCAUCGUUCACAUUUAAACUGCAAACUUUGGGGGGUGGCAUAGCACGUGUAAAACGCCACCGUUGUUUCAAACACGAUCAAAAGCACUACUCCAGGACGAAGAAUUUCUGCUUGCUAAUUAACACAGCAUAGUCUUAACGAACAAUCUUGCGUUGGUGCUGCCACGUUCGGGUCGAGGCAAAUAGCCUCGGCGCAUAUUCCUUCGAACAAGCAAAUCCUGACACUUUAAACUGAACACAGUAAAUUCCCUUCAUUUUGUUCCGUUCCGUUCAAAGCAACACCUGCUUGAUAGCUUAGUCACGUUUUCAAGUACUUGAUAGUUCUUAUAGCUAAGGUAUUGUAAUCUGCGUAACGUGAUUAAUAACAACCAAAUAUGCACUCUGGUAGACAUCUUACCUUAGCAGUUGCUUCGACAUCCUCAGCUAAUUUAUACUCAGCUUCAUUUUGUGUAGGCAAUGAAGAAGACUUGGCCUCCUUUACAGAUCCGCCUGGGGCGUUCUGAGGCUCCUCCACUCUGGAUGUCGAUUGUGAGACUGCAGAUACAUUUGCCGCACCACUCUUUUCGGCGUCAUCCUCCUGUACAGAUUCUGGCCUUGGAACUGCUGCCGAAGACCCCUUUGCAACUGCUUCCCUUGGUUCCUUAAGCGUGGAUGGCAAUCCCAGUUCCGAAGAUUCAAGUGAGCUGGGAAUAUCUUCCUUAUGUAUAGGUUCUAACGAUGUGCCACUCGGUACAGCUACUGAAGAAUCUUUCACAAGUGCUUCCUUAGAUCCUUGCUGCGUAGAUGCCAGAUGUGAGGGAUCGAAAGACGCAAGAGCAGUGUCACGCUUGUCACCAUGAUUUUCUUGUAUAGAAGCUGGAAGUUCCAAUUGCUCAUGCUUCAAUUUGGAAUCAACUCCAGCCAAUUUGGAAUCGAUACAUGAAAGAGUCCUCUCAAUACUUUCCAUGUGCUGAACAAACAUACAUUAAAGGUCAUGAAUAUCAGAAACGGAAUCACCCUAACUUGUCAUUUAUAAUCCUCACAAAACUGCCAGUAACCUUCAACAUUACAAGGGUGUAGAAAGACUCUGAUUUACCUCAGUUAAACGAGCCUCGAGAAAAGAAACUCGCUCAACCAAUGUGCCCUUUGACUCCGUUUCUCGCAGCAGGGACCGCGCAGUGCGAAGCCUCUCUCGGGUUCGAGGAGUAACCAGCUGCGAAUUUGGUGACAAGUUGUGUUCCGUCGAAAUUGUCUUAGGAUUGUACUUCUCUUCCAACAUAGACAUCUGAAUAGCAAACACACAGAAAUUUGAGUAACGACAUUCUUCAAACGGCUUCCAACACAACUCUCAAUCGCCAUGAUUUGAAUCCAAAGGAAUUUUCGAACUCGAUUGAGAUUGGCUUGGUUCGUAAUCUUCAGAAUUUGAGAAGAAGUGAUAUCGACUGCAAUGAGGCACAACCUGCAGCUCAAGGUGUUCAAUACGAUUUAGGAUUGGUGUUCCGCGGGGGGUAAGAAGCCGUGUCCAGCGGGAGGAAGUGGGAGAGUAAACAUUCAGUUUAUCUCCUCCUUGUGGUGUUUGAGGAGAACUCGGCGAGCUAACAUUUUGCAGACCUUCCUGCACUGCUACGUCCUUUUCCUCUGGCUUUGAAUCAAAACCUCCCACUAAAUUUGCCAUUAUGACCUGGUUGCAAGAUACACGUUUCACUACUUCAGAAAUAGAUACUUCCAUAACACCAUUCUUGGAAAGCAAAGCCAAGAUGCUUCCUGCAACAUCAGAAGUCACACACUUUUGUGGGUUGAACAUACCGUUGGUGCUUGGGCCACCCUUCCAACGACUGUUGCUACGGGCUGCAAUGUAUCCACCACCAAGUCACCGAUCGACUCCAACCCUUUUCCGACGAGGGUUUCUGGUUGACCACCUUCUUCUUUCGGCUUAGAAUCUUCCUUGACAGGCAUUUCUGGCGCACCACCACCUGAUUGAGGUGCAUCAGAUAUAACUGCUUCACCACCUCCUGUCUCGCCUGUAAAACUCUUCUGUACGAACUGGUCUUGCUUGCUUUCUCCUCCACUCUCCAACACUGUGUCAUCCUGACUUGACCCCGGGGAAGCCUCAUUGACAAAUUCCAACGACUCACCAGGUGGGACCUUGUGGACAUACGCCAUGGUGCCAACGAACGCUAGACCGCCUGCAAGGAACAUUAAUUCACCUCAAUACUGCCAGUUCUCACUCCGAUUCCUCUGGACACUAGAGUCUCAGCCCGAGUAAGACAACUGUCCAAGAACAGGAACCUAUACAUGCUCUUCACAACCUCAAACAUCAAAUCCUUAUCUGCCAUCGCAAUGCCCCUCAUCUGAACAACUACAAUCAUCACAACUCCACUGGGUCAAUAAACAAGCACAACUCAUCUCAUCAAAUCCAACCGAAUCCACGUAUUCCGCAGCAAAGCACUUGUGCAUCACACAUCCUCCCUCAUCGUAUCUCCAUGAACCAGCCACCCCCGCAAAUUGUGCACAAACAUCCACACAUACCUCCCGAAUUUCGCUGAUUCCACCCGGUACAAGUAAGCUACAGUGCAUGAACUAACUCCCCCCCUUUAUCAAGAUAUUCAUGGUGGCACCGCAAAGGAUCAGCUACCUGAAACCCAAUUGAGCUUAACCCCUUCACGAGCAGUGGUUGCGAUUAAAUUAAGAAACUAGUGACGAUUCCCAUGCUCAUGUUUGUCGCUACGCACUGCCCAACCACACUCCCCACUCUGAAUGGUCUCGCAGUCGUAGAUCUUCAUGACUUAUUUAGUGGGUAUAUAGGAUAAAAGGUAACUGGGUCCGACGCCUAGAGUGGAAUCGGACACGACCCUGAAGCAGUGGCUAUGAAGCGAGAGGUGGCAACAAUUGGCUCGACGCCGGAGGAACCGAGGCCCGCGAGCAACGCGACUACGGCACUAGUUUGGUGAGGAAGGCGGUCUCGUACUGCCAGUCUUCAUGGAAAGUGUCUCACUUAUAGGGGUGAGACGAGUCAACGACUGACACCUGGCGAAACCAGAUCCUCAUUACGCUGACAUGGACUCCAGCUCCUCUCACCUUUCCCUGCUGACGAGGAGUCGGCUAGAGCAGUACCAUUAAAUGGAUCCGUGAAGGUAACUCACACGUGUACUCAAGCAUGAUUAGUAUCUGUUUAGUUCAUGUUUACUUUACAUGUAAUAAUAUAUUGUUACGUUGAAAGUGGAAAGUACCAUAAUAUGGGGAUAUGUUUUACCAUGUAAGCAACUGUUUUGCGUAUUCAGGUGAACUAUUCAGACAAACAGUUAUUGAUGGCAUCAUGUUAAAAUUUACUCCACAUCAGAGUUUCCCAAUUCUUACAAAGAAUGAAUUCCCUUUCUCACCUGAACAAAUAUAAUAGAACGUGCAAAUCUAAAUGUACUCUUACUUAAAGAGAUAAUUUAAAGACAAAUUUUCUUGUUAUCUCCAUUACUCACAACUCUUUGAAUGAAUUACAGCAUCCACCAUUAGUUUAACCACCAUCAUCGAUUUGUGAUCACAAAUGUCGGACUAACCAUGAAACAAUCGCAAAACAUCAUGUGGACCCAAAGCUAGUUGUAGAUAAUGGUUAGGAUAAUGUUAACGGUAGAUACACUGCAGAAAUAUCUCCAUGAGCUCUAGAUAGGAAAGCGACGGUACAAAAAUGUUCCAAGAGAGCCGACAGUUUCGUUCGUCACCAUCGCCGUCGCCGUCGCCGUUGAGUUUAAGGAGAUCCUCAGUGUUCGUAGUGCAGCCACGCAGCUAUGGCGUCCGCUUUUGCUGCCUCAGCUGCCGUGACGCCGGCGGCGUUUGCCGAGUCUUCGUCCUCCGUGAAGGCUUCCUCCGGUCUCAAGAGCCUCAUCUUUUUCUCCCGUAAGUCGUAGAGCUGGAGCAGCUCCAUUCCGAACGGCAGCUGCGUGCAAUGCAUGCAGGUGUAAAGCCCCAUCGAUAAUGUAAAGUUCGAGAUGCUCUCGUACUUGCCGGCUCUGUCCGAGGACGACAUUGCCAAGCAGGUGGAGUGCAAGAUCCGGUAGAAGCUGAUCCCCUGCCUGGAAUUCGAUCCCGUAGGCACCGUCUCCCGAACCCUUAACUCCAAUCUCGGGUAAUACGAUGGCGUUACGACAAUGUGGAAGUUGCCCAUGUUCGGAUGCAACGACACGUCGCAAGUGUUGAAGGAGAUCCAGGAGUGCACGAGCGCGUUCCCUCAGUGCUACGUGCGAGUGCUGGGCUUCGGCAACUUGAAGCAGGUGCUGAUCGCGGAAUUCUUGGUGGGAAUCCCCUCGGUCUGAAGCCUUUGUUGACAUGAUUCCUGGCCCUUGGACAGUGACAUGCCAUGAGAAGUAAAAAUGCGAGAAGAAUGGGUCCGAUUAGUGGCAUGGCUUCAGUCCGAAAUUUGCUGUAACCGAAUAAGGGCAUCCUGCCAUUUGGUUUCCCACUCAAUAUGUCCUGUCCCGCUUAAUCAUGGGCUGCGAUGUGGGAUACGCGUACAUUGUUGGGAAUAUCAUUCGAUGUGAACAUGUUUUCCACGUGGGAAGUUGUGCAUUGUACACGUCAACGCGGACAACAAUUUGGCCUAUGUCCCUUCACGGAGAUGCUGUAACGGCGCAUCCGUAAUCGACGGAAUUACACGAAUGGUUGUCUCUCACGACUAUGAUCUACUGGGUAGCAUGAUCCUGUAGUGACAAACUCAUAUCAUUUCCCUCCUGUUACCUCGCUAUGACUUGUGUCAUAAUCACAGAAUUAGGCGUGAAAAUCUUUAACCCAGAUCCAGAUUCGUUCGAUGUUGGGGACUUGUGGGUAGUUUUCGUGUAGGAUCGAUGGAUUAUUCUGAUUCUGGAUUGUAUGACAGGAAUAUGAAGAAUUUGUGUGAAAUGGACCUAUCGGACAUGAGUAACAUGAAAAAAAUGAGUUCAAUGACAUUAGACGAAAAAGAUAGAAACUAUGGUAGUUCGAAGCUUUCUUGGCACACAGAGGAGACGCUCACUCACCGAGAACCUGAAAUGACAAUCCCACUUGUUAGUCCAGGAAUAGAAGUGACGAAGUGUAUAAAAAAUGAUGGCAGCUGCAUUCCUCUCCGGAAGCUUGGCUGCUUUGAAAUUCCGGCCAUCAUCACGGGUGGUGCUUCUUGCACAGAAUUGUUUUAACUACUCAUGGCUUAGGUCAUUGAUCGAUAAACGGGGAAGGCUCUCUUGUCCAAUUAUUAGGUUUCGAGUCGGGAUGAACAAUGGGUGGUCUCAAAUUUUAGCAAUGAGCAGGCUAUGAAAGGAGAACUCAUAAAUUAAAUUACCUUCUUUGUUCCAUGUUUGCUGUCCCUUGGACCACCCUUUUCAGAUUUGUGACAUCAGACGUAGAAGUCGUCAAAUAUGUAUCCCAAGGAAUGGAACUACAUUAUGUCGAAAGCCACUACGCACUUUACUGAAACUCGCAUUUGAAGCCUCAAACUUUGAAGGCCUGCUAUCCUCAUUUGAAUCUAUGUCAUGAUAGGAACAUAUAGAGGACGAGCUUGAAAAUUCUUGUUUCUAUCAUUAACAAAUACUUCGAAAGUAACGUGACGUAGAUGUGAAGAAUCGGCCAACAGUAGAGUAUCUGUUUUUGAAAUAGCGUGCUUUUUGGACAGGAAUGCACCAGGUGACUGGAGCACACAGACCUAUUGAUAUUGAAAAAUCGGUGCAUGACAUGAAACUCUAUGCUUUUGCCGGGCUUGGAGUUUUUGACGUGGCCGAUACAUGUGAGUCUCUGGCUUUUGGAGAUUCCAAUAACUUCAGGCCUUAGUAUCCCAUUUAGCGGUGUCAGAAUGUAUAUGAGCAUAAUGCGAGGCUGACAUACCCACAGCGAAGUUUAGUGCAGGGUCUUUAUUUCACGAAGCCCUCACUUUUGCUCUACAGUCAAUAUUUUCUUUCCAUUCUGCAGAUGGACCUGCUGAAGAUAUUUAUGGCAGGUUUUAUGAUGAAUAUUGGGGCCGCAGGCCAGUCCUUGGUUUCACAAAAUUUGACCCUGGCUACGGUGAGGUUCGUUUGCCUGCACGUGAAUCACUGUUCCAGUCAUUGCAUCCUUCUCAAUAUGGCACUCACUUCUGGCUAAUAUUCAUGUAAAAUUAACCUUGCUGGUGGUGUAGGCAAUACUGGUGCAGACACUCGGCUUGUGGUGGAAGCUAUUAUAGAUCGGUCUCGGAAUCGAAUGAGAGUGGCCACCUUGGACAUGGUCCAGUUCCAUUGGUACGUUGUCGAAGAGCUUGCCAACUGAACGACAACAUACUCACGGUUUAGAUGUCUUGGGACUUUUCUCUGCUAAUCUCCAUUUCCAUAAAUUCCAGUUUUUUUCUUCUUCAAACAAAAGACCUAACUGGACGACAAUGAGUUUGAGAUCAUGAUUUCAUCUUUGUUAGACUCGUUGUAUGUCCAGCACUCAUACUGAAGAGCGAAGCCCAAUUUUUUGUUUUUGUUUUUGUCAAUUCUUGAAGGUGGGAUUAUAGCGAUGAGCGUUAUUGUGUUUCUGUGAAGUGGCUACACACUCUUCAACAAGAGGGCAAAAUCAAGGAGCUGGGACUAACAAAUUUCGACACUGAACACAUGGCGAAAAUAGUUGAGGACUGUGGGAUCCGAGCAGUGUCCAAUCAAGUUAGUGAUUCACCCUCACCGUCCUCUCAAGCGGUAAUUUCUUGAAGUUUCUGUUGCUCGGAAAAGAUCAGGCUAGUUUAGUCUUUCGGCAAUUCACACAUGCGUACUGAUGCCGUUACUUGGCACGUAUGAUCAGCGCUUCACAAGAACAUGACAUUUGAACCCCUAUUGUUGCUGAAAUCGAUUGUGGUGCUACGCAGGUGACAUACUCUGUGAUUGAUACACGGCCCGAGAAGAAAAUGAUUGCAUGGUGCUUACAACAUGAUGUGAAGCUUCUUGCUUACGGGUGUGUAGAUUCCGGGGUUUUGUUCAUUUGUCGCAUGCAACAGUCUUCGUCCGGACACUUCAUUCUGGACCUUGAAUUUUUUGUUUCAUUUUAUUAUUAUUAGUAUUAUUAUUAUUAGUAUUAUUAUCAUUAAUAUAACAAUAGUGCUUGAAGGAUAGGCAAGAGUGUAGUUGGUGGGCAGCUCUCUCGCUUGUUUACUUCGUAAUGUAUAAGUAUGAUCGGUUCUUAGAUUGUAAGAUGUCUCUUUGAACCGGUCAAUAAUAGAAUUUUCCUGCAUUCUAAAGAGUAUGUGCAGGACGUUAAUGGGCGGCCUUCUUUCAGAAAAAUAUUUGGGACAACCUGAGCCCCUGAGGACAGACCCUAUCAAUACACCGUCAAUCUCCAAAUAUAAAUAUAUUAUAAAUGCAUGGGGAGGUUGGGCUCUAUUUCAGGUAGGUCGUUAGAUUGUAAUUAGUUUUCAUAAUUAGAACGUUUAGUUUGAUUGCUAAUGUGUAGUUUUUUCAUUAUCUCCUAUAUAAUUAGAAAGCACUGCUCAAGCUUCAAGUUGGUUAAAUUUUAUUUUUGCAGGAACUCCUCCUUGUUUUAAGCAUGAUUGCCAAAAAACAUAGGAUUAGCAUUAGCAAUGUGGCUGUGAGAUAUAUUGCAGACAAGCCUGCAGUUGCCGCAGUUAUUGUAGGUGCUCGGCUUGGGGCGUCACAACACAUUGCUAGUAACCAGGCUAUAUAUUCAUUCCCAGGUGCUGUGAAAACAUGACAUAAUUCUAAGUACUUUGCUGUUGAUCAUUCAGCUUUCAUAAAAAUAGUAUCAACUUUUCUUUCAACAAAGGAAGUUUUAAAUUGUGAAACAGCUUUGGUGCACUUAGAUUAGCAGUGAUUUGCACAAAUUUCCCUAAACCUACUUCUAUUUUUUAAGGUGAGUGAUGUAUUUUUUCUUUCAUUCUUAAAGCUCAAACUCAAAAAAAAUCGCUUUGAAGAGUUUACAACUACAAAUAUGACCCCAUCAAAAAUGUGGUUUUUGUACAGGUCUAGAUGAGGGAGACAUUGAUCUCAUACACUCUAUUGUGAAGAAGGGAAGUGAGCUCCAUGGAGAUCCUGGAGAUGAGUUCAGAUAGUUUGUGGAAAUUGUCUUGAUAAUAUUAUUGGAUACAACACAGUGUCUCUCUUGGAUGUUUUAGUAUGUUUCAUAUUUGAAUCUCAGCCUAAUGAUCACGCCUUGACUGAUGGUACCAUUUCUUUAAAGAAAUUUGCACCCAUUAUGGAAUCAUGACCACAAUCUUGCAUUUUAACUGUUACACCAAAAUCAAGCUGCAAGAUGAAUUUGGAACUGAGUCCAAUUUCAGCUUUUAUUUUCAAAGCACACUUUAAGUCAUCUGUUUUGUAGCUUACCUCCCGUCACAAGUAUUCUUAGAUGGUAUUUUGCUUGUAUUUAUCUCAGGCGUUAACUGAUUAUACUUACUUUAGCGAAAAAGCAUACACCAAACAAGACAUGAGUUAUAUAAAAUUGUAAAAGCAAUCAUACUGUGUAAUCACUGCAACUAGUUGGGAUGUUAACAAACCAUUGGUAUAGUGUUUAUUAAAACAUUGAACACUGCAUCUUGUAUGCUAAGUUUCAAAUUUUUGUAAAUCACUUUAAAUCUUUGAUAAAAAAUGAAAUUUUUAGGUACAGAAAAAUAGUAGCAAAACAUUUAGAAUAAAAUUUGAAUAAUAAAAAAUUAUCUCUGGAAUAAUAUUACCUAAUAACAUAUAUCUUUACAAAUGAAAAAAAUGAAAUUAUUAAAUAGAAUAAAAUAUGAGAAAAAAUUGAAUUAUAAUUAAUUAAUUUUUAUUAAGGAUAAACAAUAUUAUCAUAUAUAAAGCAAAGAAAACAAAGCUUAGAGAGAUUGAAUGCAUAUUAUCAUUUUUUAAAAUGAAGUAAAUUAAAAAUUUCUUGAAAUAUAUAUAUAUAUAUAUAUAUAUAUAUAUAUAUAUAUAAGUGAAUAUAUUAGCUUCUAGAGAUAAGUAUACUAUUCUACCUCAAAAAAGAUUUGUACUCCAAUAAAUGAUUUGUUAAAAUCUUUCUUAAUUCUAUUAUUGACAUGGCAUGAAUUUUUUAUAAAAAUCCAUUACAAGGUUUUAAAAUGUCAAUGAUACAAUACAAAUUUGGUAACAAUUAACUAACUUAAAAAAAAUUGUAAAAUAGUAUCAACUAAAAAUACCAAAUUAAAUUACCAAAUUACAAGUACAAUUUUAUAAGUUCAAAAACACAUUAAAAUUUAUCCAAAGUUAUAAUAUCAGAUUUAGGAUAAAAAAUUAAUAAGUAUAUUUUGAGAAUAAGUUUUCAAAAAAAAGAUGGUUUGAAAAAUGUAGUUAUAUCAACUAUCAACAUAAGCAUUUGAAAUCAUACAUUGAAAUCUCAACUAUAAACAACAAGCAAAUCCUAAUUCCAAUAAAAUGAUACAUACUUUAAAAUAUAUAUAUUAAAAAAAUAAAAAUUACUAAAAGAUAUAAAUCAAGGUCUAAAUAAAUAUAACAAGAUUUUUUUAAAAAAAACUCAAAAUGUAAAGAAAUUUAUAAUGUUAAUAAAGCUUAUAUUUGACUUUAUCUUAAAAACUUUUAGGACCUUUUUUUUUAAUUAAAAAAUGUAACAAAAUGUAAAAAAUUAAAUUACUAAAUUUUAUCUAAAGUUUUUUAUUUCAUUUUUUGAGCUAUAUAAUAGAAAAAAAUUUCUUCAAUCUUAAUCUAAUUAUUUAACUACCACCAAUCUUUAUAAGAUAAUAAUUGAAAUAUAAAAUGAAAGAAUUUUUUUAAGAUUUAAAAUUGUAAUAAUUUAAAAAAAGGUUAAAAGAUAAAAAGAUAAAAACUAAUAUGAUAGAAAAAGUAAUCUUAAAAUAAUAAUAAAGAGUAAUCCACACUAUAAAAUUCUUUUUUAAUGGUAAAAGUCAUCUAUUAUCAAUGAAGGUUUGAGGAUUAGGUAAGUUUAGAAUCAAUUUUUUAACCUUAUAUUAUAAUCCAUAGACAAAUUAGCUAAUGAAUACAACAUCAUAUGACUUGAUAUCAAUUACAAGUUGUCAAAAUUGUGAAGCAUAUGACAUCCCUAAUAGAUUGCAUUCUCGCAGUAUACAAAUCUUGUUGGUUGCAAUACAAAUUGUAUCAUGUUCUCCAUGCAUAGAUCAAGAUUUUGCCAAAAAAACCUCCAAAUUAUCUAAUAUUAGAUUAGAUUUUUUAAAAAAAGAAAAAACUAAAAAAAAAAAAAAUCUAAAAGUUAUGUUUUAAUAAACUAGUUUUAGAAUUGGAGUUGGAUAGCUUUAGAAUUGGAGUUCAAUCACAAGUUAUACUUAAUUGAUAAAUAUUCAAAACUUUGAUCUUGUACCAUCAAACUUCUCAAAUAAGAAAUUUCUUGGUUUUUUUGCAUUUAAAAGAUGUUCCACCAUAGAAGAAAUAACAUAAAUUAAUAUAGAUGUUAAAGCAUUUCAAACCUUCUCUAUAUCUUUAUUUCUUGGCAAUCUUUGUACUCUUUGUGGUAGUAAAUUAAGUUGAUGCAUCACAAGUAUUAACUCCCUCAAUUGCUUAUGUAUUUGCACUAUUGCAGUCUUCAAUUCUACAAGCUUUGUCAUGAUAACAUGAUAGAAAAGAUUAAAUGUCUAAUAUCUUUCAAAAUAAGUAGAAAGUAGGACUUGAGAAUAAAGAAAAUUUUAAGAACAAUAUCAAUUUAGAAGUAGAUAAUCUGCAACUUCUAAUAGACUUAUGUCUUAUUAAGAAAAAUAUAUAAUUUGAUUUUAAUCAAGAAUAGAUAAAGCUUUGAUAUUGUACGUAUAUUUUUAUGAAUUUAUCAAAGAAAAGAACUCAAAUAAGAUACAUAAAAAAGUGAGAUAUGUAUCAAAAAUAGAUGAUAAAUAAAAAUAAGAAAGCCUCACUUUUGCCUCUAUAUAUACCAUCUAAUUAAGAAUUCAAUAGCAAUACUCAAUAGGACCUCCAAUAUAUAUCUAACUUACAUAAUACAAGUUUAACUUGCAAAAAAAAAAAAAAAAAAAAAAAAAAAAAAUCUAUGUAUAUGCCACAUGAUUAACUUAUAUUACAAGCUACUAAUAUGUAUAACACAUAACUAACUAUAAGGGUAAAAAAAGUCGACCCUCUCAUUUGCUUACUUUUUUGAAGAAAUCCUUGAUGAAAUAGAAGAGGUAAGUUAAGCUAAAGUAAUCUUGAUGCCUAUAGAAAUGCUACAAAAACAUAGCAAAAGAGCUAUUGAGAGGACGACUUUCUUUAUUCUAAAGUUGAUCUUGUGUAGAGGCAUGAGGCAAGUGCAUAAUAAAUAAUAAUUGGGAGUGAAUUUCAAAUGCUUUAAAAAAAAGAUCCAUGAUUUUAUUUUAUUUUAUUUUUAUUUUUAUUUUUUUUAGAAUUUGAACUGCAUUUAAGGCUUAAAUGAGAAGUUAGAAAUUAGUUUGAAGAUAAAAAGCAACAUCCAAAGUAAUUCAUAGAUUUUGGAAUUGAAAUUCAAAUCAUAGUAUAAUAUAUUCUAGAUUGUAUUAUAAUCUAAUGUAGAGUUUUAGUGUAGCAUAUUGCUGCAGAUGAUCUUAAGUUACAACAAGACUACAUGUCAAGGACAAGAAUCUGAUUAAAUCAAAUAAUCAAAUAAAACUUAUUUCAAAUAAGUAUGAUAAAAUAGAAGUAAAGAAACAUAUAUAUUAAAUAGAAAUUGGAAUGGCUAUUAUCAAAAGAGAAGAAAACUAAAGCCUCUUGAAUCUAGAUUAGAGUAAGAAAAGAAUUAAUAAGAAUGAAGAAGGCUUUACUCUUGCCUUUAAAUAUACUAUCUACCUAAGAACUACGUGGCGAUGUUCUAUAAGACUUCUAAUAUGUGUUGACUUUACAAGCCACAUGUCUAAACUUACAAGUUUCUAUUUGUGUACUACAUAAUUAACUUAUUUUAAAAGCUAUCCAUAUGUGUGCCAUGUGGCUAAUUUAUUGAAUAAGUUUCUAAUCUAAAAAUCAACUAUAAACAUGUUUAAAGUUAAAAUCAUGUCUAUAAAGCUUCUAAGAAGUUUUUUUUAGAAGAUAUUAUGAAAUUAAUGUAUUUUUAUCUACUUUUAUCUACUUCUAUUUAAUCAUAUAGGUAAUUACUAGAAUAAAUAUGUAUAUUUUUGAUAUUAUUCCUCCUUUUAGGAAUAAAUUCCAUAAGGGAAAAUUAUCAUAUAUUGAAGAAAUUUAAGAUGAAAUGAAUUAUAUUUGCUUUGAUCUUUCUUCUCUUCAAUGAUGGUUGAUAGGUCUUCUUAGUUAUUGAUAAUGUUUCAUAUCAAGGCAAGAAAGACCACUCUAUUAUUUGAUCUUUGUUGAGGCCUUCAUAACUUCUUUUAAAUAAAAUAUUUGGAAUACCAUCACAAAUUAUUUUUACCUCUAAUGAAAUCAUGAAAUAUAGAGAGUCUCUUCAAAGGUUGUAAUAUCAAAUAAGUUAUAUAUUACUAUCUAUUCAAGGAAUAACAUGUUAUUUUUAAGGAUCUUCAUCUUGAUUACGUUGUCUUAAAGGUUGAAAUAAUUAUAAUAUUUCAUCUGACAAAUUACCAAACGAUAGCUCUUGAAUAGAAUCUAUUGAUUAUUGGUUCUACAUCUCUUUAGUGCCAUAAUAUCUAUAGAAGCUACAAAUAAGGAUAAAAUAUAGAAUAUUAUCUUCUCUUGAUUUUUUUAUAGUAAAGAUUUGUUAUUUUUAACCUAGAUUUUGAUAGAUGUUAUUGAUAAAAAGCUUCUACCUUCUUUGAUGUAUUUAUAAGAUUAUUUGCUAAUUUCCAUGUAUAUUUACUAAUAUUAUAUCCAUGUCAAUGAAUAAAAUAUUCUAACCUAUUUUGGUGCCACUUUGAGUCUAAGACUUCUUCUACCUCAAAUUCUUUAUUAUUGUCUACUUCUAUAGGAAGAAGUGGUGCUUAUUUUUUUCUUGAUAUGUUCAUUAUCUUCUAUGGUUCAAAAAGAAAUACAUGGAAUAUAGAAUAGAUCUUCAUUGAUUCUAAUAGAUGUAAUCGAUAAGCAAUUGAAUUGAUUUAUUUACAAAUAAGAAAAGGUCUAAGCUAACGAUAGUCCAACUUGUCACAAUAGCAAGUAGACUUGAUAUUAUAACUAAGUAAUCAUACCUUAUUACUUAUAUUGAAUUGUGGUUAUUCUUUUUGAUAGGAAUGUGCAUUUAUUUUUUAUCAUUCUUGAACUUCUUUUAAUUGUGCCUUCAUUGUUGUAUAUAGUUGUAACAAAUGAUUUGUCAAAUCUUUUGCUACACAAUUAUCAACUCUUGAAAAUUCAAAAGCAUUAAAUCAUGGAUGAUAAUCUUAAUGAAUAAAAAAAUUUAUUUAGUAAAUAAAAGAAUAUACUAUAUUAUUAUAGGAAAACUCUACGUAUGGCAAAAGAAUCAUCUAAUCAUCUUAUUAAUAAUUGAUGGUAUACUUCAAAUAUUACUCCAAAACUUGAUUAAUACACUCUCUUUAUCUAUUAAUUUGAGGAUAAAAGGCUAAAGAUAACUUUAUAUCUACCUUUAGAAUCUUAAAAAGGAUUUUCUAAAAUCUUGAUACAAAUUAGGUCCUUCUAUCUAAUGUAAUAUUCUCAAAUAAUCCAUGAUAGCAAUAGAUAUUUUAAAAAUAAAGCUUAGCUAUUUUUUUGCUUGUGAUAGAUUUUAUACAUGGUACAAAAUGUGCCAUCAUGGUUAAAUGAUUUACUAUUAAGAAUAUAUAUUCAUACAAACCUAAGAUUAAAAGAUUUGUGAUAAAAUCCAUAGCAAUAGAAGACCAUAAUUGUUCAGAUAUGGACAAUGGUUGGAGAAGUCUUUAAGGAUAAUAACAAGGAAUUUUUGACCUUGAACAAACAUCAUAUGACUUGAAAAAUUCUUUCAUUGCCUUUCACAUUUGUAGCCACCAAAAUUUAUUGGAUAUUAGUUCUAAAGUCUUGUUAUUUUUAAAAUGUUUGAUUACUGGAUAAUCAUGACAUGCUUGAAAAAUACGUAAACAUGAUUCUCCUUUGAGAAUAUAUAAGCAUCCUUUGAAAUAGAGUAGGUUGUUCUUAAACUUAAACUGAAAAGUAUUAUAAGAUUUAAAAGAAUAAUUUUUGAUAUUAUGAAUAAGAAGAUCAGAGGACAUAUUUAAUUGAAUUUAUUUGACAAAAAUUAAAUCAAUAAUCAAUGUCAAUUUUAUUACUCGAAGAUAAAAAUACUUUGGCUUCAAGAGAGUGAUUCUUUAUUAAUAAAAAGAUGUGUCUCUUUCUUUUGGUGUAAGAUAAAAAUAUCUAGAAACGAAAUCUCACAAAUAUUAUUAUUUUUUGAAUCAAUAACUGAUCUUAAAAUCAAAUCUUGACAAAAACAUGCUCCAAUGGGCUAGACAAUAAUUCAAAAUAUGUGUUGAUAUAAGAUAUUCAAGAUUAUUUUGGUCCAUAUAAAUAGUGAUUGGAUUAGAAGUGCCUUCUAGAUAAUAACACCAUUAUUGAAACAAAUUAAUAAUUUUGAGAAGUUCUUUAUUGUGAAUCUCAUAGUUGAUCUUGAUUACUAAAAAAAAAUUUUAAAUGAAAAGUUAUUGAAUAAAGUUUAUCAUCUAUUUUCAUUUUUCACAAUACAACACUCAAAGCAAAGUCCAAUGUGUCUGUUUCUAUAAAGAAUGGCUUAAAAAAGUUGAAGUAAUACAAGAUUAGUAUAGAAAUAAAAGCUAUCUUUAAAGCUUCAAAUAUUCCUUCUAUUUCUUAAUUCUAUUAAAAUUUGUCUUUAUAAAAUAAAUAUAUAAGUGGAAUUGUAACUUUAAAAAAGUCCUUAAUAAAGAUCUAAAUGUAGUUGAUAAAUUUCAAAAAAUAUUGGAUAUUUUUUACCGUUUUUGAGAUCUUUUAAUCCAUAAUAGUUUGAACUUUCUUAAGAUCCACCAUAAGUCCAUCAUAUGAAAUAAUGCAUCCUAAAAAUUUAUCUUAUAUAGUAUAAAAUACUCAUUUUUUUUUUUUUUUUUUUUUUAUCUUGGCAUAGAAUCCUGUAUCUUUUAGUUUUUGUAAUACAUAAUGAACAUAAAGUUCAUAUUCUAUUGUGUUCUUAGAAUAGAUAAAGAUGUUGCCUAGGUAAGAAACAAUAAAGUCAUCAAAAAACUUUCUAAAGACAUCAUUUAUUAGUUGUUGAAAAGCUACUAAUACAUUUGUAAGUCCAAAAAGAAUGACAUUAUAUUUAAAAUAUCUAUACCUAGAUUAAAAUGAAGUCUUCCAUUUAUCUCCUUCUUUGAUGUAUACCUAAUUAUAUGCUCUUUAUAGAUUUAUUUUUGUAUAGAUGUUAGCUUAAUUCAAUUGAUCAAAAAGUUAAAAUAUCAAAGGUAGUGGAUACUUAUUCUUGAUGGUGAUUUUAUUGAGUCAUUGAUAAUCUAUAAACAUCUAUAAUAAUCCAUCUUUUUUAAUGAAAAAUAAAAUUGAAGCUCUUAUUGGAGAUUUGGAAUAGCAUAUAAAGUUUUUGGUUACAUUUUCUUCAAUAUACUCCUUGAAUUCAGCCAAAUCAUUUUGUGAUAAACUUUAGAUUGAUUCAAACUGUAAUUGGACUUUUUUUUUAAGGUCAAUUGAGUAGUCAUAACAAUAAUGUUCCGAAAGAGUAUCUGCAUUUUUCUUCUCAAAUACAUCUUAAAAAUCUUGAUAUUAGCUUAGAAUACUACUUGAAGUCUUUUUACCAUUAAAAAUACAUGUGGUAUAAAUAAUUUAAGAUAAUUCUUCUUUAGUAGCAUGCAAGAAAGCUCUUGUACCUACAAAUAUAUAUUUAGUUUCAUUAGACUUAUAACUUUCUACUUAAUUACUUAUAUGCUUAGUUAUACUUUAAAAAAAAUUAAGACUAUAAGAAAUUCAAUCCAUUUUAGGAUUAUAUUUUUUUAGCCAUGAUAAAACUAAAGUGAUUGGAAUAGAGGAAGACUUAAUGAUAUCAAAUAUUUCAAAGCUACUAUGACCAUUAAUUUUUAUUUCUAUAGGAAGGAUUUUACAAAUAACAUCUUUUGAAGAUAAUGGACGACCAUCUAUGACUUCUCUAAGAAAAAGUUUAGUUUUCUUCACUAAAAGUGUAUUAUGUCUUUUAAUAAAUUCUUUAUCUAAGAAACACAUUAAAGCUCAUGAAUCUAAUAGGCAAGUCCCUUUGUAAUAUUUAAGUUUAAAUUUAAUAUUUAUUAUAAAACAAAAAGAAGAUUUUGAAGAGAGAAUAAGACCUUUAUUAGGUGUUGUACAAGGUUCCAACUGCAUGGUUCCUAUUUUAGUUGGACAAACUCAUUUUUUGAUAUGUAUAUAUAUAUAUAUAUAUAUGUAUAUAUAUUGAUUGUUAUACUCUUUGUUUUGUAGUUGCGUUGCUUCUUUGAACAAUGUUGAGCAGUAUGCUCAGAUUUUCCAUAAUACAAGCAUAAUCCUUCCUGGCAAUAAUGAAUCUUUUCUUAUUGAAUAAGAGGUUUGAAAUGUAGUACAUCAAUUUGAAUAUCUUCUACUUUCAAAUGUACAUGUUGAAGAGAUGUUGGUAUUGUCAUUGAACUAUAAUAAUGUUGUUGUGAUAUAAUACAACUAAUGAAUGAAAGAAAAAGAAAAGAAUAUUGAGAUUCCAUUUAUUAUAGGAUUUUUUAAGAGUUUGUUUAAGAUCUAAGAUUUGAUAAGGAUUUGGUUUUGGAUUUGAUCUAGAGUUUGCUUAGGAUUUGAUUUAGAACUUAUCUAGGAUUUAUAUAGAAUUUAGAAUUUCAUUAAGAUUUCAUUAGAAUUUAUCCUAAGAUUUGGUUAAGAUUAAAUUAGGAUUUCAAUCAGGAUUUGAUCUAAGAUUUGUUUUAGGAUUUGAUUAAGAUUCAAUAAAAAUUUUAAUUAGGAUUAUAUUAAUAUUUCUAUUUUUAGUAUUUCUUUAAGAUUCUUUUUUAUUUUUUUAAAGAUAUUUAUUUUUAGUAUUUCUUUAAUAUUAUUGUUAUUUCUUUAAAAAAAAAUUUUUAUAUUUUUUUAAGAUUUUUUUAUUAUUUUUCUUUGAAAUUAAUUUAAAACUUCUUUGUAUUUCUUUUAUAAUUUCUUUUUAAUUUAUUUUAAAAUGGUGAAAGUUUGUUUAAGAUUAUUAAGGUCUAUUUAAGAUUAUUUAAGAUUCUAUUAGACUUAAUAGAGUUAUUCUUGUAUUUUUGUUUAUCUUCCACAGUUAGGCACUUGUUACUUUCUUAAGUAAGAACCAUGUAAUAUAAGAAUGUUAUGGGACACUUGUAGAAAUUUCAGAUUGAAAUUCAAAAAGUCAAUUCUUAUACUUUAUAAUUAAAUUAAUUACUUAUCUCAAUGUUUGAAGAUCAGAUAAAUUGACCAGUAAUUUUUUUACCUCAUAUUAUAAUUUGUAAAAAAAUUGGCUAAGAAGUGCAAUAUCAUCCUACUUGAUAUCAGUUGCAAGUUGUCAAAACUAUUAACCAUAUAACAUAAUUGAUUGAUUGUCUUAUUGUAAAAUAUAGAUCUUAUUAAUUGCAAUACAAAUUGCAUCAUAUUUUUCAAACAUGGAUUAAAACUCUAUCAAAAAAGCCUCCAUGUAACAAGGUAUAUAUAAGAUAUUUAUAGUACUGACACGUAAGGAUAGAUAAUUGGAACCAUGUUUGAGAAAUUAUGGAAGUCUCUAGAAUUGGGGCUAAGUUAAUAGGCUAUGUAGGAUCCAAUGUGGAACAUUCUAAAAAGAACUUAGGGCAAUUAUCUAAGUAGUAUCUAUCAUAGAACCUUCUAAAAAGGAUUUAAGGUGAUUAUCUAAGAGAGACUCAUCAUCUAGAAAUAUUCUAAAAAUUUCAAGGUAGUAGAAUAAAGUAUAAAUAGGACUUACCAAAGUCUUUUGGGCAUCAGAUUAGGUAUGGCUUUGGACCUUUUUUUUUAGUAAAAUUUGGUUUUUCAUCUUCCUAUUCAAUUUUGUUUGUUCUAAUUUUCUUUCUUCAAUUUUACCUUUUGUUUCUUAUUUUUUUUUUAAAUUCUAUUCAAUUUUAUUUUGGUCCAUUUUAUCCUACUUUGUGAUGAGGUUUUAUGUUGAUGUAGAUUAGAAAGAUCUUAGACUCUUAAGAUAGAAUGGUCAUGUUUUAUUAAUAUUAGAGCAAGUGCUAGACUAUUCUUUGGUAGUAUGUCGAUAGUCAUCAUCUAAUUCAAGGUUAAUUUUUGUAGUUAUACUGGGUAUUAAGUUGAGGCUACCAUGAGUUAGUCUUAAAAAGUUAACUAAAAGAUGAGAAGACAUUAUAAUAGUGGAGUCUAGUGGAGAAUUACAACAUGAAAAAUAUGGUAGAAUAAUCCCAAAUGGAAGCUCAAAUACAAUACUUUUUAGCCUAGAUAACUACUUUGCAAGGGUAAAUCAAAGCCUCUAGAAUAAGAGAGUCAACAUCUAUUAGGCUGAAAUUGAAUAAGCUUUGUACAUAUUCUAGGACUUCAAGGUAAGAAGGUAUAUGUCAAUGACUCUUCAAUAUGCGACAAUACCUCUAACUAUCUAAGAUAAAUGCCACUAAAUGAAUUAUGUAUGUAACUAGUUAUUUGAGAGAUGUAGUAGCCAUUUGGCAGCAACAUCGAGUUCAAAGCUAUGAAGCUGAAGGUAGAUUUUGUGAUUAGGAGGAAUUUGAGACCAAGUUCAGAAAUCAAUUUUGAUUCAUCAAUGCAAAAAAAAUAAUACACAAUUAAUUGUCAAAUCUUACAUAAUUUAGGUUAGUGCAAGAUUAUGUUUCUUGAUUCAAGUCCAUUUAUGUCCAAAUUGGUAAUAUUUUAAAGGCGUAGAUGAUGGAUUAAUUUUUAGAAGGUUUGAAACUAAGAGUUGAAUGAGAGUUGGAAAUAAGGGAUCCACAAACAUUUGAAGAAGUAAUUAAGAUUGCAGAGAAGGUUGAUGCUAUAGAUUUUAGAAAUCAUGGAGCAUGACCUAUAGCACAAAGUCCUAUAUUAUUAUCUAAUACUAUGGCAUAACAAUCAAUGCCAAUAAAAAUUGAUGUCCUACAAGAAUCAUUGACACUACAAAGAUGAUAAAUAUUGGUACAAAAGAGAUUGUAUUUCUAUUGUUGGAAGCCAUACCACCAAAUUGGAAGUUAUCCAAAACUCCAAAAUUCAAUCACCAAAAAAAUAAGGUAGGUUUACAAUCUCAAGUCUCACUAAAUUGAUAAUAAAAUAAAGCAGGAAAAUCAGGCCUUUGAAUGAAGGCACCAAGGAUUAGUACUGGGAAUAGCUACUCUCUCUUAGAAACACAUGACAUAGCUUUAUAUAACUAUAAAAAGAAUUGACUAGUACAUCUAAUGGGACUAUUAAGAAGACAGCCAUGUUGAGUGCUUGUAGAUUGUGGUUCUAUAGAAAAUUACAUCUUAACUAAAAUUACCAAUCAACUUGGGAUUAAAACUAAGAUAAUCAAGAGAGAGAGUAUAUACCUUACAAAUGAUUGAAAGAACAUAUUAAGUGAGACAUGUAAACAAGAAAUCUUGAAGUUGACUGAUACCUAUAUCUUAGGAGAGAGGUUCAAGAUAACAAAGCUAAGAUAUGAUGUUAUCUUUAAUAUACCUUAUCUAAAGGUGAAAAAUAAGUAAGUUGAUUCAGUAGAAAAGACAAUUUUGUUUAAAGAUGGUAGACAUAAGAUAAUUGGAUAGUAAAAAUAAUCUCCUUUUAAGAUGGUGGACGUAAGGUGAUUCUUCCUACAUCUGCAUUGAAUGAAGAAGAAAAACAAUCGGCAACUAAAAACUUAUUUAUAGGGAUGAUCUUUAUAAAAAAGCAAAUACAACAUAAGCAAUUGGUAUAUAUAGUGGUUCUAAAUCUUGCAUCAAUGGUGGAAAAGACAACCAAAGGAAUAGAAUAGGCAGAGCAAUUUUUAUGAGAAUAUCAAAAUAUCUUUCUAAAUGACCUACUUUAAGGCAUGCUUCCUGAUCGAGGUGUCUCCUUUUAAAUAAAACUAGUGCUUGGAGCCAAAUUAGCAAAUCAAUCAAUUUAUUAUCUACGACCAAAUAAACUUCAAGAUAUUGAACGAACUGUUGGAAAAGGGCCUUAUUUAAAAAAACACAUCACUAUGGGAGAGCACCUAUACUCUUUGCAUCUUAGAAGGAUGGUAGACUUCAACUUUGCAUCGACUAUCUAGGCCUUAAUAAGCAGAUUGUUAAGAAUGCAUGUCUACUUCAACGCAUGGAUGAUCUUUUUGAUUGACUUUGAGAUGCAAUCAUUUUUAGCAAAUUAGAUCUUUGAAGUGGCUAUUGGUAGACAUUUAUCAUAAGAAAGGAUAUAGAAAAAAUGACAUUUUAUACACGCUAUGGAUAUUUUGAAUGGCUUUUGGCCUCAUCAAUACUCUAGCUUCUUUUAUAGGUUACAUGAAUAGAUUGUUUCAAGACCUAUUAGAUAAGUAUGUAGUUGUCUUUAUUGAAGGUAUUCUUGUAUAUAAUAAAAUUUCUAAGAAGCAUGAACAACACCUAUCAAAAAUAUUGUGUUAGCUGCAAGAUAAUUGCUUUUAUUGCAAGCAAUCAAAAUGUGAACUUUAGAAGUUAGAAGUCACCUUUUUGGAGCAUGUGGUAUCAUUCGAAGGCAUGUACAUGGAGCAAGAUAAGAUAAAAGCAAUGGAAGAUUGACUAACUCCUAAUGAUACUUUCAAAGUAUACUCAUUUUUAAGUCUUGUUGGAUAUUAUUACCAUUUUGUUCGGCAAUUUGUACAUAUUGUUAUAUCAUUGAUAAACCUAUUAGAGAAGGAUGCCCUAUUUGAAUGGAAACUAGAGCAAUAAAGCACUUUUGAUAGGUUGAAGAAGGUACUUAUUAUUGCUCUAAUAUUGCAACCAUAUGAUCCCAAUCUUUCUUGUAUACUUGACAUUGAUGCUUUCGACUUUGCUAUUGAAGCAGUCUUUCAACAAGAUUUUAAUAGGAACCUUCAACAUAGGCAUUUAAAUCAUGCAAGCUCAGAAGGACAAAGUAUAAUUACUCUACAUAUGAUCGAGAGUAAUUAGCAAUUAUACACGCCACAAAAUUAUAGUGUUACUACUUAUUGGAGAAGCUUCUAGUUGUUUGGACUAACCAUCGGUCCUUGCUAUACAAUUAGUAUCUGAAAAAUAUGAAAUCAUAAUAUAUUGUUGAAAAGAAUAGUUGUAGCUUUUUAAUAUCCAUCUUGAAUACAAGUAAGAGUAACAAUAUAAUGUGUCAAAUAACUUAUUGCGAAGACUAGACUUGAAGGCUAAAUUAAAAGACAAGGCAAAAGUCACUAACAUUAGAAGUAUCAUUUUAAACCUAACUAAAAAAAAAAAAAAUAGAAAGAAGCUAUGCAUUGAAAUGCUUAUUUUAAGAUGCUUAGUGAUUGAAUGAAGGUGGGCAAUAUACAGUAUUAAGAUUACAGUCUUAGUUAUGACUUGCUCUAUUUCAAGAAGCAAAUUUAUGUACCUGAUAAUGCUAUACUCUACAAAUAUAUACUUCAAGAAGGACAUGACAUCCCAAUAUCUAGGUAUUUAAGGCAUAAGAAGACUCUAGAAUGGAUCUCAAGGACAUGAUUUUGGAUAGAUUUGAAUUGUGAUGUUUGAGCUUUUGUGCACUUUUUCGAGUCAUAUGAAAGUAAUAAAGUAGGCAACAUGGUAUCUCUUAGAUUAUUGUACCUAAUUCCACUAUCUAUGGCAUAUUAAGGAUAGGUGAUUAUAGAUUUCAUUAUGUGUUUGUCACAGACUCUUCAUAAUGAUAUUACAAUUGUCAUUUUUAUGGAUCAAUUCUUGAAGCAACUUUAUUUGAUUAUAGUGCACUCGAAUAUUGAUGUUUUAGCACUUACACAAGUCUUUUUUAGUAUUGUCUUUUGUCACUAUGGAUUAUCUCAUGUCAUCAUUUCAAAUUGAAAUCCACACUUUAUGAGAAGUUUUUAGCAAGCCUUUUUGAAGAUAUUCGACACUUAACUUACCAUGUCUAUAGCCUUCCAUUUCCAAACAAAUAGGCAAAUAGAGUGUAUAAAUAUAACCUCAAAAAAUAUGUUGUAGGCACUUGUAAUAGUUCAUCAUAAUGACUGGAAUGUAUAUUUGAUGUCUUUAGAAUUUUUUUACAAUUAUAGUAUUUAAGCAAAUACCAAUCAUUUACUAUUUUUCUUUAACACUAGGCAACAUCUAAUUAUACCAAUAAUUCUUUAUCAUCCCAUCAACACCAACAACUUGAUAAUUGAGGAGUUUGUACAAUGACUUACAAUGAUCUUAUAAGAGGCACAACACUACCUUUUUAUUAUACAAAAUCAAUAGAAAUAGUAUGCAAAUAACCACCAACAAUACAAGAGCUUCUGAAAGGAUAAUAAAGUGUUAUUUUCUAAUACCAACUUACCACUUGCUACAUCAAUCCAAAUUCGUAAAUUAACACCUAGAUAGCUUCGACUUUUUUAUAUUUCUAUAAUAAAUUUUGAUGUUGCAUACUACCUCAGGUUUUCACCACAUAUUUGAAUCUAUCCAAGCUUCCAUAAUUUUCAAUUGAAGGAAAUUUAUAUUAAGCCAAAGUGCUUUUCGGAUCGAUACCAACUACCACCACUACUAGUUGUACUUGAUGACCAACAAGAAUAUGAAGUAGACAACAUUUUGGAGCAUCGCUAUAUUUGUAGUGGUAGUAGACAUCUACAACUUUAGUACAAAGUUCUUUAGAAAGGUUAUCCCAUCCACGAUCUUGUGUUAUAAUACGACUAUAUGGUCAAAGAUGAUAAUAUGGAUCUUAUUAUAGAAGAGCCAAGUUAAAAGAUAAAGUAAAAAAAUAUAGAUAAAAGAUAGAUAGAUAGUAAAACUUUUAGUAGUAAUGCUAUCUUUUUUAAAAAGUAACUUCUACUUACCUUGUAGGGCCAUAAAUAAGGCAAAAAAAGAAAAAAAAAGAUUGAAAAAAUAAAUGAUAUAAGUAUCUUUAGGAAGAAGUUAAGAGUAAAUUCUAGCAAAAAUUAUUUAGAAAAACUAGAUAUUGAUAUCUAAAGAAGGCCGGUUAAGAACUAGGAUCGAAAUCAGAUCCCAAGGCACAAAACUGAGUCUCAACGACAACUCUAGGACUCUUUUGAAGAUCGAGGAGUGGAAUUAGAGAACAGACCUAAUAAGAUUUCAAUGAGCAUUGGUUUUGGGUGAUUUGGAUUUGUAUUGACUUUGUAAGAGCUUUGCAAAGUCAAGGUUUGUUUUGGAUGACUUCGAUUUUGUGAAAAAAAAUAGGGUUUAUAUUUUAGGUGAUUUCAAGAGUUUUGUAAUAGAUCUAUGAGUGAAAUUUUGUUGGUUAAUGGUUAUAGUUGUGUUCAAUAUAUGUUAUGAAUUUGAGCUCGAUCUAAUAGUUGAAUUAAGGAUUAUUGAGGUUUAAGUGAGUCAAGGUCUCAGAAAGUAGAAUUUUAGGUCUAAUGAGGGUUUUAAAGAUUUUUUGCAAUCUACUAGUUGGAUUGGAGUGAAAUUUAUAUGAGAGGAUAUUAAACUUGUUUUCCUAUAUUUAUGAGAAUUUUUAGAUCAAUUGAACGGUGAAAAGGAGAGAUAUUGGCUCUGGAAGAUUGAUAUCAAGGUUAGAAAAGGAGGCGAGCCAAUACCUGAGCACGUUUUUGAGGAUAUCGACUAUUUGGUAAUUUCAAUCCUUUUCAAAAAUUUUGUGCUUGUUUUCAACUUAGUUUUUAAGAAGUUUGCAAAAUUUGAGUUAAGAUCAACAGUUCAUUCAUUAGUUAUUGAGGUUUAAUUCUAUCAUAGAAAUUAUUAGAGUUUGGUUAGGGUUUGGUUAGGGUUUGAUUUAGGAUUAGGAUUUGGUUAGAGUUUAGUUAGGAUUUGAUUAGGAUUUGGUUAGAGUUUGGUUAAGAUUUGAUUAGGAUUUGAUUUGAGAUUAGGAUUUGGUUAGAGUUUGGUUAGGAUUUGAUUUAAGAUUAAGGUUUGGUUUAGGGUUUAGAUUAGGAUUUGGUUAGGAUUUGAUUUAGGACUAGGAUUUGAUUAGAGUUUGAUUUAGGAUUUAGGAUUUGAUUUAGGACUAGGAUUUGAUUAGAAUUUGAUUUAGAAUUUAGGAUUUGAUUUAGGAUUUAGGGUUUGAUUUAGAGUUUAAGGUUUGGUUAGGAUUUGAUGAGGAUUUGAUUUAAAUUUUAGAAUUUUAUUUGAAUUUGUUUAGGAUUUAAGAUUUAGUUAGUUUUUGGCUUAAAAUUUGAAUGAAGUCCAAUAAGAUUUCAACUAGGAUUAAAUUAAGAUUGAAUUGAGAUGUAUUUGAGAUAUGUUUGUAAUCAUUCAAAUAUUUCUUUAAGAUUUUUUAUUAUUUCUUUGGAAUUCCUUUGAGGUUUUUUUGAAUUUGAUUAAAGCUUAUUUAGCAUUAUUAGUGUUCUAUUAGAAUUAAGAUUUUGUUGUUGCAAUUUCUAUUUUACCUUCUACAUCCAGGUGUCCAGAGCAUUCUCAUGUAAGACUUUACGUAGUACGACAACGAUGCAUUGUAGGAACCUACAUAGAACCUCAUCCAUUGCCAAGAGAUAAUUUGGAGAUACCAUCGAGAGCAAAGCAAGGACAUUUUGUAUUAGUAGAGGAAGUUUAACUAUAAUAUGAUAAAGAUAACAUAUUUGUAUUGUUGACAAAUAGGGAUAGAUAGUUAGAACCAUCUUUAAGAAGUUAUGGAAGUCUCUAGAAUUAUAGCUAAGUUAGUAGACUAUAUAGGAUCCAUUGUGGAACAUUCUAAAAAGAACUUAAGGUAGUUAUUUAAGUGGAACCUAUCAUGAAACCUCCUAAAAAAGACUUAGGAUGGUUAUUUAAAUGGAGCCUACCAUAGAACUUUUUAGAAAGAGGUUAGGGCAGUUAUUUAAGUAAAAUCCAUUGAUAUACCAAUGAAUCUAACUUUUUUCAAAAAAAUAUGACAAAAUAAAAGUAAAGAAAUAUGUAUAUUAAAAAGAAACUAAAAUGGCUAUUGCCAAAAGAAAAGAAAACUAAAGACUCUUGAAUCUAGACUAGAGUAAGUAAAGAAUUGACAAGAGUGAAGAAGGCUUCACUCUUGCCUAUAUAUAUAUUAUCUACCUAAGAAUCAUAUAGUGAUGUUCUAUAGGACCUACAAUAUGUGUUGAUUUUGUAAGCCAUAUGUCUUAACUUAUAAGGCAAGUUUUCUAUGUGUAUGCUAUAUAGUUAGCUUGUUCUAUAAGCUAUCAACAUGUGUGACAUGUGUCCAACUUGUUGACUAGAUUUUUAAUCUAAAUGUCAACUAUAAAUACAUAUAAAGUUAAAAUCGUAUCUAUAAAGCUUCUAAAAAGCUUAUUUAGAAGAUAUUAUAAAAUUAAUCUACUUCUAUCUAUUUUUACUUACUUCUAUUUCUAUUUUCAUAUAGAUAAUUACUAGAAUAAAUAUAAAUAUCCUUGAGAGUAUGUCUAUGACUCUACACAAAUGAUUAUACCCAAGGUUGAAGCUUGAUAGUGUCUUAGUUUCAUUUAAAGAACAUAUGAAGACUUUAAUGGAUUAUUUUGGAAUUACUUUGUAUUUGUUUUAAAAGAGUAAUAUUCUUUUAAUUGGAUGUCUUCAAAUUUGAAUAAAAGCCCGAAGUGAAUUAAUAUUACACUAACUUAUUAGCCAGGUUUUCAACCUAUCAAUCACUUAUAAAUAUAUAUUAAGGUGAAAUCUCAUCUAUAAAGCUCUUAAAAAGCUUCUCUACAAGAUAUUCUUAAAUUUAUUUACUUUUAUCUAUUUCUACCUAUUCAUAUUAUCUACAUAAUUAUUAGAAUAAAUAUGUAUAGUCAAGAUAAUAUCAUGAGUUGUAUCAAACUAGCAAAUAAUAUAGUUAUGCAUGCAAGAAAAAAUAUAUAGAAUUACAACAUCAUUAUGUAAGAGAAAAGUUAUAAGAUGGAACUAUAGAAGUGAAAUUUAUUCUCAAUAAAUAUCAAUAAGGUGACAUCUUGAUAAAAUCUCUUAAGAGAUUUUAUUUUCAGCAAAAUUAUAAAAUAGGAGGAUUAUUACAAAUCCCAUACAAAAAAGAAAUAGAAUAUUGUGCAGAUACUAAAAUUAAGAAAGACUUGAAGAUGAAGAAAUUUCAAGAUAGCAUUGUGCUUCACGCAAAGUUUUAAAACCUCUUAAAUUAAUAUGAAAGAAAUAAUUUAUUUUGGCUUCAUAUGCUGACUAAGACAUAUAAAUACCUAGGUGCAUAUCGUGUUAAAUUGCAUAAUCAGUAGGAACAUCCUCACUAUUGGCCAAGGAUUAAUCUCUAUUUAUUGUUGUGUAUUAACUGAAUGAAUUUGGAAGCAAAUUUCCAAUGAAACUCGUGGAUGAAGUUCAUCCUCGGGUUGCUUAUUAAGCCCUAUCGGCAUUCCAGGGCCUAGAGCCUAAGUUGCAGCUCAAGCUCUCGACUAGGCCUUCAAGCCCUAAUUCGACGACGUGAUCGUCGUCACAAUGCGGCGUUGUGGGUACGAAACGCAGCGAUGCAUGGACGAUUAGCUUGCGGCGACGCCAUGAUCCACGAGCACAAUUCAUCGUCGAUACAGACGAGGAGUUGUCGAUGCUUAGCCUGCGUCCACUUUGCAUCUUCUGGGUUCAAAUUCACAGAGCCCUUUCGGUCUCCAAGCUUAGCUAUAAUCGAUGGUGUACACGCACAAGGAAUUAGUGGACCACGUGAGCUCCUUGCACCGCUGGCUCAUCAAGCUCAGCACCACAUUCGAUGUUGUGGCGAUGGCGUAUCGGUAGCCGUCGGUGAAGACGGUGGGCAGCUCGGGUGAGACGUGGGUCCAUGUCCCGUUGGCAGAUUUCGUCACUGGUUGAUGAAGCCUGCGUUUGACAGGAGAAUAGGAGAUGUCCCACGUUAGCUUCAAAAUGGUUCAAUGAAGGUAUGGUGUUCUCUCUCUCUCUCUCUCUCUCUCUCUCUCUCUGUGUGUGUCUGUGUGUACGAUUAUUUCAUCAGAAGCGUGAUUCAGGAUUUUGAAUUGGAAACAUUGUUGCGAGAGACUAUCUUGUGGAAAUUGAAAAAAGGAAUGGGACCUCAGUCGACCAUUAGUUGGGGCUCACCAGUCGGAGUUGCCUCUUACAAACACGUAAGGGAUCUUGGACUUGGUAGCGUUGAGGGCGUUAUAUGCGUCGAUAGCUUGAGCUACACCAACAGCCUCCAUGGCAGACCUGUAUAACGUUUUCAGAGCAUGAAUAGAAUGUGGAUGCGCACAUUUCCUGUCGGUUCGAAGAUUAAUUUGCAGUUCGUAACCAAUGGAUUGCAGAUCACUUGAACCGUUUCAAAACCUAACUGAUUCCUUUCUAGUUAUCCUGCCAUGAACAGUAAAAUGGCGUUUCUUCUAAAAAUAUUAUAGACUAGUUCGAGGCUCUGUUUGAAAGCCGCUCUACUCAACAUCCUCUUCAGGUUGGGUACCAAUUCUUAUCAUGGCGUAUCAUGUGGUUUACCGAACUCUCUACGACUCAGCGAGAGAACAACGUUUGGUGUGAGUUUGUGUACUCACACUGCAACAACGUCCUUCGGAGUGACUGAGGAAUUGAAAGCCUGGUUGAUGGUGAGUGCUGUGUAGUUCCUUGCCGUGAUCUCCCACGGCACUCCCGAGUAGAAAAACUGCGAAUCCACCUCCACACAUUGCCUGUAAUCAUACACAGUCGGAGUCUUUUUGGAGUUCAAGUUAUAUGUUCUGUUCGUACUGGCGCUGAUGUACGCGAAGUACUCCUGCUCAUACUCCUGCAAUACCGGAAUGGAGCGAUUUCAAGCAUCGUUUUUUCAACUGCCCGUCAGAUAUAUUCCACAAUGAGCUCAUCUUGCUUUCAGGAAGCAAAACGUGUAUGAAAGUAGAGAAAGGGGUUUUUAGUGAUAAUAUUCGAUGGCAAUCGAAUCAAUUUACCUGAAGAAAGGUGUUUCGCAGGGGCGCUUGCCUGAUACUGCUGGAUGUUAUGGAAGCUGCGAGGAUCUCAUCCGCCAAAGCCAGGCUUCCUGCUGUGUGGGUAUCGAAGAUGCAGUCACCGUAGAGGUAAGCGGCGGUGGGCCCAUUAAUCUCUUCAGGGCUGAAGCACAAGUCCGGGUAACCCUUCGCUUGGCCGAUCCAAUCCGCAAGCUUGCAGUUCCAGUUCAUAGACAUGGGAGUCACGCACACAUCGCCGAGACGCGUGAUCUGCAAAGUAGUAGCGGAUCAAUUGAAGAGUUAUUCUUAAAAUCUAAUUUAAAAAAAGUAAAAACAAGAGAAAAAAAAAACAAAAAAACCCAAGCUCAUUAAUCUCGACACAUUAAAAGUCGAUUUCCUGGUGCUGACAACUAUAGUUUCCCACACAUACUUUGUGCGUCGGGUUGGCCUUCUCGCAAUUGUCAGGGUUCAAUAUACCACCCACAGCAGCAGACCAGCCAGAUGUCCCCACGUAAAUUAGCUCCUUAAAUCUCGAUCCGAGGCACUUCGCGAGGUCGAUGGCGCACAAGGCAGCUGUUGUUGGACCAAUGCCUGCAACCAAUCAAUCGUAAACUGACGUUAACAGCAGUGCGGGUAUUUGCGUGUCGUUGGAGAUUUGCGAUGGACUGAAGGAGGUCAUGAAUUCCUAUGCGCACCAGAGGUUGCAACAAUAGUGGGUUGGCCCAUCAACUUUCCCACAGUGACACGAGGGCACAGCAAUGAGCCCCUAGGAAUGUACACCGGAUUCUGCAACGACUCCUCGAAGUGGACAGCUUCUGGAACUCCCGAGAAUUCGCCAGGGUCAGCGACCAUGAGCACCGUGUAUCCCUCUGCUCCGCUGAGUUCAUCCAAGCAUGCUUUGGUCCUUGUCAGGCUGCAACUGUUUAUCCACGUACAAAAAGCACAACAUCAGCUUACGGUCCCAUCCAGAGGUGUAUCCAUUGGUCACCAAUUUGUGGAGUUAAUCUCAGCAAAGCACAGGAACAGAAUUCAAUGGCCGAGACUCCGAUUUUCGUUACCACGUCGAGCGCAAUCUAGCAGUGAGCAACAGUAGCAGCAGCGGCAGCAGUCCUUUCGCCAUCUUUCCUCCUGGGUGGGUACAUGAACUAAGUGAGAAAAACUGGGAAAAUUUCAGCGGGACCAGAGGCAGAAACGAAGCCAAAAUCCAGGAUAGGAAAAGUUCUGAGGGUAUAUAAAUAAACAAAUUACAAUUAGAAGACUGAAGUGAUCAUUGGAAGGCUAAAAAUAACAAUUAACGGGGAUUAAUUUAGAGGCGGAACUUGUCUGCACGACUCUGUCGAACAACGAAAAAUCACGCGAAGUGUCACCAAAACUUAUACAUGAAGUAGACUGCUUUAAAUGCUCGUGUUUUCUGUCAAAGCAGACAACUGCGCAUGGGGGCAUCACAAGGAAAUAGAAAAGAAAAAGAGUUCAAUCGUCUCCCAGCUUGGCAUUCCAGGAUUACAAACUAAGGCAAGAGGACAAGACACGAGUUUUCACGCUGAAAACUAAUUUGGUGCAAAGGUUUUGCCAUCACUAAAUUCCGACAGAGAAAAGGUUACCUCGCUUCAGACCAACUUAGACUUCUGAGCUCCGGAAAACAAAAGGGUCCCUGCAGCACCACAAUUAAUCGAAGCAAGAAUGUAAAUUUGCAACCAACAUGAGCAGUACAUCGGUGUUCCAAAGUGUUUCCAAACACUGUGAUCCACUCCCAGCCGAUCGUAUUGACGUCUAACUGCAGCCUUGGAAGGUCCGACUUAUCCCCAUGCGCAACGCAUGGUAGCAGCUAAACUAUCCGUAUCUCCACAGCCAAUUUCCUUUUACGACAGGUCCCUGUCCCUCUACCGUCUGAGCAACCGAUUGCUUUUGUUUGCCGCACAUGACUACUGCAAUAAGUUGAACUUCCACUUGGAAUUAACAACCUCCUUCAUCAAACGCUUCCGCACCCGGCUUCCACCGAAGUCCCGGAAUGAGUCUUGACACAUGGCGCCAAAAAAGUCAAACCAGUCGCAACCAAUCAUACGUUGUUAAACGAGGAUCAACACCAAGAAUACAAUAUAAUAUGCCAUCACCAUACCAACCGGCGACUACCAAGCAGAUGGCAGCACCCGAGAAGCCGCAGAGGAAGCUCAUUCGGGUUACAACUGGUGACCACAAGUGAACCUGUCGGAGCUAGUCAGAGAGAGGACAAAACUCAACAUUAAAGAAGAUGCAGUGGGGUCCGCAAGCUCAUAGUCACGCCACCGGAUAGGCCACGAUGGAAAAGUGAGCAAUUUUUUUCAGAAACUUGGUCAGAGCUGUACAGAAAGAGGCAACUCCACGCUACGCUGACGACUCUGUGGGUGGCGGUGAAUCGCACCCUACCGCGUGCAGCAGCAUUCUUUAAGUGUGUCCCAGCGUGGGAUACGCAUGUGACAGGGUUCCAACCACCUUGCAAUGGCCUCGUGCUUGCGGCAUCGCAACCGAGGGACAUGAUGCAGAACCAGAUGUGGGUUCCUGCGAUUCGACCUCGCAGUGUGCGGCCCUUGAGCUCGCGGUCCAUGUAGUAGUCGUCGUCGUCACGCACGGUUGUUGCUGCUGUUGUCGGUUUGUGUUUCCUGUUAGUUGUUGGGCUUGUGCGAGCUUCACGUGCCCCCUCACUCUUGUUUAUGUUUAGAGAAUUGUUGAAAUCUACAUCCCCCAAAUUGAAAUAGCUACACCCCACGUGAUCUCCUCGUAGAAAAUUGUCCAAUUUAAAAUUAUAUUUUAUAUUUUUGUUUUUUAUUCAUUCUUUAUUAACAUUUUUUUGGUUGCCAAAAACACAAAAAAACUCAUUUUUUCCAAUUUUAGAUUUAUAGAUCAAAAUUGGGAUGCCAAACUCGCCCUAAACGUAGAAACGUGCUUUUUAAUUGUAGAAACUUGCUUUUUAAUCAAUUAAAAUUCUGUAGAGGUCAUGUCAGAUGUAGCAAUAUCAAUUCGAAAUCUAACGUUAACAAUUAUAUAUAUAUAUAUAUAUAUAUAUCUGAAGGUGUGUCUUUGUGUGGGUGUUUGUAUGGUAGUUGUAGAUUCUGGUUUUGAUGUUCUAUGUACAAAUAUGAUUUGAAAUUGUUUUAUUUUUUAUUAUUUUGGGUUGCGUGCAAUGAAAUGAAUACUAUUUUUUUUUAGAGAUAUGGGUAUCUUUUCUUGUACUUUGCACAUAAUGAGCCUGGCUUUGAGCUUGGAGUGAUGGAGCCCACCAUUUUUAAUAAUUUUGUUUUCUUCCAUGCUUGGUGGGAUGGGUGCUUGCCAUGUGACAAACCUAGUUUGUAGGAUAAUUGUUUGGUGAUUGUUAGUGAUCUUGUAAUUAUGGAGAUUGGAGGACACACCAACUAUUCAUGUUUGUGUGUCCAAGUCUACAUGUAACUCUUUUGUGAUUGAACAACCAUGUGUAGGACAAUUGCCCAUGACUAUUUUGGUUUGAUUUUUUAAAAUUUUAAACUGACCUUGUGAAGAUGUUUUUAAGGAUUUUAUUUUAUUUUAUGGUUUAGUUUGAUGAGAAUUAUGUAAAGCUAAUUAAUUUUAAUAAAUGGUGUGAAUUGUUGCUAACUGAAGCGACUGAGAGUCGGUUUGUUCUCAGAACUAUUCUGAAAUCUGGAAAAACUGCGAAGAGUGAGAAGUUGAGUGAGAAAACUCUUCGCAGUUCUGAGAAUAGACAAAUUUGCUUGUCUCAGCAAAAUGCAGCUUCAGAUGUGGAAAGAAAUCAAAUGGGUGCGAGAUAACGUGACAUAGUUUGAAGUGCGUUCGUUCAAUUUCAUCACUUUCAAGCUUCUUGAGUCUGCUUGUGCAAAAUGCCCAAUGUUAAGAGAUUGUGAGCUUCAGCUCAAGAUCAGGUGAGGAAGAUCUUCAGAAGUACCAUGCAUUUGUUGCUUCCGACUAAGUGUGAAGCAAUGCUCUUGGAUUUGAAUAGGAAAGUUGAAAAUCGAAUAUGGAAAGAGGUAGUCUGCGAAAGCUGUCAAUGGACAAGUGAUCAAACCUGAAACCUGUGAAAUUUCAACAGUCAUUUGUAUCACAAGCCCCAUAAGACAAGAAAAAGUUGUCACAUGUACAUCCAGCAUGUGAGAAUCGAUAGUUGCUGCUCAUUUUUUUGAAACAUUGUAUAGACAAAUAGCUACCCUAAAAUGGCUGCACGGAACACAUUUUGUAAUGCUUUUGAGUGCACCUAAUGGUACAGAACAGUAAGAAACCCUGAAUAUUUGCAUCACAAUGUCUCUGCUUCGAAACAAAUGUCGUUAAUGAUACAGCUGAGUUAGUCGAUUGGUGAUCCGACUCAUCAAAUAAAAAAAUUAAGUGUAAUUACUCCCUUAAAAUGGUAUUGUCUCGUAGCCUCUUGUUGCACCUUUUCAGAGGCAACCCUCAGUCAACGAGAAGUUUCCAAUGACGUUGAUUAAGAGCUGCAAAAUUACUUGUGAACAUGAAGAAAAUAAGCCAGGUGGGACUUUCUUCAAGGAGUAAGUGAGUUCAAUUACCCCGAUUGACAUUGCAGACGCAUACCUCACAGCGUCAUAGACCUGGAUUAUCUCGCAAUGUCCUCAAACUCUACAAAUUUCAUUACUUAACAUUUAAAAAGUCAUCGACUAUGAAGCGGAAUGGCAUGAAUGAUUUGAAUAUUCUCGAUUAAUCCACUUGCAGACAACAGGAUGAAGAAUUCAGUGGAGAACCUCACGAACCAAGCAGUUGCAAAUCUUUUUGAUGCUAAGUAAGAGCUGUAAUAGACAUUGAUUAUGUUCAGUCAUCACUAUUCAAGGUUCAGCAUGAACUCCAAUUUAGGUGACGGCAGAAGAGGAGGGUAAUCAGGAGUAUAAUAGCUCCAACAGUUCUGUACUCGGGGGUUGAAGACAGCAACACCAAGAAACCUGCCAUGAGCGAGAUUGCAGUGCUUGUGAAAUUGCUUACGAAUCAAAAUACAAAAAAUUGAGUAAGAAUGUGUUAGCUCAUUGAUAGGGUAGACUUGUCAUGGUUGGAGCAUAAAAGUGGGAGACCAUGAAGAUGUGAAAUAAAAUUACUCAACUUCUCUAAUUUACACAGGCUUCAAAUUGUAUUGACCCACCUUAUUGAAUUUCUUCAUAAUCUUCCAACUGAAUUCGUUUGUAGGAAUGAACGACUAAAAUUGCUCUGUAAACAGAGUCAUCGAUCGGGUGCAAAGAUUAUGUUCUUCUCAGAACUGCAGCUGGCAAGAUGAUGGGGCAUUGGGAGAACUCUAUAUACACAGCCUUCAGCGUCUUCUCGAGCUUUAGACCUUUUUUCAUAACCCAAGCUCAUGUCAAUGAUAUCCUGGGUGAUGCUAGACCUCUUCUCUUCGUCGUCUUUUGCCUUCAGUCAUAGGAUGGGUAGGGGACUACCACCAACCUAGUUCAAAACAUGAGACUAAGUGGAGAAAGUUACUCCGCUACAGAGACACUUUUGUCAAGAUGCAUGUGCUUGUGGACCAGGGAUAAGUUUUGGCUGCUUGUCUUCAGCUGAGGUCGUGGCUUCAUUUGGGACUUCUAACACGUUCACUUUCUCCGAGGAACUGUUGAUUGCAAGAGUCGGCAAAAGUGAAGAUAUCAUGGUCGAGCACCAGUCAAUAAUUUCAAUAUCCUGAAUCUCCAAGUAAAAGUUUAUUACAAGUUUCCAUCUUGUCACGAACUGCUAGCAAAGGCUUCUUUGCUUGCUCAUAACUUCUACUUAAGCUGGGAUGUGUUCGAAUUGCGGAAUUGGUGUUCUUGUUGCAUUGUAAUGACUUUCAAGAGCGGAUUUUGGUGGCCAAUUGCUACUUCAGUAGAAAAUUGGUUAGCAAUGCCCUUAGACUAUCAGGGCUAUGCAAUUUUGGCCUAAUCCAAUGCAUUAGCUAUUAAAGAGAUUCAGACUUGAGGUAUUUGCAAAACCAAAUAAUUGGAGGUUGAUUAGUGAUAUUUUCAAGAUCACUUGAAGUAUCAAAUCCAAAAUAUCAUUGUUCAAACUUCAUUACCAUCUUUAAGUUUUUGAUCUAUCACUUAAUAUUUUCGUAAUUUGAAAAAUUCAAAGAGUUGUGUGGUAUAGAAUCAAAGAAGGAAGAGAGUUAAAGCAAGUGAUACAGUUUUUGAUAUUUCACCCACCUUUCUUUUGAUAUUUUGAUUUCAAAAUCAUAUAUCUUACAAGGUGAGUGAUUUGGUGAAAUAUCAUUAGAUACUUCAAGAUGUCAUUAUGGAUAAAAUAUUAUCCAAAAAGGCCAAGUCUAAAUUUUCUUAUUGAAUUGACCAUCAGUCAUUGAAGUGGUUGAUGGUAAGCAAUAUAUUGACUAGCAAGCAUGUCAAUUGAACUCUCACCUUCUAAGAAUAUAACUUCAAUACUAUGUCAAAGAUAGGAAUGACGAAUAUGAAUGAAGAUUAACUCAUUAUGAACUCAAACCUUGAAUUGAAAGACAUCAUAAAUUGGUAAAAUGACUGGAUUAAACCAUUAAUUAAGUAUUUAGUAAUGUUGGUGGUGGCCUAUCUAGCAUUAAUUUUAGGGACCAAAACAAUCUCAUGCUGUCAUUGAAAAUAGUGACAAUGGAAAGAUCUAGAGUUGAAAUAUGCAACAAAAUCCUACAAAUUAUUUGUCAAAGACAAAUAAGACUAUUUCUCUCUACUUUUGCAUUACACAUUUUAUUUUAAUUUAUUUAAUGAGAAUUAAUCUCUAAAAUACUUUGACUUAGUGUUAGUUUUUUUCAUAUGAGUAAUUUAUUUUUUAUAAUAAAUCUCAAUAGUAAUCUUCAUAAUAAACAUCAAUCUAUAACCAAUUUUUAUUUUUAAUAAAAUAUUAUUAAAAAUCUAUUUAUAUAUAUAUGUAUAUAUAUAUUAGAAUUUUUUAUCCUUAGAAUUUUAAAGAUGUAAGCUAUGAAAAUAUUUACAUUUUCUAUAUUGAUAUCAAGAUUAGAAACAAUAAUCAUUUUUACAAUUAUAUGAUUAAAAAUAAACCGAAUUUUAGUUUAUUAGAAGUAUAAAAUAUUAUACUGAUAUUUAUAUAAUAAUAGAAAUUAUAUUUGUUUGUUUUUUUGUACAAUAAUGUUUUUUAGUAUAUAUAUAUAUAUAUAUAUAUAUAUCAUAUUUACAAGAUGAAACUUUAAAAUUAGACUUAUAACAUGUAGGACUAGUUUUAAAAUAAAAUAUUGUACUAUAAUUUUUAAUCCCUAUUUAAGAACUUUAAAAAAAAAUCUUUAAUCUUAUUAUCUACUUCACGUUCUUUGGUCUUCUUAUUAUAGUCAUCUAUUUGAAUGGUUAAGUUUUGAAAAUAAUUCAUCAUACAUAUCUAAAUUAAAUAUAAAAGACUUUAUUUUUUUAAUAUUAAUUUAUUUACUAAUUUUUAGUAUAAUAUCUUGAAAAAAUAAUAAAUAUUUUAAAUAAAUAUAUAGGUAUAUUAUUAUUUUCUAUGUUUUUUAGUAAAAUAUUUUAUAUAUAUAAAUAUUUAGUUUUAUAACUUUAUAGUUUUUGCUAAUGUCUACUAUAAGUUAUUAUUAAACCUCUUAUUAAAAAAUAAGUUAUACAAGUCAAAGAAAUAAAUAUAACUAUGUUAGAUGGAAAAAAUAGUUAUAUUAUUCUUAAAAGAUUAUCUUUUAUAAAUAUUCUAAAUAUAAACUAUACUAUCAUAUAUAAAUUUAAUUAAUAGUAUUUUUUAUGCCAUAAUUAUCUUAAUAUAAUUUGUAUAUAUUUUUUUAGUUAUGUAUUGUGAAUAAUGUUUUUUCCUCUAGAUUUUUAUGUAAUAGUAUUAUUUUAAUAUAUUAGACCAAUAGAAUUUGUAUGGUAUUGACUUUUCUCUUUUAUAUAAAAUAUUAAUUGGACAUAUUUUUUAUGUUAAGUAAGAAGUUUUAGAUAAUAAUAAUAAAGUUUUUGAGUCAAUCUUUAUGCUAUUUAUUAUUAAUAAUCAUAAAAUUAGACUCUAAAGUCUAAUAGAUAAAAUGUUAUAAAAGUUGCAAUAGUAGUUAUGGCUACAUGUCUUAUAUCUAAGUGAUCAACUAAUUUAUGUAUUCAACAUUUAUUUGUAUAAAAAAUCAUAUUAAAGGUUGAAUUAGGAAUUGAAUAUUUUUUUUUUUAAUAAAAAUGAUGUAAAAGAGUCUUUUUCAACAAAUCUCUUUGCUUGCUUAUAUUUAAUAUUUAAUAUUUAAUAUUUAUCUAACUUGUAUAAUUUUCUUAUAAAGAAGUUUUAAAUUAGCAUAAUUCUUGAAAGUCAAUAAUCAAUUAUAUUUGUAUAAUAGAAAUAAUACAUAUUAACAUCUAUAAGAUUCUAUAAUAUUAAUAUUUAUAAAUGUGUAGAUAAAAUAAAAAUAUAAAUAAGCUUUACAGAUUUAAUAAAUAAAUAAAAAUUGUUACUUAUAUAAGAUAUAAAAGAAGGACAUCUACUAUCAAGAAUAAUAUAUAACUAUAUUUUGGUACUUAUUAUGCAUACAACAUAUGCAAUAUAGAAUGAAUAUUGUGAAUGUUAGAAGUAAGAAAGGUGCAUAUACAAUGUAAAUAAAGAUUGUGAAAUGGAUGUGCAAAUAAUCAUUUUGUAGUUGUUAAAAAAUGUCUAUGUGAUUCUACAUUGAUUUAAGGCUUAGAAUGUAUUGACUUUUAUUUGACCAAAUUAUAUUGUGAUAAAGGUUCUAAGAAAAUAACCAAUUCCCAUAUUUAUGUUUGCAAUUUGAACUAUCUUAUUAAAGAUAGUUAAAAAAAAAAAAAUACAAUCAUUGUAAUCAAAUCAAGGAAGUUAAUAAGUAAUUGUAUAUUUGAGAAUUUUGAUGCCAUAUAUUCAAAGAUUGUAAUAGAGCCUAUUGAAUGGUUUUUUAGAUAGUUAUUUUUUAGAAAAAAUAAUAAAAAAAUAAAAAAUUUAAUUUUUAGAUAUAAAGUUAUUCUUUGUUGUGUGCAAAUUAUUUUAGAUAUUCAUCUUGUUGAAGUUUCACCACUUAGUAUUGCUACUUAAAGUACUCUCAAAACUUGACUUUAUUAAAAUAAUUAUAAAUUUGAUCAAAUCAAGUAAUCAUGUGUAUAUAUUAAAGGUAAAAAAUUCUUUAGAUAAGAAAAAUAAAAAAUCUUUAUAUUGAAGAUAAUAAAAGCAUGUCAAGGAUUUGGUUUUUAAAUGCAACCAAGAAGAGGUUUUUAAGAUUAAUAAAUAAUAUUUGACCAUGUCAAAUAUAUAAAAUAUUUGGAUAACUAUAGCAUAGCUUAUUUACAAAUUGGACUAUUACAAGAUCUAGACUUUUGUAGUUUGUAACAUAGAAUUGGUACAUGUAAAUAAAUAAUAUUUAUAAUAAUACUUAUUGAGUGUUAUGAUACAAGUUUGAGAUAAAAAUUUGUAUAAUUGACUUUUAAAUUCUACCUAAGAUUUUUUUAAAAAAUAUAUAUCUAAUAAAAUUAUAAAUUUUUUUAUAAAAUUUAUCUAUUUGAUGGCUUUUACAACAAAAAAUCGUGUUCUUAACAUCCCAACUAUAUUAAUUUUAUAAUUAAUGUGUAAACUUGAAUGGUAAGUAUUUAUAAUUAAUGUAAUAUGCACUAUUUAUUGAAUAGGACUCUUUGGUUGUUUUAUUGGCUAUAAAUUAAGUCUGUGUGUAAUGCCCAUUAUAGUUAGCAAAAAAUUCAUCUAUAAUUUGUAUAUACUAUAGAGUAUUUAUUAUUUUAAAUAUUUUUUUUAUUAAAGUGUAUUAUUAACUAAUGUAAUAUAAAAUAUAAAUUAAGAACUUAUAUUUCAAAGGCAUUUUAUAAAUAGUAUGAUACACACUAAUUAUAGAUAAGAAUAUAAUACCAUCUUAAUUCUAUAAUAAGGCCUUCAAUGCCAAGUAAAUCUAACUUAAAGUUGCUUCAAGAAGGUGCAUAUCUACUACAUUGCAAAUAAAAAAGACAAUUCGACUAGUUAUUGAAGUUUUAAACUUUUUAAAUCUUUUUUGUUUUAAGCUUCAACAUAAUUUUUUUAAUACAUAAAUUGAUGAAUGUUUGAUAGUCAAUGCUAAUUGUAUUGUUGUUAUAGAUUACAACAUUUUAAUAGAGGCGAAAUUCUAAUAAAAUAUAAGAUUUCAAAUAAUGAAUUAUUAUAGAUUAUUUGUUUUGAUCAUUAAAAAAACUUUAAUACUAAUUUAUAUAAAAAAGUUUAAAUUAUUAUUUUUUUAAAUUAUUGAAACUACAAUAUUAAAUUUAUGCACUUAUUUAUUUUAUGCUAAGUCAGAGAUAUAAUAUUUUUUGCUUCUUUAGAUAAUAUUAUAAAACUUGAGUGCUCUUCUAUUCUAAAAAAUUAUCUAAAGAUAUAAGAUUUUUUAAUUCUUUUUGUAAUAAUAUCAAAAUUGAAUAUCCACUUAUAUCAAUAUUUUUAAAAGAUAUAAGAUCUCUUAAUUCUUUCGAUAAUGAUAUCAAUAUCAAGUGCUUAUUCUCAAUAAGUUUUGUUAAAAAAAAUAUAUUUUUUUAAUUCACAAAGAAGUAAUAUCAAAUUUAAGCAUCUAAGAAUGUUAAAUUCUAUUAUAGAAAUUAAAUUACCUAUUUUAUUUGAAAAUGUUAUCAAACUUAAGCAUCAAUUCAUAUUAAGGUUUUUCAAAUAAAUAAAAAAUUUCAAUCCAUAUUGAUUUUAAAUCAUUUCCAAAUUUUUUAAUUUUAAAAUUAAUCAAAGAUUAUUCUUAAAAUAUUUUAAAAUUUGUAGUCAUUGUUUGAUUCAGCUAUAUCCAAAUCUUUUCUUUAUUCUAACCAUAAUAAAGAUUUUUUUAAAAAAAUUGAUUUUUUUAAUCUUGUAAUUACUCAUGCAUCAUUCUAAUUCUAUUAUUUUUUACUUUUACUAAUAAUUUAUGAUUAAAUUUAUCCAUUAUAAGAUUUGUAUCUUGAUCUAUAGAAUUUUUUUUAUUACUAAUAUACAUGUAUGAUGCUCUUUCUUUCAAUGUGCAAUGUAGACACACAUUACGACAAAAAUAACAACACAUAUUUAAAAGUAUAUAUAUUUUUUUAUUUUAAAAUAAAUCAAAGAUUAUUUUUAAAAUAUUCUAAAAUUUAUAGUCAUUCUUUGAUUCAGCUAUAUCCAAAAAAAUUCUUCAUUUUAACCAUAAUAAAGCUUUUUUUAAAAAAAAUUGAUUUUUUUUCUCUUAAAAAUAUAUCUAAAAGUAUUGAGCUCAAAAAAAGUCCAUUGUAAGCUUGAGCAAUCUUUUUUUUAUUAUAAAUAAUUUUUUAAGCAAUUCUACUUAAUAUCUAUAAGAAUAAUAAAUAAUUAAUUCUAUACUAAUAUAUUCAUUAAGUUUUUUAAUCACUAUUUUAUGAAUAUUAGAACCUAACUUUAUAUUCAUUUUCAAUCUUAUGUUGUUAUAAUUAUUGUGCUACUAUUAACAAUAUUUAAAGCAUCUAUGAUUUGUUAUAGGUUAUUUAGGUGGAAUCGACCAUAGAACCUUCUAAAAGAAGUUUAAGGUAGUUAUUGAAGUAGGAUCCAUCAUCUAAAAAUAUUCUAGAAAGUCUAGGGUGGUAGAACAAAAUAUAAAUAGGAUUAGCUAAGGAUUUUUGGAGUAUUUGGUCAAGUAUGGCUUUGAACUCUUUCUCUUAAUACAUUUGGAUUUUGUAUCUUCCUAUUUUGUUCUGUUUUGUUCUAAUUCUAGUUGCUCAAUUUUUUCUUCUGUGUCUUAUUUUAUUUACUUCUGUUUAGUUUUAUUCUAGUCCAAUUUGUCCUAUCUUGUAAUGAGGUUUCAUAUUUCUAUAAAUUAGAAGGAUCUCGGAUACUUGAAGUAGAUCAAUCUUGUUUCAUUGAUAUCAAAGUAAGUGUUAGACUAUUCUUUAGUAGUAUGUCGAUAGUCAUCAUUUUGACCAAGGUUAGUUGUUGUUAUUAUACUAGAUACUAUAUUGAAGCUACUACAAGCUAUUCUUAAAAAAUCAUUCAAGAAGUGAGAAAGUAUUAUAAUAAUAGAAUCCAGCAGAAAAAUUAUAGCAUGAGAGAUAUGGUGGAUCAAUCCCAAAUCAAGACUCAAAUACAAUACCUUUUAGAUUAGAUAGCUACUUUACAAGGACAAAUAAAAGCCUCAAGGAGAAGAGAGUUGACAUUUGUUAGGCUAAAAUUGAGAUUUUAAGACAAGAAGAUGUAUGACAAUGGAGAUAAAUGUCCUACAAGGAUCAUUGACACCACAAAAACAACAAAUAUUGGUACAAAAGGGAUUGUAUUUUGUCACGAACAUUCGCAUGUAAGCCAAUAAUUAUGUGUAUAAAUAAGUAGAAAUAAAUAAAAGUAAAUAAAAAUAAAUGAAUUCUAUAGUAUUUUGUAUGGAAGCUUCUUAGAAGCUUUAUAGAUAUUGUUUUGACUUUAUAGGUAUCUUUAAUUGACUUUUUGGAAUUAGAAACAUGGUCAACAAGUUGGCCAUGUGCCACACAUGAUGUUAGUUUGAAGACCAAGCUAACUAUAUAGUCCACACAUAGAAAAACUUGUCUUGUAAGUCAAGGCAUGUGUCCUACAAAGUCAACACAUAUUGGAGGUCCUAUAGAAUGUCGCCACAUAGCUCCUAGUAAGAUAGUAUAUAUAGAGACAAGAGUGAAGCCUUCUUCACUCUUGUCAACUUCUUUCUUGCUUCAAGUCUAGUUUCAAGGGUUUCUAGUUUUUUUGGCUUUUGGCAAUAGCCAUUCCAGUUUCUUUCUUAAUAUACAUAUAAGUUAUUUUUAUUUUUUCAUCUUUCUUUGAGAAAAGUCUCACUUUUUUAUUUAUCUUUACGAUGUUCUUAUCCUUGACAGAUUGACAAGAGUGCACUUAUAAUAUCAGAGCUUUGUCUAAUCUUGAUUGAAAGUGGAUUAUCCUUUUUUUUUGAUAAGACAUAAGCAUAUUAGAAGUUGCAGAUUACCCUCUUCUAAAUUGAUAUUUUUUUUAGUAUUUUCUUUGUUCUCAAGUCCUCUCUUCUAUUUGUCUUGAGCGAUAUUAGACAUCUUCUCUUUUCUAAGUGUUAUUAUGGCAAAACUUGCUGAAAUGAAGAGUGCAAUAGCACAAAUGCAAGAGCAAUUGAGGAAGUUAAUGCUUGCGAUGCAUCAACUCAAUUUACCACCAAAAAGAGCAACAAGAUUGGGAAGAAGUGAAGAUAUAGAAAUGAUUAGAGCUGCUUCAAUACUUGCACUAAAUCAUGUUCCUUUUCCUAUGGUGGAACGUCCUUCCAGUGUUAGAGAACCAAGAAUUAUUCUACCCGAGAAGUUUGAUGGCACCAAAUCAAAGUUUAGAGGAUUUAUCAAUCAAGUACAACUUGUGAUUGAACUUCAAUCCCAAAGCUAUCCAACUCCAAGAUCGCAAGUUAGAUUCAUUAGUACGCUUCUUUCAAGUUUAGCAUUGUCAUGGUUUUCAUCUUUUCUUGAACGACGAGAUUCAAUAUUGGAUAAUCUAGAGGCUUUUUUGGCAGAGUUUUGAUCCAUGUAUGGAGAACAUGAUGCAAUUUGUAUUGCAACCAAUAAGAUCCAUAUUUUACGACAAGGCAAUCGAUCAGUAACAUUAUAAGCUUCACGAUUUUGACAACUUGCAACUGAUAUUAAGUGAGAUGAUGCUACACUUAUUAGCCAAUUUCUCUAUGGAUUAUAAUAUGAGAUAAAAAAAUUAAUGCUCAAUUUACAUGAUCCUCAAACAUUGAGUCAAGCAAUUGACUUUGCUAUAAAGUGCGAUAAUUGCCUUUUUGAAUUUCGAUCUAAGAACUGUAUAAGUGGACCUCAAUGUUACUAUAAUUCAAUAGCAAUAUCAACAUCUCUUCAACACAUACAAUUGAAAGUAGAGGAUAUGCAAAUUGUUGCAAUACAUUUCAAACCUCUUAUUGAGCAAGAAAAGACUUGUCAUCAUCAAAAAGGAUUGUGCUUAUAUUGUGGAGAACCUAAGCACAUUGGUCAACAUUGCUCAAAAAAGUGAUGCAAUCAUAAAAUGAGGAGUACGACCAUUAAUAGAGAUAGCAUGUUGAAUUUUUUUUUUGUCCUGCUACAAUAAGAACCGUGCGGCUGGAACCUUGUACAAUGCCUAGUAAAGAUUCUAUCUUCUCUUUAGAACCCUCUCCUUGUUUUAUGAUAAAUGGUAUUCUAUGACCUAAACAUCUCAAAGCCUCUGCCUUGCUAGAUUCAGAAGCCUCAACAUGUUUCUUGGAUGAAAAAUUUGCUAAAAGACAUAGCAUAUUUUUAGUAAAGAAAACUAAACCUGUUCAUGUAGAAGUCAUAGAUGGUCAUCCGUUGUCUUUAAGAGAUAUUAUUCUCCUGAAGAUAUGAAGCCCUUCCUAUAAAAAUAGCAACUAAUGGUCAUAGUAGCUUUAUAAUAUUUAAUAUCAUUAGAUCUCUUUCUAAUCCAGUCAUUUUAGGUUUAUCAUGACUAGAAAAAUAUAAUCCUAAAAUAGAUUGGACUUCUCGUAGUCUUGAAUUUUUUGAAAGUAUAACUAAGAGUGUAAUUAAUCAAGUAGAAAGUUAUAAACCUAGUAUAAUUAAACUUAUAUUUGUAGAUACAAGUAUUUUCUUGCAUGUUGCAAAAGAAGGAUCACCUUGUGUCAUUUAUGCCACACUUGUUUCUAUUGGUGGAAAGACUUCAAGUGGCAUUUUAAGCCAAUAUGAAGAUUUUCAAGAUGUAUUUGAAAAAAAUAAUAUGGAUACUCUUCCAGGACAUCGUCCCUAUGAUUGAUCAAUUGACCUUCAAGAAAGAGCACAACAACCAUUUAGAUUAAUCUACAAUUUAUCUCAAUAUGAGUUGGCUAAACUCAAGGAGUAUAUUGAAGAAAAUUUGACCAAGAACUUCAUACGCCAUUUCAAAUCUCCAGUAGGAGCUCCAAUUUUAUUUGUGAAGAAAAAAGAUGGAUCAUUGUGGAUGUGUGUUGAUUAUCGAGGACUCAAUAAAAUCACUAUCAAAAAUAAGUACCCACUAUUUUUGAUAUCUGGACUUCUUGAUCAAUUGAAUCAAGCUAAGAUCUAUAUAAAAAUAGAUCUAUGAAGAGCAUACAAUUUGGUAUGCAUCAAAGAAGGAGAUGAAUAGAAGACUACGUUUUGAAUAAGGUAUGGAUAUUUCGAAUACAACAUCAUGCCUUUUGGACUUACAAAUGCACCAACAACAUUCCAACAUUUAAUGAAUGAUGUCUUUUGGGAGUUUUUAGAUGAUUUUAUUAUCUAUUAUCUAGACGAUAUCUUAAUUUAUUCUAAGAACUCAGAAGAACAUGAACUUCAUGUUCAUCAAGUAUUACAAAAACUAAGAGAUAGAGGACUCUAUGCCAAGAUAGAAAAGUGUGUAUUUUAUACUACUCAAGUCGACUUCUUAGGAUACAUCAUUUCAAAUGAUAGACUUAUGAUGGAUCUUAAGAAAGUUCAAACUACUAUGGAUUAGAAGAUCCCAAAAACGGUAAGAGAUGUCCAAUGCUUUUUGAGAUUUGUCAACUACUAUCGGAUCUUCAUCAAAGACUUCUCUCAAGUUGCAGCUCUACUUAUACGUUUGACUUACAAAGACAAACUUCAAUGGAAUCAAGAAGCAAAAGUAGCAUUUGAAGCUUUGAAGACAGCCUUUGUUUCUACACCAAUCUUGUAUCGUGUUGAUUUUUCUAAGCCAUUUUUUAUAAAAAUAGAUGCAUUAAACUUUGCUUUAGGUGCCAUAUUGUCACAAAUGGGAAUAGAUAAUAAACUUCAACGAGUAGCUUUUCAUUCUAGAAAAUUUUCAAUAGUCAAGAUCAACUACAAGAUCCACGACAAAGAACUUCUUGCAAUCAUAGAUUACUUUGAAGAAUGGUGCCAUUAUCUAUAAGGUGCUUUUAGCCCAGUCAUAAUGUAUAUGGAUUACAAGAACUUUGAAUAUUUUAUGUCAACACGUAUUUUGAAUAGUCGCCAAGCUCGUUGGAGUAUGUCUUUGUCAAGAUUCAAAUUCAAGAUCACUUAUCGACCAAGAAAAUAAAAAGGUUUGUCAAAUAUACUCUCUAGAUGAUUUUAUCUUGUACCAAAGGAAAGAGAUGCUGCUUUUGAUCAACAACAAAUAAUUCUCUUGAAGCCAAAGCAUCUUCAUCUUCGAGCAAUGAAAUCAAUACUAAUUGUUGAUUCAACUUUCAUUAAGAAAGUUUAGUCAAGUAUGUCUUUUGAUCCUCUUAUUCAUGACAUUAAGGAAAAUCCUUCAAAGUCUCAUGAUACUUCCAAGUUUGAAUUCAAGAAGAAUCUACUAUAUUUUGAGGGCCGCCUAUGUGUUCCAGAAGGUGAAGCUCGAUUACGUGUUCUUCAAGCUCGUCAUGACUUUCCAAUAGCAGGACAUUUUGGAUACAAUAAAACUUUGGAACUAACAUCUAUGGAUUUUUGGUAGCCACAAAUGUAGAAAGCAGUCAAAGAUUUUGUACAAUCUUGUGAUGUUUGCUCAAAAUCAAAAACUCCUCGUCAUUGACCUUACGGACUUCUUCAACCAUUAUCCAUUCUAGAACAACCAUGGUCUUCUAUGGAUUUCAUCACGGAUCUUCUAAUCUCAAGUUCUUAUGACUCUAUAUUUGUGAUAGUAGAUCGUUUUAUCAAGAUGGCACAUUUUGUAUCAUGUACAAAAUCUAUCAUAAGUAAAGAAAUAGCUAAGCUCUUUCUUGAUAAUAUCUAUCGCUAUCAUGGAUUAUCCAAGGAUAGUAUAUCAGAUAAGGGAACUCAAUUUGUAUCAAGAUUUUGGCGAAUUCUUUUCAAGAUUCUAAAAGUGGAUAUAACAUUAUCUUCGACAUUCAAUCCUCAAACUGAUGGACAAACAGAGCGUAUUAAUCAAGUUUUGGAGUAGUAUUUAAGAUGUACCAUUAACUAUUAACAAGAUGAUUGAACAAUUCUUUUACCAUUGGCAGAGUUUGCUUACAAUAACAUGGUACAUUCUUCUACAAAAUAAACAUCGAUUUUCUAUAUGGUGUGGAUAUGAUAUUAGUAAAGAAUCUUGCAAAUGCAGCAAAGACGGUGGAGGUUUUUUAUCAAUGACAUCCAUCAAAAUCAACAUGAAAACCUUCUUUAUAAAAGAAACAAGAUCUAGGUAAGAUAACAUUCUACUUUCAAUCCUUGUUUAUAGCUUCUUUGUAGUUGUGAUGCUCAGGAGAUAGAGAACCAACAACCAACGGAUUUGACUCAAGAGCCUUUAUUUGCUAACUUGCCCGAUGAGACAUUACGAUUGUCACAACCUUCAAGACAAUGCAAUCGAGAUGAAGAUCUUUUAGAACGACAUAUUCUUCCUUGAAUAAAUCAUGAAAUACAAUGCGUUUGGUAUCACGACCUUAGAAAGAACUCCUAAUGUUUGGUGAUUUUACUAGAGGUAGGAACAACUCUUGAUGGUGUUUCAAAUAUUUUAUUCGAAGGAAGUUAUAAAGGCCUCAACAAUGAUCAAAUAACUGGGUGGUCUUCUCGCCUUGUUUUGGGACACUAUUGAUGGUUGAGAGGCCCUAUCAAUCAUCUUCGAAGAGAACAAAGAUCAGAGUAUGUGGCAAAUAUAAUUUGUCGCAUCAUAGAUUUUUUCAACAUAUGAUUACCACUCCUCAUGGAAUUCAUCUCUAGAAAGAGAGGUAAUGUCACGGACAUAUGCAUGUAAGCCAGUAAUUACAUAUAUAAAUAGGUAGAAGUAAGUAAAAGUAGAUAAAAGUAAGUUAAUUCUAUAGUAUUUGAUAUGAAAGCUUUCUAGAAGCUUUAUAGAUGCUACUUUGAUUUUAUAGGUGUCUUUAAUAGAUUUUUUGGAAUUAGAAACAUGGUCAACAAGUUGGCCAUGUGCCACAUAUGAUGUUAGCUUGAAGACCAAGCUAACUAUAUAAUCUACAUAUAGAAAAACUUGCCUUGUAAGUCAAGGCAUGUGUCCUACAAAGUCAACACAUAUUGGAGGUCCUAUAGAAUGUCGCCACAUAGCUUCUAGUAAGAUAGUAUAUAUAGAGACAAGAGUGAAGCCUUCUUCACUCUUGUCAACUCCUUUCUUGCUUCAAGUCUAGUUUCAAGGGUCUCUAGUUUUUUUGGCUUUUGGCAAUAGCCAUUCCAGUUUCUUUCUUAAUAUACAUAUAAGUUAUUUCUAUUUUGUCAUCUUUCUGUGAGAGAAGUCUCACUUGUUUAUUUGACUUUAUCAUGUUCUUGUCCUUGACAUAUUUCUAUUAUCAAGAGUGAGGCCAUUAAAUCAAAGAUUGUCCAAAACGUCAAAAGUCUAGCACCAAUAAAAUGAGGCAGAUUUAUAGUUUCAAAAUUCACCAAGUCAAUAAUGAAACAAAGUAUGAAAACAAGGCUUUCCAAUAAAGGCAUCAAAGGCCAAUAUUGAAAAUAGCUAUUGUCUCUCAAAGACAAAUGGUAUGGCCUCAGACAACUAUAAAAAGAGUCAAUUGGUACAUCUAAUGGGACUACUAACAAGACAACCAUGUUGAGUUCUUAUAGAUUGUGGCUAUACAAAAAAUUACAUUUCAACUGAAAUUGCUAGUUGACUUAGAAUUAAAAUUAAGAUAAUCAAGAGAAAAAGCAUAUACCUUGUAGAUGACCAAGAGAAUAUAUUGAGUGAAACAUAUGAAGAAAAAAUCUUAAGGUUGAUUGAUAUAUAUAUCUUAAGAGAGAGAUUCAAGAUGACAAAGCUAAGAUAUGUUAUUAUUCUUAAUAUGCCAUGGUUAAAGAUAAGAAAUAAGUAAGUUCAUUGGAUAGCAAAGAUAAUUUCUUUUAAAGAUGAUGGAUGCAAGGUGACUUUUAACACCUCCAUAUCAAGUGAAGAGGAAAGAUAAUUUACAACCAAAGACUUACUUGUAGGGACGACCCUUAUAAAGAAGUAAAUAUAGCAAAAGUAACUAUUAUAUAUGGUGGUUCUAAAUCUUACAUUAGUGGUAGAGAAGACAACUAAAGGAAUAGAAUAAGUACAUCAAUUUAUAUGAGAAUAUUAGAAUGUCUUCUCAUCUAACCUACCUAUUAGCGGGCCUCUUGAUCGAGGUGCCUCCUUUCAAAUAAAACUAUUUCCUAGAGCCAAAUCAAUAAGCCAACCAAAUUACUACAUAGCACCAAAAGAACUUGAAGAACUAUAGAAGACAUUCAACAAACUCUAAGAAAAAGACCUCAUUUGAGAAAGCACAUCACCAUGGGGAGUACAUGUACUUUUUCCAUCUAAGAAGCAUGGUGGACUUUACCUUUGCAUUGACUUUCAAGGCCUCAAUAAGUAUACUAUUAAGAAUGCAUAUUCACUUCUAUACAAGGAUGAUCUUUUUGACUAAUUUUUAGAUGCGACCAUCUUUCUUAAAUUAGAUCUUUGAAGUGGCUAUUGAUAGACACCUAUUACAUAAGAGGAUGUAAAAAAGAUAAUAUUUUAUAUAUGCUAUUGAUAUUUCAAAUGGCUGGUUUUACCUUCCAACCUUAGCAAUGCUUCAGUCUCUUUUAAAGGUCACAUGAAUAGAUUUUUUUGAGACCUUUUGGAUGGAUAUAUAGUUGUCUUCAUUGAUAAUAUCUUUUUAUAUAAUAAAAUCCCUAAAGAGUAUAUACCUACAAAAAAUACUAUGUUGCUUUUAUUGUAAGUAAUCAAAAUGUAAACUUUGGAAGUCAAAAGUUAUCUUUUUGAAGCAUGUGGUGUCUUUCAAAGGCAUGCAUAUGGAAUAAGAUAAGAUAAAAGUAGUGGAGGAUUGACCAACCUCCAAGAAUGCUUUUGAAGUCCACUCAUUUUUAGGCCUUGCUAGAUAUUAUUGCCAUUUUAUUUGAUAAUUUGCAUACAUUACUGCCUCAUUGACAAACCUAUUAGAAAAGAGUGUCCUAUUUGAAUAGAAAUUGGAGCAGCAAAGCACUUUUGAUAGAUUGAAAGAUGCAUUCAUUAUUGCUCUAAUAUUGCAACCGUAUAUUUCCAACCUCUCAUACAUUUAAUAUUGAUGCUUUUGACUUUGGUAUUGGAAUGGUCCUUUAAUAAGACUUCGAUAUGGACCUUCAACUUAUGGUAUAUGAAUCAUGCAAGCUUAGAAGGGCAAAGUGCAAUUACUUUAUACAUAAUUGAAAGCAAUUAGGAAUUAUAUAUACCACAAAGAUGUGGCGAUACUAUGUGUAAGGAAAGCAGUGGUUGUUUGGACUGACUAUUGAUCCUUGCUAUACAAUUUUUAUUUAGAAAAUAUGAAACCAUGACAUCAUUAUUGUAAAGAACAGUUGCAAUUUUUUGAUAUACAGCUUGAAUAAGAGCAAAGGCAACAAUAUACUAUGCCAAAUAGCUUAUUACGGAGACCAGACUUGAAAGGUGAAUCGAGAGAUAAGGUAGAAGUUACUACUAUUAAUAGUGUCAUUUCAAAUUUAAGUAAAGAGGUAAAAUGGAAAGAAGCUAUGCAUUGAGAUGCUUAUUUUAAGAUGAUUAGCGAUUGACUAAAAGUGGAUGAUAUACAAUAUCAAGAAUAUAAUUUUAGUGAUUACUUGUUCUAUUUCAAGAAGCAGAUUUAUAUAGUCAAUAAUAUUAUACUUCAAACAUAUAUACUUCAAGAGAGAUAUGACAUCCCAAUAUUUAAACAUCUAGGACGAGAAAAGAUUCUAAAAUAGAUCUCAAUGACAUGCUCUUAGGCAGGUUUGGAUUAUGAUAUUUGAAGUUUUUUUGUACUCUUAUAAAUCAUGUCAAUGUAAUAAAACUUACAAUAUAGCAUCUCUUAAAUUAUUACAUCUAAUUUUGCUACAUAUGGCACAUUAGAAGUAGAUGACUAUGGAUCUUAUUACAAAUUUAUUACAGACAUGUUAUAAUUAUAUCGUAGUUGGCACCUAUGUAAAUUGACCCUCAAAGCAACUUCACUUGGCUGCAAUGCACUUGGAUAUUGAUGCUCCAAUGCUUAUAUAAGUCUUCUUUGAUACUAUCUUUUGUCUUUAUGGAUUAUCUUGUAUCAUCAUUUUAGAUCAAGAUCCACGCUUCACAAGAAGUUUUUAGUAAGCCUUAUUUAGGCUAUUGAGCAUAUGACUUACUAUGUCUAUAGUCUUCUAUCCCCAAAUAAUUGGACAAAUAGAGUAUGCAAAUUAAACCUUGAAAUAUAUGUUGUGGACAUUUGUGGUGGUUCAUCAUAAUGAUUGGAAUGAAUACUUGAUACCUUUAGAGUUUGCUUAUAAUAAUAGUAUUUAAGUAAGUUCCAAUUAUUUUUAUAUUUUUUCUUAAUAUUGAUCAACAUCUAAUUAUGUUAGCAACUCUCUAUUAUUCCAUCAAUAUCAAUAACUCGAUAAUAGAGGAAUUUAUACAACGGCUAACAAUGGCCUUAUAAGAGGCAUGACACUACCUCUUUACCACACAAAAAUCGACAAAAGUAAAUUGUAGAUAACCAUCAGUAACACAAGACCUUUUAAGAGGGUGAUCAAGAGUUACUCUUUAAUACCGACUUGCUACUUAUUACAUCAACCCAAAUUUUUAAACUAGCACUUGGUGGCUUGGACCUUUCCGCAUUUUUUUAAUAAUUUCUAAUAUUGCAUAGUGCCUCAAGUUUUUGCCAUAUAUUCAGAUCCAUCUAGUCUUCUAUGUUUUGUAAGUGAAGGAAUUUCAUACCGAGCCAAACCGCUUUUCAGAUUAAUAUCAACUACCACUACUACCAAUUAUAGUUGAUGAUCAACAAGAAUAUGAAAUAGAUAGCAUUUUGGACCAUUGCUACUUUCGUAGUAAUAGUAGAUAUCUACAACUUCAAUACAAAGUUCUUUAGAAAGAUUAUUCCAUCGAAGAUGCAAUAUAAGAACAUGCACAAAAUCUCACCUAUUACCAAGAAAUAAUUUGGAAAUACCAUUGAGAAUAAAAUGAGGGUAUUUUACAUUAAUAGAAGGACAUUAAUUGUAUUAUUGACACAUAUGAAUAGAUAGUUAGAACCAUGUUUGAAAAAUUAUGGAAGUUUUUAGAAUUGGAUUUAGAUUAGUGGACCUAGUAGGAUCCAUUGUAGAACAUUCUAAAAAGAAUUUAUGGUGGUUAUCUAAAUUGGGCCUACCAUGUAAUCUUCUAGAAAAGACUUAGGAUGGUUAUAUAGGUAGGGCCUAUCAUGGGACCUUCUAGAAGAAAUUUAAGGUAGUUAUCUAAGUGGGAUCCAUCAUUUAAGAAUAUUCUAGAAAGUCCAGGGUGGUAAAACAAAGUAUAAAUAGGAUUGACCAAGGCCUUUUAGAGUAUUUAAUCAAGUAUGGCUUUGGAUCUUUUCUUUUAAUAUAAUUAAAUUUUGCAUCUUCUUAUUUUUUUUCUAUUUUAUUCUAAUUCUAGUUGCUUAGUUUUGUCUUCCGUGUCUCAUUUUAUUUACUUUUGUUCAAUUUUUUUUUAGUUCAGUUUGUCUUACUUUGCAAUGGAGUUUCAUGUUAUUGUAGAUUAAAAGGGUCUUGGAUACUUGAGAUAGACUAGUCAUGUUUCAAUUGGCAUAUAUCUCCUCAUUGAAUUAUAAAUUGUUUGAUCAACCUAUAAUGCAUAAGGUAGAAGUAGAGGCCAUUCUUUCACUCUUUUAUUAUAAGCUUUAAUCAAGGCUUUUAUAAUUGGUGGAUUUCUAUAUUUACUCUUUGUAUUCUCCUUUAGAUUAUAAACAAUAGUUAAUGAUAAUUUAAUUUCAUAUUUCUUAAAGAAUUCAAAAGCUUCAUCUCUAUCCAAUUUUCUUUAAUUUACACUGAUCUUUUCUAUACAUCCAUAGCAACAAAUAACAUCCUCAAGUAAAAAUAUGUAUAUUUUUUCUAUGGAAUUUAUUCUUAGUACCUUGCCUUUUACUUAGUUUGAUAAAUCUUCAUGAGCCAAAAUUAAAUAUCUCAUUUUCCAUAAUCUCAUUAGUAUAAUAACUAAAUUAACAAUCCAUUUAAAAUGCAUAGCCAAAAGAAAUGUCAAAUGUAAACCAUCUCAAUGUCAUGUAUUUGAAUUCAUUUGACAAGUUAUAUAAGAUUCUACAAAUGAAUUUGUAUCUUGAUACAUAUUCUUCUAUCAAUAUUAUUCCUUCAAUUUAGCAAAAGUAACUCAAAUUCUUCUAUGCAUGCCUAUAGACUAUCAUGAAAUUCUUUGAGUAGUCUUUGUUGAUCUUCUUUGGUACCUACUACUUGUUGUGAUAUUUCAAUAUUUGAUUUUGGCCUCUUUCAUGGAAAUCCUCCUUAUUAUACAAACUUAUAUGCUUUUUUUUUCUAAUCUAUUUAAAUUUUUCAACCAACCAAUUAAUAUGCUUGAUUAAUAUGUUCAAAUAAUAUUCAAUAUUAAAUAAUUCUUUUUCAUAAUUUUCUUCAUGAAAUGACUUAUCUUCUUUAUUUAAUUUAGCAACCGAAUAAAAUUUUGUAUCUACAUCAUCAAUAUCCUCAAUCAUCUCAUCUUUUCUAUCAUAUAUUGCUCAAGAUAAUAUAUUUGCUACCAAAUUGUCUUUCCUUCUAACAUGUCUAAAUUUCAAAUUUAAUAAUUUGAUAUAAGCAAUCUAUCUCAAUAUUAUAAUAUCUCAUGUUGUAUAAUUAGUAAUCAUCCCAAGUAAAGGCAAACAAUCCAUUUCAAUUACCACCAUUUUCUUAAUCAAAUAAUCUUUUUCAGCUUCCAUAGCUGAAACAACUCUCCAUAAUUUCUUUUUUACUUGUGAAUAUACACGUUGGCAAGUACUUAAAACCUUAGCUCUAAAUUGCAUUGCAAAUCUAUAUCUAUUCAAAUCAUCUUAGCCUGUAGUCCAUCCAAUGGCAGUUGAACUAAUAUCCACUGUAAUAAUCCUUGGUCUAUUACACUUAUAAUCAAUUCUUUUUUAACAUUGGAGGUAAUGUCAAUAAUUUCUUUAAUCUUUACACUAAUUUAAUAUAUUUUUUUCUUCAUUUAGACUAAUAGCCCUUGCAUAAUAGUUCAUACAAUGGAUUUGUUAUGUGAGCAUAGUGAAGAAUCCAAUUACGAUAAAAUACACAUAUACCUAAAAACCUAUGAAGUUCUAUUAAAGAACUAAAAUCCUCUUUCAUUCUUCCAAUUACAUCAAUCUUGAUUGGAUAUGGUUUUCUUCUAUAAAAUCCACAUAAAUGUCCAAAAAUUAUGACUUCUUGUAUUUUAAAUUUAGAUUUUUCAUCUAAUAAUGUACAAUGAACUUCUUCAAGCUAAGUCAAUAUUUUUUUAUAAUCUUGUCUAUAAUCAAUAAUAUAUUUAUGACAACUUUUUUUAUCUAAAGUUUUAUCCUUGUCUUUUUCUUUCUACUUCUUAAUACUAACAUCAACUAGAAAAGGCAUAGUUUUUUUUUAGAAUAAAAUCCCUCAACACUUUUUUUUAUCUCGCUCAUCAUAUGCACAACUGAGUUAGUUAUGCCUUGAGAAAGAAUAUAUAUUUUAAUUAGGCUAAGUAAUAUUUUCUUUAAUUUCAUAUUUCUAUUCUUUGAUGCAAGUUGAAAUUGGUCACGGCUCAAAUACAAAUCAUCCAUUGAAUAGAUUUUCCUUUCUACAAAUACUUCAACAAAUUCAUCUACUAUCGAUCCAAUUCCUACAUUUUCGAUAGUUACCGCUGUUGGAAUAGAGAGAAUUUGCCUCAAGAAAAUGUUGGGCUUCUAGCUGUCACUAAUCAUUCAAUCAAGCUUAAAAAUAAGGAAAGCCCUAAUUUUAUAUAUAAAUUUCUCCUUUUGAGCAAUUACACCAAAUAUACAAGCCUCAAGUAACCAACAACAUCCAAAAUAUGAUAAAUUCUUUAAAACCUUGUAUAUCUUUAUGUGGAAAUUUUUCCAAACUUCAAUAGCUCAUAUCUCCUAAUCCAACCGUCCAAAAAAACUCAAAUUUUACAUGAAGUACCGAUAUAUUCUUAUUAACUUCUACAACAAAUUUCAACUGAAAAUUCAUUGCGGAUCUUGAGAUAUCUUUAAAACCCUAACAGUCGCUUCAAAACCUUGUCUUUAUACACUUGCAUGUAAUUUUCUUUAUAUCUCAUAAAAUAUAAGCUCAAAUGCCACGAAAUUUAUAUAUAUAGCUUCUUAACACAAAAAAUUACAUUCUCUAAAAAGUUUGAGCCAAAAAUUUGUCCAAAAAUUCAAGUUAUGGCUCCAACCAUUACUAUAAAUAAAACUGCUCACUUAUUGCCUUUGAUUUGGAAGUGCCGCCUUCAACUCCUUAUAACUCCUUUACAUAAAAUCUAAAAGCAAUAAGUUUUUCAUAAAAAUGUAGGCCUUAAAAUUGUUGUUCCAUUUGCACCUUCCAAUCUUCAAAAGCUACUAUACAACUCCUCGUAUCUUCAAAAGAGUAACAGUAUGUCUUAAAUAAACACCUUAACUUCAAACGGCUAUAACUUCUUCAUCCUAAUUCUAAAUCCUCUAAUUUUUAUACACAAAUUGUACCUCAGAUUCUAAACUUUACAACCCUAGAUUCUAUUCUCCGAAUGCUUUCUUUGAAGUCGCCGAAACCCUUGUUAAGGUCGUGGGCAGCCUCCUCAAAGCCCAUUGGGCAUAGUAUUCGACCAAUAGGGAUGAAGUUUCCCAUUCCUUUCCUUCAUCCGACCAUGCCUUACUUUCAUCCCUCUCAAUUAGCCUCCUACUAGUUUAGAUUUUCAUCCUUAGGCUUCCACCUUUUCUCAAGGCUUCAUACUAAACAUUUAGGUCCUAUAUAUAUAUAUAUAUAUUUUUAAAGUCAAAAUCAAAAUAAGUAAAGAAACAAAGUAAAGUUUCUUACAUCAACUCCUUUUAAUUUAAUCUACUAGCCACUCUAACACACAUCUAGAUUUAUUAACAUAUAAUAUGUUUUAACUAAUUUUUACAUACUAUAAGCAUUUACAGUACAACACCGCAUUCAUUGGCUCCAUAUCUUGAAUAAAUUAUAAUGAUCCAUUUUUCUUAGGCACUAUAAACCAUCGACUAGAAUAUGAUGGAAAAGAUGGCUUCAAAAUCUUUAUCUUCAUCUUUUCUUUCAAUAAUUCCACCAAGCUUGAUAAAUGAGCCAUUGGUAUUGAAAUUGGUCUUAAAUUCUAAAGUAUAUGUGGUACAAUAAAAAUGACCAUAGAUAUUAUAAUAUUUGGAUCCAUACACACAAUUUUUUGAGAUUCAAAGGCAAAUGAUCUACCUAAUUUUUUCAACAUCUCUUUGAAGCAAGCAAUUUCUUUUGGCAACAAAAAACCAUUAGAAUCAAUUUUUAAUUCUUCAAAAGUUUCUUUAGUGAACCUAUGCCUCAUAUUCCUUAGAUCUCUUAAGCUUUUUUUCCUUGAUGCUUCUUCUAUUUGUUCUUUAGAAUCUUCUAGCAAAGGUCUAAAAAAAAAUGUCACUUUCUUAUCUAUUGUCUUAUAUUUUGUCUCAACUAUAAUCUUUGGUGCUUGAAAAGAAUAAAUCAUAUCAUAAACUUUUCUUGAAUGAAUUUGUAUAACUUUAUCAUUGUUAUUUAAUCCAAUAGAUGCAAUCCAUUUCAAAGGAUCUUCUAUUCUAUUUUCUUUAUAAAUACCAAUAAUCUUUUCAUUAUCUUUUAAUAUUUCUAAUUCAUACAACUCUUUUUCAAUAGCACAUAAUUCCUUUCUUUCUUUUCUUUUUAAAUUUUCAAUUAUCUUAUAUAUAAUACUUCUAUUCUAAAAAAUAUCAAUAAAUCUUGUAUCAAAGACAUCUAUAUCUUGCAAGAAUACCUCUUCUUUUUUACCUCUAUAAUCUUACUUUAUAGCAAUAUUUGCAAAAAAUCCUUGAAUUCUUCAACAAUCCUUGGCAAUGGAUUUUCUUUCAAUUUGUGUUGAUUCCGCUCAUGAUUUGAAGGCACAGUCAAAAAUUAUAUUACCCUCCUCCCAUCCUCACUAAAAAUUCAUGUAUAAACUAAACCAUCAUCAAGUACAUUUGUUUCCAUCUGAGUUAUAAUAAUAUAUGGUUUUUUUGAAAUAAGAGGAUAAGAUGUUGCAUCUUGAACAAAGAAAUUUUGCUACAUUGUAAUAUCACCAAUUUGAAUUUUCACAUCUAGACAAGUAUUAUAUAAUUCAUCUCAUAUAUUAUUAGUUGCUUGUAUUGCUCAUCUAUGCUCUAUAUCAAUUGGCCAUCUUUGUUUCAUGUAAAGAUCCUUAGAUAUAAGAUUUAUCUCCAAACCAUGAUCAAUCAAAGCAACAACUAGCUCAUCUAUAUCUCCAACCUUCAAUAAUGCCUCUAUAGUUGCUCUAUUCUAAUACUUCCGAGUAUGAUGAUUUGAAACCUCUUUAUCCUUAUUACUUUGAUCAUCAAAACAUACUCUUUGAUUAUGAAUCCUCCUCUCACUUGCUAAUUCUUUGCAACAAUUACGUAAUUUAUCUUUUUCAUCCUUACAUAUGUAUGUACUAAUAGCAUGAUUUAAUCCAGAUUCUUCCAUUAAUUGCCUCUUUAUAUAAUACUUUCAAUAAAGACAUCAUGGAAUUCUUUCAUGACAAUUCUCAAAAUCUCCUUUAAUGUGAAUUCAAUUUAAGAAUUGAGCUUAUAUUCUUCAAGCACUCUUUUAAAUUUGUUAUUGCUUCAAUAUUAGAGAGUAGUUCGUAAGUUGUCAAUUUAUCUUUAUCUUUCAUUUCAUUUGUUUUUUUUUCUAAUAUUAUUAAAGUAUCCUUUAUGAGCAAUUCUUAUGAAGCCACUUCAUCAUCCUUAUUUCUUCAAGUUUGCCUCUUGAAAGAAUUUCCUUCUCUUGUAUCAUCAAAAUUUCUUCUCAUCUUUUCUUCUAUUAAAGCUUCAUGUUAGCUUUAAGCAAUGUAUGCAUGUAGUAAUAAAGCUUCUAUAGGAUCUUUCUAGCUUAUAGUACCACAAAUUAUUGCAAUAAUUCUUAAUAAAACUUCUUGUAGCAUUUUUUCUUUUUGCAUCAUAGAAAUGGCUGAAGACCAAAAUCCACUUACUUGAAUAUUUCUAAUAAAAUUUUAUUUUCUAUCAUUAUCUACAUUAAUUCUAUAAUUUAUAACUUCUAUUGCUUCAAUCCCAUGUAUUACCAAAUAAUUCUUAAUUAAUACUUUUAUAUCUCUUUUAUCAAAGAUGGUUUGGAAAAGAUUACCAAUAUCCUUCAAUGCAACUUUUCCAUCUUUUUAAUAAACAAUGCUUUCUUACAACAUGUCAUUGAAUUCACCACAAUCUUUUUAAAAAUAAAAAUCAUCAUCACAUCAAAUACAUCUUUGCAUAUAUCCUUAUUUAAGAGUAGCCUUUGAACUUGUUACAGAAGUCUUCUACUCAAUCUUUGUAAGUUUGAUUUAAAGAUCCCCCAUCCCAUGUAUAAUUUCUUCAAGUUCCAUAUUUUCUUUCUUUAGUGUAGCUAGUUACAAUUGGACAAUAGGCAUAGUCAAUCUUAUAGUAGGCAUUGAGGUUUUUGGUACUUGUAUCCCUCUUUGAGCACCAAGCCUAUCAUUUCUCCUUUCUCUUUUGGCAAGCAAUCUAAUAGCAUCUUCAAUAGCCUUCUACUUUGUUAUCAAUCCUUCAUCUUCUUUAUUAUCUUCAAGAAGAAUCUCUAACUUCUCUUGUAAUUCUCCAUCAGCAGCUUGAAGAAAUAAUUAAUUUUUUUUUUUUUUAUCUCAAUGUUAAUUUUUUUAUUUUCAAUAAUCAAAAAAAUUAACUUUCAAAUUUUUUUAAUAAUUUUGUAGCUUACAAAUUCUUGUUAGGUCAUUCAAUCCAUUAUAAGAAUGAUUUCUUGGUAACUCGAUCAGUAUUGUCUAAAAAAUACUCAUUUUUUGAUAUAUAUAAAAAUACCUUCUAUGAACUUCCAAAUUAUUCCAUAAUAGACCUUAUAUGCUCCAUUAUCUCUAAUUUAUAGCAAGCUCAAAUAAUGGAAUCAUUUUCUUUUCAAAAACAUGAUUCAAUUUUAUUUCUUACACAUAAUAUUUUAAAUAUUUUAAAAUAUUCUUUCCAAAAAAUUAGUCACUCUUGUUAACUACCGCUUGCAAUGCUUUGGUUGCCAAAGCUUCUUUGCAAUUAUUGCUCUAUUACUAUUGUACAAAUAAUGUAAAUUCUUAAAACAGUUUUGUAAUAUUUGGAUCAAAGUACAUACCUUAUUCAUUAGUAGAAAAUUCACUUGAAGCUCUACUUAAAAAUCCACAUGACACUUCGGCAUGGACAUAUACAUCUAAACCAAUAAUUACCCAUAUAAAUACGUAGAAAUAAGUAAAAGUAGAUAAAAAUGAGUUAAUUCUAUAAUAUCUUUUAUACAAGCUUCUUAGAAGCUUUAUAGACGCUGUUUUGACUUUAUAAGUGUCUUUAAUUGACUUUUUAGAUUAGAAACGUAGUGAAUAAGUUGGCCAUGUGCCACACAUAUUAUUAGCUUGAAGACCAAGCUAACUAUGUAGUCUACAGAUAGAAAAACUUACCUUAUAAGUCAAGGCAUAUGUCCUACAAAGUCAACACAUAUUGGAGGUCCUAUAGAACAUCUCCAUAUAGCCCCUAAUAAGAUAGUAUAUAUAGAGACAAGAGUGAAGCCCUCUUCACUCUUAUCAACUUCUUUCUUGCUUCUAGUCUAGUUUUAAGACUCUCAAGUUUUCUUAUCUUUUGGAAAUAAGCCAUUCUAAUUUUUUUUAAUAUGUGUAAUUUCUUAUUUUUAUUUUUUCACUCUUUCUUUGACAUAGAUUUCAUUGGUUUAUGCAUCAUCUUUUAGUUCAUGUCUUUGACAAGCUCCACCCAAAGUUUCAUCAAAAAUUCCAAAUUCAACCUUCUUACCUUCUUGCACCAUCAAUUUCAAAUAACCACAAAUACAAUCUUAUAUCUUCUACUCCAAACUUUGAGAUCAAGUUCACUACUUAUGUCAUUAUAUAUUAUCAUGUUUGAAAAUGCACCGGAUAUCUGGUUCUAGAAGGUGAAGUUGUAUUUUACAAGUAUUUAAAAAUCUUAAUAUGAAUUAUCCUAAAAAGAAGAGUGUAAUUUAAAUUUUAAUUCAAAAAUACUCAAAUUCAAUAUAAAGUGCUCAAAAAUACUCUCCUUAGUAAUUUUAAUUAUACAUAAGCUCCAAUUGCCUUAUUACUUUCAUAAUUAGGUAAUUUUGAUUUUUCUUUAUAAGUCCUAAUUCUAAUCAGAAAGCUUUAGCAAGCUAUAGCUCAUAAUUUAACCAUCCACUUAGAACAAAAUUUUGCAUAAAAAUGCUACUAUAAGUCUUUUAUGUAUUCAAAAGAAUUUUCUCUAAUCUAACUUAUAAAUUAUGAGAAAAUACUUAAAAAUCACACUGCUGUUAUUUGACUACCAACUUGAAAGUUGAUGCAAAUAUUCUAGCUAUGAUUUUUCUUUCUAUUAUGUAACUUGAUCUUUAAGUCCUCUAACAUCAUGCAAAAUUUUACUUUGAUCCAAUUGGUAGAUCUUCAAAUAUCAUAAAAAUCCUAUCCAACCUCAAACUGCCAACUUUUGAUACUUUCAUGUAUUAAAAUCUAGAUAUCUUUUAAUUAUAUUAUUAUAUUAAUAUAAAAUUUUACACAAAUUUAUCACAUCCAAUCAACUAAGUACUAUUAAAUUUGGAACCAUAGAUGUGACACCAAUUACACAAACUAGUUGAGAGUGCUAGGCCUAAUUAUAUUGUAUAGAAUCCAAAUUACCAAUACAAAUAUUGACUUUGAACAACAAUUGCAAAAUCAUUCCAAAUCCUAUGAAAACAAGCUUUACGUCUUUAUAAGAAGCUUUAAGCUAGCUCUCCAAUUUUAAUUGUUGAUCUUAGAAUGCCCCCUUAUUUUGACCUAGGCAAUUGUUUUAGUAACUUGAGGUCUGAUUUCAACCCAAUCUCACAAAUAGUGUUGUGAUGUAAAACGACUAAUAGGUGAAAGGAUGAAAAAAAUAUCAUAUUUUUGAAGAUAUUAUUUUAAAUAUAUUAUAACAAAUUAUCUUAAAAAAUAGAUAAUAGUCAAAGGAUAGAAAAAAUUAAAAGUGAUAAUAUUACCUUUUUGCAAAAUAGGCUUCUAUUCACUUUGUAGGACCACAAAUAGAAAAAAAUAAAGUAGAUUAGAAAAAUAAAAAAUAUAUGCACUUUUAGAAAGAAGUUAAGAGUAGUUUGUGGCAAAAAUUACCUUAAAAAGUUGAUAUCCGGAGAGGACCGGUUACCAACCAAGGUCGAAAUCAGACCCUAAAGCACAAAAUCAAGCCUUGACGAUGAUUUUGGAAUUCUUUUGGAGAUCAAAGAGUAGGGUCUAGGAAUUAAUUUGAUGGAGUUUCUAUGAUCAUUUAUUUGGAUGAAUUUGAGUGUGUAUUGAUUUUAUAAGAGGUUUACAAAGUCAAGAUUUGUUUUGGAUGACUCUGAAUUUGUGAAAUAAAAUGAGUGAUACUUUUUGGAGAAAUUUUUAAGUUUGGCAAUAGAUCUACAAGUAAAAUUUUAAGGGUUUGUAGAUACAUAUGUGUUUAAUUUAUACUAUAAGUUUGAGCUUGAUCAGAGGGUUAAAUUGGAGGUUAUUGAGGUUUAAGUGCAUUGGAAUCAUAGAAAGUAGAAUUUUAGAUCCAAUGAGGAUUUCUAAGAUUUCUUGCAAUCUACUAGUUGGAUUGGAGUGAAAGUUUUGUGCACAAGUAGUAGACUUCAUUUGAUAUACAUAUAUAAAAUUUCAAAAUGAUCAAAUAGUUUGAAAGGGAGAUUUUGGCAUUGGAGUUUUAUCAUUUAGAUUGGAGUAGGAGAGUAGCCAACACUUGAGUAGAUUUUAGUAUUGAUCUUCUUUUUAGUGAGUUUGAUCUUCUUCAAUUUUUUUUUCUUUUCGUCAACUUAAUUGUUAAGAGAUGUGCAAAUUUUGAGUUAAAAUCAAUAGUUCAUUCAUUAAUCAUUGAGGUCUAAAUCUGCUAUAGAAAUUACUUGGAAUUGAUUAAGGUUUGGUUAGGAUUUAAGGUUUGGUUUAGGAUUUGAUUUGAUUAGGAUUUGGUUAGGAUUUGAUUAAUAUUUGUUAAAUAUUUGAUUAGGAUAUGUCUAGGAUUUGUUUAAGAUUUAGUUAGGACUUAUUUAGGAUUUUUCUAGGGUUUGGUUAGGAUUUUUUUAGGAUUUGAUUAGAAUUUGGUUAAAAUUUAAUUAGGAUUGAUUAAGAUUUGACUAGAAUUUAUUUAAGAUUUAUCUAGGAUUUGGUUAGGACUUAUUUAAGAUUUGAUUAAAGAUUUUAUUAGGAUUUAAUUAGAAUUUAAUUAGAAUUUAUCUAGGAUUUGAUUAUGAUUCGAUUAGGAUUUGAGUAGGAUUUAUCUAGGAUUUGUCUAGGAUUUGAUUAAGGCUUAUUUAAGAUUUGUCUAAAGUUUGGUUAAGAUUUGUUUAAGAUUUGAUUAGAGUUUGAUUAGGAUUUGAUUAAGAUUUGUUUAGAGUUUGACUAGGAUUUGUCUAGGAUUUGUUUAGGAUUUUUUUAGGACUUAUUUAGGAUUUUUUUAAGAUUUGAUUAGGAUUUAUUUAAGUUUUUAUUAGAAUUUGGUUAGGAUUUGAUUAGGAUUUGUUUAGAAUUUGACUAGGAUUUAUCUAGGAUUUAGCUAAGAUUUGAUUAGGGCUUAUUUAGGAUUUAUCUAGAAUUUGAUUAAAAUUUGUUUAAGAUUUGGAUAGGAUUUAUUGAAGAUUUGAUUAAGAUUUGAUUAAGGUUUUUCUAUGAUUUGUCUAUGAUUUGGUUAAAAUUUGGUUAGGAUUUGAUUAGGAUUUGACUUAGAUUUGUCUAGGAUUUGGUUAGGACUUAUUUAGGAUUUGAUUAUGAUUUGGUUAGGAUUUGUUUGAAAUUUGAUUAGAAUUUGUUUAAGAUUUGGUUAAAGCCAUUUAAAAUUUGAUUAAAAUUUGAUCAAGGUUUAAUUAUAUUUUGACUAAGAUUUAAUUAAUAUUUUAUUUUAAUAUUUUAUUAAGAUUUUUAUUUGAGUAUAUAUAUAUUUUUUGAAUUUCUAUAUUAUUUUUUUUAAUUAUUUUUUACAAGAUCUCUAAGAAUUCUUUGUAUUUUUUCUAUAAUUUCUUUGAAAUUUUAAUUGAAUUUUAUUGAUAUUUGAUUAUACUUUCUAAUUUUUAAUUAUAAUUAAUUUAAGAAUCUAUUAGAGUUAUUAGGACUUGUUUCUGCAAUUUUCUUUUUAUCUUCUACAACUAGGUGCUCAAUACAUUUUCAAGCCAAAUGCCACGUAAUACGACAACGAUCGACCUCUAAGUAUCAAUUUAACCUAUGAUAGGAAUUUUUUGGCAUAAUCUUAUUUUCAACUUAGUCUUAGUAUCAACCAUGCUAAUUAUUUACUUCUUUUAACCUAAUUUUAUCAGUUUAUGGUCUUUCUAAGGCAAUAAAAAUAUUUUUUUAGUCUAGAAGAUAAAAUUACUAAUCAAUCUUUAACUUAAUAACUAUUAAGACAAGAAAAUAAAGUAAAAGACUUUUAUAAAAGCCAUGUUUAAAUAUCUUGAAUUAUUAUUGAAUCAAGAUAAUUAGAUAUUAAUUUAAAAUUUAUUUUUGAUUAUAUAUUCAUCAUAUAGUUGUAUUAUAACAUGACUAUGCCAAAGUUCAAAAUCAGCCACUAUAUAUACUCUUGAAUUCUAAAACCUUGCUUGUGACAUGGAUUAAAACAAAAAAUUCUUAUCAAUCAAUUUUGAAAUGGAUUGAAGGAUAACAUCAAAUAUUUGUUAAUGACAAUGCCAAAAGUAGAUUCUUUAGAAUAAUGUAUUUUUUAAGCCAUUGUGAACUCUUAUUUAUGCUCCAAAAUUUUAUUUUUUAAUUUUUUCUUAUUUUAUGAUAAUUGAGUAUGUUAGAUUAGGAUUUAUAUAAGUAGAAUCUGGCUUUAUUAAUUUUUUAGAAUUAUAACCUUUGAUGGUAUAAAUCCUAACCUGAUUCAUUGAGUUAAAUUAAUUAAGACCAAAAUUAUAAGGAUUAGAAAUUAGAAUAGUAAUUUGAUUAGUUUUAAUAAUUUAGAGAUUAUUAGUCAUUGCUAUAAGGGUUGAUUGUGAGCCUAUGAGUUCACCUACAAUCAUCUCAUAUGAUUUAGAGUGAAUUAGAAUUAGAAAUUUUUAAAAGAUUAAGUGAAGUUUAGAAAUGACAAUUUUGAAGCAUUUUCUUCAAAUUCAACAAAUCCAAGCAACAAAGUAGUUUUUUUCAAUUAAUGAAGGCUUUCAAAUGUGAUGGCGGCAUUGGAUUCACCUCAUGGAGUGAAGAAAACAAGAUCAGCACCUUCUCCUCCAACAUACAAGUGGAGCACUGAAAUUUUCAUUUUUGAAGGAUUUUUCAAUAAUUGCUAAAAUCUUUAGAGAUAAAAACUUUCAUAAAAAUUGCAAAUUAAUAUAGAUGGAGGUAUGUGAGUAGUCAAUCUUAGCAUAAAAAGGUAUUUCAAACACAAUGGUGAAGUUAGAUUUACCAAAAAUUGCUUUUUUGACCACUUAUAGAAGCCAUCAGCCUUGGUAACGAAAUUAGCUUUGGGUGAAUGAAGGCUGUAGAUCUAGAUUAGGGAUCUUAGAAAUAAAGGGUGGAGAUGCAACCACCCUUCUAUGAGCCUUUACUCAAUUGUAUAAGUCAAGCUUGGUUUUUCAAGCCCUCUCUCUCUCCUCUUUUGGUGAAGGACAAAGCUAUGCCAAAAUUUGGCAAAAAAUCCUAAUUUUAAUUUCAUUUAGAUUUUUAAAUCUCAUUGUGAAAUUUGUGGAUGGAUGUGCAUGGAUUUAGUUGUAAAUGAUAGUCAUUGGGUUUUAAAAUAUGAUUCAUUGUGGUAGAUAGCUCCCUUGGUCUCUGAAGUACUCGUAGGAUUUUAAGAGCCUUGGAUUUUCCUCAAUUAGUCAUUUAGUUUUUCUAAUUUUAAUGUGAAAUUUCUUGUGUUUGUAGCUUUUGUUGCUAACUUUUCAACAAGAUAAGGCUUACUCAAUUUGGAAUUGAAUUGAAUUUUUGGUAAAAUUUUGAUUGCAAAAAAAUCGACUGCCUUUUCAGUUUGGAUUAAUUGAGUUUGGGAAGGCAUUUCCUACUAUCUUAUAAUUGGAUUCAAUUAAAAUUUUAAGAGCAUUGAGCUUUGAAAGGCACAAGUUUUGCUAGAUUUGAAGAUGAUUUGGAGUUUUAAAAAAUUUGUAAGUAAAGGGGGAUGGUCACUAGAUCACUCAACUUCAAAGGAGCAAUUCUUAUGACUAAAUUACUAAAUCACAACGAAAUUUGUUGGAACAAGAGCAUCUUUAAGUUAACCUUGCAACAAACUAAGAAUUGUUCAAUUUGAAGCUAGUUACUAUUUUCGAAAAAUUUUGGAAUAGAAGGGGGUCGCUGCCUUUAAUCCUUGGAUGUUGUAAAGGUGCCUUUGCUUUUACCUCUCUUAUUUUAUUUUAUACUUUUAUCUUCAAAGUAACUCGUAAUCUCUACAUUUUAACUUUUGGCUAAUAAAUUUUAAGUUUUAAGUUUUAAUCUUUAAUAUUUUUACUUUAAUUUUUAAUUUUAAUUUUUAAAAUUUAAUUUUUAACUUUAUUUUUAACUUAAACUUUUAAAUUUAAUUUUCAACUUUAAAUUUUAAAUUAAAUUUUUUACUUUAAUUUUUAAAUUUAACUUUUAACUUUUAAUUUUAACUUAAAUUUAAGUUUUUAUUCUUAUUAUGAGUUAAUAAUAAUAACUUAAUUAAUUAUUUUUAUCAUUUUGCAUAGUAAAUUUUAUUUAAUAUUUUAAUUUAAUAUUAAUAACCAUUGCUUGGAAGGAGUUAAUUUUAAUUGAACUACAAACACCUGCAUUUAAAUUAACUUAAAAAUUUCACAAUUGAGAGUUCUUUCAUUCUAUCUCUUGAGCUUGUUGUGUAUUACUAAUUCCAUAGAGUGGUGGAUUUUAGGCUCAUAGCCAUUGCAUGUAAAAAUCAACUAUUUGAAAGGCAUCAAGAAGAAAAAUUUGAUUGAAGAAGAACAAAUCAAGUAAGUACAAUAAUUCCUAAGUUUUCAAAAAUUUAUUCAUCAAGGAUGGAACUAAUACAAAUUGAUAUAGUAUGUUUUAAAUUUCUCACUAAAUAGUAAAAUAUUCAAUAUCAUUAAGAGGAUUUGUACUUAUAUUAUAGAGGAGUUAAACAGAGUCUUCAAUAUUAUCCAAAAAAUAAUAUAAUCACAAAAUAAGGAGCAUAGUAGCUAAAAAAGAAAAUGUGCUAAAAAAAAGUUUUUCCAAUUACAAUAAUAACUAUUCAAAUAGAAUUAUGCGUAACAUCUAAUAAAGGUCAUACUCUUCUUUUAAAUCCUUGACUUUAUUUUAUAAUAGAUAUAAAUUUAGGAUCUUAAAAUCAUUAUUUUUUUUAUUUUAUUAGAUUCAAGAGCCUGAACUUAUUUUGUAGAUGAAGACUUUGUCAAAAAAGUAAGAAAUAUUGUUAGUCAAAAAAAUUAAAAUCAUAGAUAGUCAUUUAUUAUCUUUUAGAGAUAUUACUCAUAAGAAUGUUCUUUUAGAUGUAGUAAUUAAAGAUCGUAAUGUUACAAAUAUACAUACUUAUUUUAAUAAUUACCUAUAUAAUUAAAUAGAAAUAAAAAAGUAGAUAAAAAUAGAUUAAUUUUAUAAUAUCUUCUAGAGUAGCUUCUUAGAAGCUUCAUAAAUAUAAUUUUGACUUUACACAUAUUUAUAAUUGAUUUUAAAGUUAAAAACUUGAUCAACAAGUUAUCCACAUGUCAGAAGCAUAGGUAGCUUGUGGAAUAAGCUUAUCAUAUGACAUACAUAUGGAAAAUUAAUCUUGUAAAUUAAGACAUGUGGCUUACAAAGUCAACACAUGUUAGAGGUUCUAUAGAAUAUUGCCACAUAGCUCCUAGGUGAAAAAUAUAUAUAAAGCCAAAAGUGAAGCGUUCUUUAUUUUUAUCAAUUUCUUUCUUAUUUUAAUCUAGAUUCAAGAGUUUUUACUUUUUUUUAUCUUUUGGCAAUAGCCAUUCUGAUUUCUUUUAAAUAUACAUGUUUUCUUAUUUCUAUUUUAUCAUACUGAUUUGAAAAAAGUCUCACUUGAUUAUUUGCUUUCAUUUAAUUUUUAUUCUAGAUAAAUUAAUAAGAUUAUACUUAUAAUAUUAAAACUUUGUCUUUUUUUGAUUAAAAAUAGAUUAUCCAUUUUUCUUGAUAAAACAUAAGCAUAUUAGAAGUUGUAGAUUAUCUUCUUCUAAAUUAAUAUUAUCUUUAGUAUUUUCUUUAUUCUUAAAUUCUCUCUUCUAUUUUUCUUGAGCAAUAUUAAAUAUCUUCUUUUUUCUAAGUAUUAUCAUAGCAAAGCUUCUUGAAAUGAAGAGGGCAUUGGCAUAAAUACAAAACAAAUUGAAGGAAUUAAUGCUUACAAUGCAUCAACUUAAUUUAUCACCAUAAGGAGCAAUAAGAAUAGCAAGGAACAAAGAUAUAGAGAUGAUAGGAGUUCCUUCAAUAUCUUUAUCAAAUCAUGUUAUUUUUUCUGUAGUAAAAUACCUUUUUAGUAUUAAAGAGCACUACCCUAGAAGUUUGAUGGCACAAGAUCUAAGUUUUAAAGAUUUAUCAAUCAAGUAUAAUUUGUGAUUGAACUUCAAUUUCAAAGCUAUCCAAUUCUAAGAUUACAAGUUAGCUUCAUUGAUACAUUUCUUUCAAGUUCAAUAUUAUUAUAAUUUUUAUUUAUUUUUGAAUGAUGAGAUCUAAUAUUACAUAAUGUGGAGGCUUUUUUGGUAGAGUUUUGAUCUAUGUAUGAAAAAUAUGAUGUAAUUUAUUUUGCAACCAAUAAGAUUUAUAUUUUACAAGAAAAUAAUUGAUCAGUAAUGUUAUAUGCUUCACUGUUGCUAAGAAGUGAGAUGAUGAUGUAUUUGUUAGCUAAUUUUUCUAUAACUUAUAAUAUGAAAUAAAAAAAUUAAUAUUCAACUUAUAUGAUCCUUAAACAUUGAGUCAAGUAAUUGAUUUUGCUAUGAAGUAUGAUAAUUAACUUUUUGAAUUUUGAUUUAAAAAUUAUACAAGUUUUAACAUUAUUAUAAUUUAAUGGAAAUAUUAAUACCUCUUCAAUACAUAUAUUUAAAAGUAGAAGAUAUAUAAAUUAAUCAAGAAGGCUUAUGCUUGCAUUGUAGAGAACCUAAAUACAUUGCUCAAUAUUGUCCAAAAAAGCAAUGCAACCACAAAAUGAGGAGUAUGGCUAUCAAAAAAUAUAGCAUGUCAAAAAAAUAUAUUUGUCUUGCUAUAAUAGGAACUAUGCGGCUGAAACAUUAUAAAACACCUAUUAAAGAUCACAUUCUCUCCUUAGAAUCAUCUUCUUAUUUUACAAUAAAUAUUAUUUAAGAACCUAAACAUCACAAAGUCUCUCUUUUAUUUGAUCAAAAGCCUUAGUAUGUUUCUUUGAUGAAGAAUUUGCUAAAUGACAUAACAUAUCUUUAACAAAGAAAACUAAAUCAUAGAUGUUCAUCUAUUGUCUUCAAGAGAUAUUAAUUAUAAAAUCCUUCCUAUAAAAGUAAUAAUAAAUUUUUAUAAUAGUUAUGUAAUAUUUAAUAUCAUGAAAUCUUUCUCUAAUUUAGUUAUUUUAUAUUUAUCAUUGCUUAAAAAAUAUAAUCCUAAAAUAGAUUAGAUUUCUUAUAGUCUUGAUAUUUUUGAAAGUAUAAUUAAGAAUAUAGUUAAUCAAGUAAAAGUCAUAAGUCUAGUACAACUAAACUAAUAUUUGUAGAUACAAGAGCUUUCUUACAUGUUACAAAAGAAGGAUUAUCUUGUGUCAUUUAUGUCGCACCUAUUUUUAAUGGUAGAAAGACUUUAAGUGGAUUUCAAAGAAAAUAUCAAGAUUUUAAAGAUGUAUUUGAGAAAAAAAAUGUAAAUAUUUUUUUUGAACAUUGUUGCUAUCACUACUCAAUUGACCUUAAAGAAAGAGCUCAACCAUCAUUUGGAUCAAUCUAUAAUUUAUCACAAAAUAAAUUUGCUAAAUUUAAAGAAUAUAUUGAAGAAAAUUUGGCCAAAAACUUUAUAUAUUGUCGUAUUAUGUGUUGUCUUAUUAAAGAAUACACUAGGUACCUAGUUAUGGAAGGUGAGGUUGUGUUUCAUAAGUAUCCAAAAAAUCCUAAUACGUUUCAUCCAUAUGUCAAGAACAUAAUCCGAAUUUCAAUUCAAAAUUAUUAAAAAAACAUUCUUCUUACUAGCCUUAAUCAUACAUAAAUCCCAAUUACCUUGUUACUUUCAUAUUUAAGCAAUUUGGAUUUUUCUUAUAAACUCUAAUUCUAAUUAGUGAGCUUAACAAGUUGUAAUAUCUAAUUUGACCAUCCACUUAAUGUAAAAUUUUGCAUGUAAUUGUCAAUUUAAGUCUUUUAUAUGCUCAAGAAUUUUCAGCCCAAUCCAACUUAUAGAUUGUGAAAAAACCUCUCAAAAUUGCACUAAUAUCACUCAGCUGCCAACUUAAAAAGUGAAGCAAAAAUCCCAACAGUGAUUUCUCCUUCUUUAAUUAUUAACUUUAAUUCAAAAUUGGUAUGCAACUUGAUCUUUAAGUCUUUCAACACCAUGCCAAAUUUCACCUUCAUUCGACUAGUAGAUCUCUAGAUAUCACAGAAAUCCUAAUCAAUUCUAAAUUGCCAACUUUCAAAAUCCUCCUGUACUAAAAAUUAGAUAUCUCUAGACCACACUAUUAUAUCAUUACAACACUUUGUAUACAAUUUGCACACCCAAUAAUUCAAAGAGUAUCAAAUUUUGAACCAUAGAUGCUACACCAAUUGCACAAACUAGUCAAAAUUGCUAACUUUGAUUAUAUUAUAUAAAAUCCAAAUCACCAAUAUAAACCCUGAUUUUGAACAACAAUCGCCAAGUCUUCAAAAAUCCUAUAAAAACCACCUUUAUGCUCCUAGAAAGAGCUUCAAGCUAGCUCUCAAAUCCUAAUCUUUGAUCUUUGAAUGAAUCUCUAAUUUACCCUAGGCAGUUAUUUUAGUGACCAUAGGUCUGAUUUCGACCUUGUCUUACAAAUGGUUGAUCCCAAGGUAUCAAUCUAAUCUAUCUUAAGGAUUUUUUAGUCCAAUCCUACCUUCAACUUGAUCCUAGUAUCAACCAUAUCAAUCAUUUACCUCUUUUAUCCUGAUUUUAACAAUUUAUGGCCUUUCUAAGGUAAUAAAAGAAUUUCUAUAUGUUAGAAGGUAAAAAUACUAACUAACUUUUAUCUACUUACUAUUAAGAUAAGAAAAUAGGCUAAGAAGCUUUCAUAAAAGCCUUAUUAAAAUAUUUUGAAUUCUUCUUGAACUAAUAUAAUAGAGUAUUAAUUAAAAAAUUAUUUGUAGUCAUAUUUUCACUAUAUAAUCAUGUCACAAUACAACAACUCCAUUCCAAAUCUCUAGCAAAAGCUCCAAUUUUACUUGUGAAGAUAAAAGAUAGAUCAUUACAGAUGUGUAUUGAUUAUUGAAGACUCAAGAAAAUCACUAUUAAAAAUAAGUACUUGCUAUCUUUGAUAUCUAGACUUUUUGAUCAAUUGAAUCAAGUUAAGAUCUAUAUAAAAAUAGAUCAAUAAGGAGCAUAUAAUCUGAUAUGCAUCAAAGAAAGAAAUGAAUAAAAGAAUAUGUUUCAAACUAAGUAUGGACAUUUUAAAUACAACAUUAUAUCUUUUAGACUUAUAAAUAUACUAGCAACUUUCUAACAUCUAAUAAAUGAUGUCUUUUUAGAAUUUUUAAAUGACUUUAUUAUCUAUUAUCUAGAUGGUAUAAUAAUCUAUUCUAAGAAUACAUAAGAAUAUGAACUUCAUAUUUAUCAUGUGUUACAAAAAUUAAGAGAUAUGGAAUUCUAUACCAAAAUAGAAAAGUGUAUGUUUUAUACUACUCAAGUUGACUUCUUAAGAUACAUUAUUUCAAAUGAUGGACUUAUAAUAGAUCUCAAAAAACUUCAAAUUAUUAUGAAUUGAAAGAUUCUAAAAAUAGUAAAAAAUAUCUAAUAUUUUUUGAAAUUUAUCAACUAUUAUUAGAUCUUCAUCAAGGACUUUUUUCAAGUUGUAGUACCGCUUUCAUGUUUGACUUGUAAAGACAAACUUCAAUAGAAUUAAGAAGCCAAAGCAACAUUUGAAGCUUUGAAGAUAACCUUUAUUUUUGUACCAAUCUUAUAUUAUAUUGACUUUUUUAAGCCAUUACUUAUGAAAAUAAACACAUUAAACUUUGCUUUGAAUGUCGUAUUCUCUCAAAUAGGAACAAAUGAUAAAUUACACCUAGUAGCUUUUCAUUCAAGAAAAUUUUCAGUAGCCAAGAUUAAUUAUGAGAUUCACAAGGAAGAACUUUUUAUAAUUAUAGAUUUUUUUUAAGAAUAAUACCAUUAUUUAAAAGGUACUUUUAAUUAAGUCACUAUUUAUAUAAAUCAUAAGAAUCUUGAAUAUUUUAUAUCAAUAUGUAUUUUGAAUCAUUGCCAAGGUCGUUGAAAUAUAUUUAUAUUAAGAUUUGAUUUCAAAAUUCUUUAUUAAUCCAAAAAAAAAUAAAAUUUAUCAAACGUUCUUUUUAGAUAUUCUUAUUUUAUACCAAAAGAAGGAAACGUAUCUUUUAAUAAAGAAAGAAUAAUAUUCUUGAAAUCAAAGCAUUUUCAUCUUUAAGUAAUAAAAUCAACAUUGAUUGUUAAAUCAAGUAUAUACAUCAAUCAAGUAUGUACUUUGAUCCUCUGAUUCAUGUUAUCAAAAAUUAUUCUUUUAUGUAUUAUAAUACAUUCAAGUUCAAAUUUAAGAACAAUCUCCUAUAUUCUAAAAGAUGCUUAUAUAUUUUGGAAGGAGAAGCAUAUCAUGACUUUCCAACAACUAGACAUUUUGGAUACUAAAAGAUUUUGAAACUUAUAUCUAGAGAUUUUUGGUGGCCACAAAUGUAGAAGGUAAUAAAAGACUUUGUUUAAUCAUGUAACAUUUGUUUAAGGUCAAAAAUUCCUUGUCAUUGAUCCUAUGGACUACUUCAACCAUUGUUCAUACGUAUACAAUCAUGGUCUUCUAUUUCUAUGAAUUUUAUUAUAAAUCUUUUAAUCUUAGAUUGAUAUGAUUCUAUAUUCAUGAUAAUAGAUUGUUUUAUCAAGAAGGCAUAUUUUGUAUUAUAUAAAAAAUCUAUCAUAUGUGAAAAAAUAGCUAAAUUUUUUCUUUAAAAUAUCUAUCGCUAUCAUAGAUUAUCUAAAGAUAUUAUAUCAGAUAGGAAGAUUUAAUUUUUAGCAAGAUUUUAGAGAACCCUUUUCAAGAUUCUAAAGAAAGAUAUAAAUUUAUCUUUGGCCUUUCAUCCUCAAUCUCAUUGACAAAUUGAGCAUGUUAAUUAAGUUUUGAAAUAGUAUUUAAGAUGUACUAUCAACUAUCAACAAGAUGAUUGAAUGAUUCUUUUUACCUUUAGUAAAAUUUGCUUAAAUAACACAGUACAUUCUUCUACUCAUCAAAUAUCUUUCUUUGCUAAAUAUGAUUAUCAUCCAUGACUUGAUGCUUUUGAUUUUUUAAGAAUUUUUCAAAUUUGGCAAAUUCUUUAUUAAAGCUAUAUGUAACAAUGGAGGUGCAAUUAAAAGAAGCUCAAGAAUGACAAAAAAUAAAUACAAAUACCUAUUGCAAAGAACAAUCACAAUUCAAUAUGGGUGACAAAGUAUGAUUAUUUUGUUGUAAUAUCAAGACUAUCUAUUCUUAUAAUAAGUUGGACUAUUAUAAGUUUGGACCUUUUUUAUCUAUAAAUAAAUCAAUCUAGUAGCUUAUUGAUUAGACUUAUUGGAGUGAAUAAAGAUCCAUCUUGUAUUCCACAUAUUUCUUUUAGAAGCAUACAAAACAAUGAAUAUACUAAGAAAAAAUGGAUGCCACUUCUACCUAUAGAAGUAGACAAUAAUAAAAAAUUUGAGGUGAAAGAAUAAAGAAGUCUUAGACUCAAAGUGGCAUUAAAAUAGAUUAAAAUAUCUUGUUCAUUGGUACAAAUAUGAUAUUAAUAAACACACAUUGGAGUUAGUAAAGAAUCUUGUAAAUGCAGCAAAAAAAGUAGAAGAUUUCUAUUAAUCACAUCUAUCAAUACUUAGAUAAAAAAAUAAUAAAUCUUUGCAAUAAAAGAAAUAAGAUAAAGAAAAGAUAAUAUUCUAACUUCUAUCUUUAUUUGUAGCUUAUGUGUAUAUUGUGGCAUUAAGGAGAUAGAAUACCAAUAAUCAGCGGAUACAACUUAAGAGCCAUUAUUUGCUGACUUGCCAAAUGAGACAUUGUGAUUAUUUCAACCUUCAAGAUGACAUAAUUAAAAUAAAGAUACUAAAGAAUAACAUGUUCAUCCUUGAAUAUAUUAUGAGAUAUAAUAUAUUUGGUAUCACAACCUUAAAAGAGACUCUUGAUGUUUGUUGAUUUUAUUAGAUAUAGAAAUAACUUUUGAUGGUGUUUCAAAUAUUUUAUUUGAAAGAAGUUAUGAAGGCCUCAAUAAUGUUCAAAUAAAAAGAUGGUCUUCUUAAUCUAAAAUAGUACAUUAUUCAUGGCUAAGAAGACCUAACAACCAUCUUUAAAUAGAAUAAAGAUUAGAGUAUAUUAUAAAUAUUAUUUAUUACAUCUUAGAUUUUUUUAAUAUAUGAUAAUUAUACCUUGUGGAACUUGUCUCUGGAAGGUAGAAUAAUAUGAUGGACAUAUUGUCAGAGACAUACGUACUUAUUUUAAUAAUUAUCUAUGUGAUUAGAUAGAAGUACGUAAAAAUAGAUUAAUUUUAUAAUAUCUUGAUAGAUAUAAUUUUAUUUAUAAUUGACUUUAAAGUUAAAAAAUUAAUCAAUAAAUUAGCAAUAUGUCACACAUGUAGGUAGCUUGUAGAAUAAGUUAAUUAUGUAUCACAUAUAUGAAAAACUUGCAUUACAAAUUAAGACAUGUAACUUAUAAAAUCAACAUAUGUUGGAGGUUCUAUAUAAUAUCACCAAGUAGCUCUUAGGUGGAUAAUAUAUAUAGAAACAAGAGUGAAUCGUUAUUUAAUCUUAUCAAUUUUUUCUUGUUCUAAUUUAGAUUCAAGAGUCUUUAGUUUUUUUACCUUUUCACAAUAGCCAUUUUAAUUUUUUUUUAAUAUAUAUAUAUAUAUAUUUCUUACUUUUAUUUUAUCAUACUUUUUUUAAAAAAAAUCUCAUUUGAUUAUUUUCUUUUAUCAAGUUUGUGUACUUUAUGUAUAAUAGUAUAAUAAUAUUUAAUAUGAUAAGAUCUCUCUCCAAUCUAAUUAUUUUAGGAUUAUCACAAUUAAAAAAAUAUAACUAUCAAAUAGAUUAGAUUUUUCAUAAUUUUUAAUUUUUUCGUAGUUUAAUCAAAAAUUUUAUUACUUAAGUAGAUACACAUAAGUCUAUUACAUCUAAAUCAUUAUUGAUAGGUAUAAGAGCUUUUAUAAAUGUAGUAAAAAAAAUAUCAUCUUUUGCUAUAUAUGCCAUAUUUAUUUUGAGGUAAAAAAAUAUCAAUGUUAUUUUUAACUAAUAUCAAGAUUUUUAGGAUAUUUUUAAAAAAGAUUUUAAAUAUUCUUCCAAAGCAUUGAUCCUAUGAUUGUUUAAUUCAUUCAUAAAAAAGAACUCAAUUAUCAUUUGAACUAAUCUACAACUUAUUAGAAAAUGAGUUAGCAACACUAAAAGAAUACAUUGAUAAAAAUUUAGCUAAGACUUGCAUAUACCAUUCAAAAUCUUCAAUAUGAGCUUUUAUCUUAUUUGUGAAGAAAAAUAAUGGAUCUUUAUGGAUAUAUGUAGACUAUCAAGGACUUUAUAAGAUCAUUAUCAAAAAUAGAUAUUUCUUACCUUUGAUUUUAAGACUUCUUGACCAACUCAAUCAAGUAAAGAUCUAUACAAAAAUAGAUCUAUAAGGAGCAUAUAACUUGGUUUGCAUCAAAAAAAGAGAUGAAUAAAAGACUAUUUUUUUUAUCAAAGUAUCAACAUUUUGAAUAUAAUAUCAUGCCUUUUGGAUUCAUAAAUACACUAGUUAUUUUACAACAUCUCAUAAAUAAUAUUUUUUAUAAAUUCCUUGAUGAUUUUAUUGUGUGAUAUGUAAAUGAUAUUCUAAUCUAUUAUAAGAAUAUAAAAAAACAUAAACUUUAUGUUUGUUAUGUAUUAUAAAAACUUAAAGAUACCAAAUUACAUACCAAGAUUAAAAAAAAAAAAAAAAAAAAAAAAAAAAAAAAAGUACAUAUUUCAUACUACUCAAGUUGACUUCUUAGAGUACAUUAUUUCUAAUAAAAUAUUAAUGAUAGAUCAAAAGAAGUUUCAAAUUAUCAUGGAUUAGAAAAUUAUAAAAAUACUAAAAGAUGUGUAAUUUUUUUUUAAGAUUUAUCAUUUAUUAUAAAACCUUCAUCAAUUUUUUUUUCAAGUUGUAGCUCUAUUUAUACUUUUGACUUAUAAAAAAAAAUUAAGUCUAGUUAAGAAGCCAAAACAUUGCUUGAUGCUUUGAAGAAGGAAUUUACUUCUAUACCAAUCUUGUAUAGCAUCAACUUUGUUAAGGGAUUUUUAAUAAAAAUAGAUGUAUUAGAUUUUGUCUUAGAUGUAGUAUACUCAUAAAAAAGAAAUAAAUAGUAAAUUAUAUUUAAUAACUUUUUAUUUUAAAAAAAAUUCAGCAAUAGAGAUUAACUACAAAAUCUAGCAUAAAGAACUUCUUAUAAUUCUAGGUUCUUUUUAAGAAUGGCGUCACAAUAUAAAAAGAAAUUUCCAUCUAAUUAUUGUAUAUAUAAAUCACAAGAAUCUUAAGUACUUCAUGUCAAUAUGUAUGUUGAAUUAUUGCCAGACUCAUUAAAGCAUGUUAUUAUCAAGAUUUGAUUUUAAGAUUACAUAUUGACCUAAAAUACAACAAGAUUUAUCAAACGUAUUUUUUAAAUAUUCUUAUCUUAUACUAAAUAAAAGUGAUAUAGGUUUUGAUGUCAUAGAUAUAUACAUUUAUCCCAAUAGUUACUUAUAUGAUUAGAUAGAAGUAGAUAAAUAUAGAUUAAUUUCAUAAAGUCUUCUAGAGAAUCUUCCUAGAAGCUUCAUAGAAACGGUUUUGACUUUAGAUGUGUUUAUAGGUUAGAAACUUGCUUAAUAGGUUAACCACAUGUUGGUAGCUUGUGGAACAAGCUAAUUAUAUGGCACAUACAUAGAUAACUUGCCUUGCAAGUUAAAACAUGUGGCUAAUAAAGUCAACACAUGUUCGAGGUCCUAUAGAAUAUCACCACAUACCUCUUAAUUAAAGAGUAUAUAUAGAAUCAAGAGUAAAGCCUUCUUCUUUCUUAUCACCACUUUUUUAAUUCUUAGUCUUGUUUCAAGAUUUUUUAGUCUUCUUGUUUUUGGCAAUAGCCAUUCUAAUUUGAUAUUACAUCACCUUUUGAGUGACUCUCUAGUUUUCUUUAGUGAUAUAAGAAAGUAUUGACGAUUUUCUUUCUUCAAGAUUCAUGUCUUUGAUAAUUUGACAAAAGUGCUAACAGACUAUUUCUAUUUUUUUUAGAAGUGAGUGGAUUACCUUACUUCUAUUGUUAUGUUUUGCAGAUUGCUGACUAUCCACCUUUAAACAAAAAAAUCUCAUUUUCUAAUACUAAUCUUUUCCUUAAAGAGAGUGAAUUAUCCCUCUUUGUGGAAAUUUUUAUUAGAGGUUGCAGAUUACCUUCUUCUAAUUUAACUGUUUAGAUUUUUUUGAGUUUUCUAUAGAAGAAAAGAUUAUGGAUGCUAUUCCUAAUAGAAGUGAGAAUAGAUUUGUAAUUAUUGUAGAUCUUCACGAGUUUGUAUAGACUCUUAGGACAAAAAUUUCAUGCAUUACCAACAUCAAUCAUAGAAGCACUACUUCUAUACGUAUGGAAGAAGUCUAGAAUCUAUAUCAAGAAGUUAUGCAGUUGAAAGAAACAAGUCAAUUAGCUUCACAAUCAAAUUAAGUGGGUCUUGUUUCUAGAAGCUCAAGAGAGGUAAGAAUUAGUAUGCCUAAGAAGUUUAAUGGAAUAAGAUUAAAAUUUCAAGGAUUUUUACAACAAAUUAAGCUCUACUUAAGGUUAUGUAUUUUCCAAUAUGUAGAUGGAUUUACUCAAGUCGGCUUUAUAGAUGCACUUCUAUUUGAAAGUAUUCUUUCUUGAUUUGUACCUUUGAUGGAAAAGGAUUCACGACUUUUUUAUAAUUUAAAUUUAUUCUUAAAAGUGUUUAUAGCCACAUUUGGAAAAAAUCAUCAAGAACGAGUAGUAGGCAUUAAACUUUUAUAUUUAUGACAAGGAUUACAAUCAGCCACUACAUAUACUGCUAAAUUCCAAAACCUUGUUUGCAACAUGGACUAGAAUGAAAAAACACUUAUCAAUCUAUUUCAAUAUGGCUUGAAAGAUAGCAUCAAAGAUUUGUUAUUAAUAAUGCCAAAAGAAAAAUCUUUAAAAUAAUUUAUUACUUAAGCCAUUGCAUACAACAAUUGAUUAUUUGAAAGGUGUCAAGAAUAAAGAUUUGAUUGAAGAGGAAUAAAUCAAGUAAUAGCAGCAACUCUCAAGUUUUCUAAAGCGUAUUCAUCAAGGCGAGAACCAAUAUAAAUUGAUACAAUAUAUUUUAAACCUUUCAUAGAGUAGGAAAAGACUUGACGUUAUCAAGAGGGUUUGUGUUUAUAUUAUAGAGAAGCUAAGUACACUGCUCAAUUUUGUCCAAAGAAGCAAUACAAUUACAAAAUAAAAAAACACAUUUAUCAAAGAAGAUAAUGUGCUGAAAAAUGAGUUUCCCCAGCUACAAUAAGAACUAUGUGGUUGGAAUCAUGUACAAUACCUAGUAAAGGUUUUAUUUACUUCUCAAAUCCCUCACCUUGGUUUACAAUAGAUAUAUGUUUAGGACCCAAAAAUUACAAAGAUUUUGCUACCUUAAUAUCACUGAAUCCUUCUUUGUGAAAAAACUAGUAUUUUUACUCUCAAAUGACACUCUCAAAUUCACUUCUAAGACUUUUCACAAGUUUGAUGACCAAUCUAACUAUCUCAAAUCUGAUUUGUCACUCUAAUAUCACUCUUAUACUCACAAAUCACCUCUAUAUACCAUAAGAAGCCUUUUAAGCACAAUUAGCAACUUUAGGACAUGAAAUUAUAAAGUUAGAUCACUCAGGAUCUAUCUCAGCAAUAACACAAUACAAACUUUGCCUUUAGAUGGAAAAAAACCAAACACAAACACCAAAAUGUUCUUAACCACAAGUAAGAGCAAACCAAGAUCUAGAUUUAGAUCUGAAUCUGAAAGUUAUGUAUUUCUAAAGCCUAACAUCAGCAAUAAUAACUUGAUCUACUCUACACUUAUAAAAUUACUUCAAAGAACUUCAAAAAACAUUCAAGCAAAUGUGAGUAGGCCCAUAACCUAUUGAAGAAAAGAAGUCUAAAAGCUACAAAUAGUUAACAUCAGCAAGGAUUGUACUCUAAGAGAAGUGUGGAGAAAGAUGUCUCUUACUUCCAAUAUCCUUUACUUAUAGUGGAAUUUACAUCCCAAGUACAUAGAUUUCAUCCAAAGUCACCUUCAUCCUUUCAACUAGAUCUAGAUUCAUCUUAACCUAGCUCCCACCUUAAAACCCUAGCUGCCGCUAUAAUAACUUCUUUUAAUCCUUUAAUGCUUUUUGACUAUUAGCAACUUACUAUGAUUAAUCUUUAUGUGGUGGCAACUAAUUAAGAACUUCUUGAUCUUCAACAUGUACAUCAAAGCUAUCAAAGAAUCUUACAAAUAUAGUAAAGAAAGUUGAAGCUUUUUAUCAAUGACAUCCAUCAAAUUCAAGAUAAAGAAUAAUAAAUCUUUGCUAUAAAAGAAACAAGAUCAAAAGAAGUUAACAUUCUACCUUCUAUCUUUUUUUGUAGCUUCUGUAUAUUUGUCAUACUAAAGAGAUGGAGAACCAACAACUAGCAGAUUUGACUCAAGAGCUUUUAUUUGCAAACUAACUAGAUGAAAUAUUACGAUUGUCAUAACCUUUAAGAUGACAAAAUUGAGAUAAAGAUCUUCAAGAAUUACAUGUCCUUCUUCAUAUAGAUGGAAAGAUACAACAUGUUUGAUAUCACGACUUUAGAAGAGACUUUCAAUAUUUGAUAAUUUUAUUAGACGUAGGAACAAAUCUUGAUGAUAUUUCAAAUAUUUUAUUUGAAAGAAGUUACAAAGGCUUCAAUAAUGAGCAAAUAAUAUGAUGGUCUUCUUGCCUUGGUAUGAGACACUAUUGAUGGCUGAGAAGUCCUAUCAACUAUCUUCAAAGAGAGCAAAGAUCAGAGUAUGUCGCAAAUAUAAUUUACCACAUCUUAAAAAUUUUCAACAUAUAAAGACUAAUUUUCAUGGAAUUUGUCACUAGAAUGAGAGAUAAUGUAAUAGACAUAUAUAUUUAUUCCAAUAGUUACUUAUAUAAUUAGGUAGAAAUAGGUAAAUAUAGAUUAAUUUUAUAAAGUCUUUUAGAAAAGCUUCCUAAAAGCUUCAUUGAUGUGGUUUUGAUUUUAGAUGUGUUUGUAGGUUAAAGACUUGGUCAAUAAGUUAACCACAUGUUGAUAGCUUGUAGAACAAGUUAACUUUGUGAUGUAGCUUGUGGAACAAGCUAACUAUGUGGCGUAUACAUAGAUAACUUGCCUUCCAAGUUAAGACAUGUGGCUAGCAAAGUCAACACAUGUUGGAGGUCCUAUAGAAUAUUGCCACAUAGCUCUUAGUUAGAGAGAAUAUAUGGAGGUAAGACUGAAGCCUUCUUCACUCUUGUCACUUUUUUUUUAGUCUUUAGUCUUAUUUCAAGAUUUUCUAUUUUUUUUUUAGCAAUGGUCAUUCUAGUUUAAUAUUACAUCAUCUUUUGAAAGACUUUCUUCAGUGAUACAAGAGUGUAUUGAGUAUUUUUUUUCUUCAAGAUUCAUGUCCUUGAUAUUUUAUUAACAAAAAAUAGUCAUCUUGAAGCCUAAGUAAUUUCAUCUUUCAGCAAUAAAAUCAUUAUUGAUUGUUGAUUUGUUCUUCACUAAGAAAAUUCAAUUAAAUAUGUCUUCUAAUCUUCUUGUUGAUGAUAUUAAGAAUACUUCUUCUAUGUUUCAUAAUAUUUUGAAAUUUGAAUUCAAAUAAUCUAUUCCAUUUCAAACAUCGUAUAUAUGUUUUAAAAGGAGAAGUAUAUUUACGUGUUCUUCAAGUACCUAAUAACUUUCUAACAAUAUGAUAUUUUAAAUACAACAAGACUUUAGAACUUAUAUUUAGAGAUUUUUAGUAGCUACAAAUAUUAAAGAUUGUAAAAGACUUUAUACAGCCAUAUAACAUUUGUUCAAGAUCAAAAAUUCCUUAUCAUCAAUCCUAUGGACUUUUUCAACCAUUGCUUAUAUCAAAACAACUAUGAUCUUUUAUUUCUAUAGAUACUAUUAUGGAUCUUCUAAGUUUAAGUUCAUAUAACUAUAUAUUUGUGAUCAUAAAUUACUUCAUAAAAAUAGUAUAUUUUAUAUUAUAUAUAAAAUUUAUUUUAAAUAAAAAAUAGCUAAGUUUUUUUUUAAUAAUAUCUAUUAUUUGCAAGGAUUAUCAAAAGAUAUUAUGUCAAAUAGAAGAAUAUAAUUUAUAUUAAGAUUUUAGAGAUUCUUUUUUAAGAUAUUGAAGGUGGAUAUAAAACUAUCUUUGGCCUUUCAUCUUUAAACCAAUGGGCAAAAAAAAUGGAUGAAUUAAGUUUUGGAAUAACAUUUGAAGUAUUCCAUCAACUAUUAUCAAGAUGAUUGGACAAAUUUUUUGCCAUUAGUAGAGUUUAAGUAUAAUAAUUUGAUAAAUUCUUCUAUUGAAAAAAAACCUUUCUUUACUAAUUAUGGUUAUCAUCCAUGACUUGAUACUUUUGACUUUUUAAAGGUUAAGAAUCAUGAGACAAAAGAUUUUACAAAUCAUUUAUCAGAGCUUCAUACAAUAAUGAAGGUAUAUAUUAAAGAUGCUCAAGAAUGAUAAAAAAAUCAAUAGAGAUAUCUAUUGUAAAGAACAACCAUAAUUCAAUGUAGAUGAAAAAAUAUGAUUACUUUGUUACAAUAAGAAGACUACUUAUUCUUGUCACAAAUUGGACUAUCAAAGAUUUAAACUAUUUUUAUUUAUUUAUAAGUCAAUUUUAUUGCUUAUUAAUUAUAUCCAUCAAUGUCUAUAAAGAUUCAUAUUAUAUUUGAUAUAUCUCUUUUUGAGCCAAAUAAAAUAAUCAAUAUCUUGAAAAGAAGACAAAUGCCUCUUCUUUCUAUGAAAGUAGAUAAUAAUCAAGAAUUUGAGAUAGAAAAAGUCUUAGAUUUAAGGCAAUAUCAAAAUAGGUUAAAAUAUCUUAUUUAUUGGUAUGGAUAUGAUAUUAGUGAAUGUACAUAAAAGAUAGCAAAGAAUCUUUUAAUUACAGUAAAGAAGGUUGAUACUUUUUAUCAAUGAUAUCUAUCAAAAUCAAAAUAAAGAAUAGAAAAUCUUUACUAUAAAAGAAAUAAGAUUCAAAGAAGAUAUCAUUCUACCUUCUAUUCUUGUUUGUAUCUUUUAUAUAUUUGUAGCACUAAGAAGAUAGAGAACCAACAAUAAGUAAAUUCAACUUAAGAGCUAUCAUUUGUUAACUUAUCAAAUGAUACAUUGUAAUUAUGACAAUCUUCAAGAUGAUAUAAUUGAGAUCAAGAUCCUCAAGAAUAACAUUUUUUUUAAAUAGAUGGCAAGAUACAAUGCGUUUGAUAUCACAAUCUUAGAAGAGACUUCUAAUAUUUGAUGAUUUUAUUAAAAAUAUAAAUAAUUCUUAAAAAUAUUUUAAAUAUCUUAUUUAAAAGAAGUUAUGAAGGCCUCAACAAUAAUCAAAUAAUAAGAUGAUCUUCUUGCCUAUGUAUGGAAUACUUAUCAAUCUUCUAUGAAGAGAACAAAGAUUAGAAUAUAUAGCAAAUACAGUUUGUUGCAUCUUAGAUUUUUUUAUUAUAUGAUGACCACUCUUCAUAGAACUUGUUUCUAAAAGAAAAAGUAAUGUCAUGGACAUACAUAUUUACUCUAAUAAUUACCUAUAUAAUUAAAUAAUAUUAGAAAAAAAUAGAUUAAUUUCAUAAUAUCUUCUAGAAAAACUUCCUAAAAACUUUAUACAUGUUGAUUUGACUUUACACAUUUUUAUAAUUAAUUUGUAGAUUAGAAACUUGAUUAAUAAGUUAGCAACAUGUCAAGAGUGUUGAUAGCUUGUAAAACAAGCUAACUAUAUGAUGCACAUAUAGAAUAUUUGUCAUCCAAGUUAAGACAUGUGUCUAGCAAAGUCAACAUGUGUUAGAGAUUCUAUAGAACAUUUUUACAUAGCUUCUAAUUAGAUAGUAUAUAUAUUAGCAAAAAUAAAGCUUUUUUUAUUCUUAUCAAGUCUUUUUUUGUUUCUAAUUUAAUUUCAAGAAUUUCUAAAUUUAUAAUCUUUAGUAAUAAUUAUUCUAAUUUCUUCUUGAAAAUAUAUAUACUUUCUUACUAUCAUUUUGUCAUCUCUCUUAAAUACUUAUCUUAUUUAUUUAUGUAGCUUCUUUUAGGUUCUUAUUCUUGAUACAUAUAUAUUUAUCUAGAUAAAAAAAAUAUUAAGUAGAUAUUAAAUAUAAAUAUAUUUGAUAAUAUCUUGUGGUGAAGCUUGUUAGAGGCACCAUAGAUGUAGAUUUGACUUUAAACGUAUUUGUAGUUAAUUGGUAGAUUAAAAACUUUGCCAACUUAUUAGUCUCAUGUUGCACAUUUUGGUAGCUUGUGAUAUAAACUACUUAUGUUGCACACAUGUAAAAAUAAAAUUUACAAGUUAAAUACAUGUCUCAUAAAUUAGAGACGUAUUUGAGGUCCUACAAAAUAUUGCUACAUAGUUUCUAGUUAGAUAGUAUAUAUGGAGGCUAAAAUGAAGUCUUUUCUAUUGUUAUUAAUGCCUUUCUAGUCCUUAGUCUUGUUUCAAGAGUCUCUAGUCUUCUUGACUUUAGCAAUAGCCAUUUUAAUUUCAAUAUUAUAUUAAUUUGAGUAAAUAUAUAUUCUUUUUGAAUGAUACAAGAGAGUAUUGAGGUUUUAUUUUAUGUGAUUCAUGUCCUUAAUAAUCCAAUAUCAAAGAUGGUUUUUUAUGUUUUUAUAAAAUAAUUUUUUAAUUAUCUUUUGGACUUCAUUUAAAUCUUUAUACAUUGAUUAGACUUUGAAUUGGUUUAAAAUAUUGUAUGAAGUUGUAUAAUUAUACAUUUUAUCUUGGAUAUUUUUUAUAAAAUACAAUACAUCACACAUGUCUAUUAUAAUAUUAAAUGUGAUCUUUUUCUAUUCUACUUAUACAUACAAGAUAUAAUAUCUUUUUUUUAUUUAUAGAUAAUUAUAAUAUUCCUAAUAAAAAUUCUUUUUCUACUUGAUAAUUUUUUUUCAUAUCUAUUUAUAUUAAUAAUAAAAAAAGAUAAUAUAAAUUUAACUAAAAAGUAAAUAUGCUAAAUUAUUCUAUAGAUAUACAUAUACAAAAUUUUAUUUAAAUACUUUAUUAAUGUAUAUAAUAUCAAGAUAUAAUAAAUAAAAAAUAAAAACAUAUUUAAAUUAAUUUCUUAAAUAAAAAGUAAAAGAUAGUUAUUAUAUUUACUAAUGGAAUGUCUAUAUGCUUACAUUUAUAUUCUUUUGUUAUAUAAUUAUAUAUCUUGUAUGCAUAAAAAUAAGAAUUAUUUUUGUAUAUAUAUUUCUAUCAAAAAAAUUUAAUUUAGAAUUAUGAAUCUUUCACAUAUAUUAUUAAAACUUGGGCAUUGAAAAGCAUUUCAAUUCUAACAAUCAUUUAUUUAUUAAAUAAAUUUAUCACAAUUUGAAAGUAAAUUUGAUAUUUUAUUAUUUUAAAUUAUUUUAAUUAUUUUUUAAAAUAUUAUUGAUAUCAAAAAAUAAAUCAUUUUUUUGAAUUAAUCUUUAAUAAUAUCAUAACAAAUAAACAUAUAUUUUCUUUAUAAGGAUAUAUGUUUUUUGUAAAAAACUUUAUUUUCUAUAUCUUUCAAGUUGCAUAUCUUGAAUUAAUAAGGUACAUAUUAUUCUUUUUUGUCUUUAACUUCUUUUUAAUAUUACUUUUAGAAAUAUCAAAGACUAUAAAUUUAAUAUAAAUAUAUUAAAAAGAAUAUUUUUUUAUACUUUUAUCUAUUAUAUUGAAUGGUAUAUUUUUUGAUUUGAGAUUAUAAUAGGUGAUUUUUAUGUCAUGAAAAUAUUACAUUCUUCUUAUAUUUUUUAUAUAAUAUCAAUAAAAAAAAUAAAAAUAAAUAAAUAAAAUCCAACAUAUUACUUAAACAUAUUUACACGAUUUCUAUUACUAAACAAUAGUUCUUAUUUUUAAUAUCUAAUCAAAUUAUUCCAUAAUUUCUAUCACAAUUAUUUUUUAUUAUUACAAAAAAAUGAUAAUAUUUGGAUGGUUUAAUUAAACUUAGAUUCCUACUUCUUUAUAUAAUAUUUUAAUAAAUACUAUAUUUAUUUUUCUUGAAGAAUAUAAGUGUCUCAAUUAUUUUAAUUAAUAAACUUUUCUAAAAGAUCCUUUAUUGAUGUAUUCUAAAAGUUUUAAACAUUUUAAAUCUUUUCAAAUUUUUAAAAUAAUAAGUUUUCCAUCUUUUGUGACAUAUAAGUCUUUUUGUCUUUGUAAUAUGUGUUUCGUUAAUUUAUAUUCUUUAAGAGAAAUAUUUCCAAUAUAUUGUUUCAAUCUCUUAUAGAAGUUUUUAUUAUCAUAUUUAACUUUAUCAAAUAUUAUAAUAUCCAAUAUUAUUAAUAUAGUGGUUUUAAAUUCCAUUAAAUAGUUAUUAAAAAGAGUAAUUUUUAUUAGAAAAUAUAGUACUUUUAGUUCUAAACAACCUUUUUAAUUUUUUUUCUUUAUUUAAAAGAUUGGUCUAAUUUACCAAUUACAUUCUUUAUAUUCUUUACAUUCUUUCACUAAUAAGUAGAUUUUAUUCAUUAUGAUAUAAAAAAACCAAUAAAUAGAAGUCCAAAUUAUUUAUUGCCAUUGUUGUAAAUUAUCAAUUUUUGAAAUACUUCUCUAAUACAUUUAACAUUUUUACAAAGAUCGAUACAUUGGUAUCUAUUUAAUAUAUCCUCAUUAUUUACCAAUUCUUCUAUGUCUUUGAUAUGAACUUAACAUUGAUACAAAAUAUCUUUUAUUUUUAAUACAUCUUAUUUGGAAUCUAUCUUUUGUAUCUUUAAUAUGAUUAUUUUAUUACUUAAAUAUUUUUAAAGAUUUUCUUGUCCAAUAUUCAAUCAAAUAUUUCUAAAAUCUUCACAUGUGUUUUUAUUAAUAGUUCCAAAUUGGCAAUAUAGAAUUAUGCAUAAGUAUCCAAGUUUUCUCUUCUAAUCAAAUAAAUAAUAUUCCAUAUUAAUAUCAUUUUUUAUCUAAGCUUACAUUUAAUUUAAUAUAAACCUUGUAAAAUAUAUUAAAAUAAAAUAAAUAAAUAAUGAUAUGUAUAAGAAUUACACAUACAUCCAUACUUAUAGCCAUCAUUUGACUAUACAAGAGAUUAUUUAAUUUUUUAUUUCCUCAAAACAUCAAAACACAUGCAAUACUUAGCAAUUGAUUUCACAAUUAUCUACAAACCUAAUGUUUUGUCUAGAAUGUGAUUUCUUCUAAAUAUAUACAAGUCAUUUUUGUAUAUUCCUUAUAAAACUUAGGCUGACCAAUUUUCUUAUUUUAUCCAAAUUCUAAAGUGUACCACGACUAAUUUGACCUGAACCAAGUUAAGUAACAACACCUCAUCGACUUGUUCACAUCCAGGUAAACUCGUGCUCUGAACAUAAUUUCUCAACGAGUUUCUAUGGAAGUCUAUAAUCAAUUGUUAAGCAUUCUCUUUUACUUCCCUAACAAAAGUCCAACAUUACUCCACAAUUUACAACUCCUAAGUACUCAAGAAGUAUGAUACCCUUGGCAUAUCCAUUGCACAUGUCUUCAAUGUAUUCGAGUCGCUCCAAAUAAAGCCUUUGCAAAAUCACAUGAUCUAUCAAAGGUCAGGAUUGAAGUGGGGACCUCUCAGUUGUAAAAAACCAUCUUUAUUAUAGGCGGAAGUGAGACAAAUAAAGUCUUUCUAAUUCAUGUCCUUUUCUUAGAAUGUAGAAACUUGAAUAAAACGAAGGAUUUUGUUCCUUGCUAGCUGCAUUGAAUCUUAUAGGUACUGGUUAACAUGUGGUAGAUAGAAUCUUCUAUUUAAUGGUAACAUUUGGUAGAUAGAAUCUUCUAUUUAGAUAAGCUUUGAUAAAUGAUAAUCAGCCAGAAAAUAAUUAAUUCUCUUUAGUGUAAACAAUUAUUAAAUAAAAUAAUUGAUAUGUUAUAAAAAUAUUAAUAUAUGUAUUAAUAGUAUAAAUUUACUGUUUUCAAAUUUUAAUUUUUAAGAAAACAUUUUAUUUGAUAAGAAAAUAUUACAAAAUCAAAAAAAUUAAGCAAUAAGAAACAAACAAAUAUUUUCUCACAUGACUUGUAAAAAAAGAGUUGUAACAACUUAAAGAAUCUAAAAAAUUAUCUACAAAAGUUAUAAUACUUUAAAAUUUACCUUUAUGUAUUUCAAAUUCUUUAUGUAAAAAAUGAAAAAAAUGAAAAUAUGUUGAUUUAUAUCAAAAUAUUUACGAAUUGAUUCAUAUUUACAAAUAAUUUUGUUAAACAUUUGAAUGGGAUAAUAACUUUGUCUAUAAGUUUGUUAAAUUUAUACACAAGUUUUAUUAUUGUUAUUAUUAUUAUUAUUAUUAUUAUUAUUAUUAUUAAAUAUAUACUAAUAAAGCAUCUUAUUGUGGAUUAUGCAACAUUAAGUUGAUGUAUAAAGUGACAUAAAAAAUAAAGAAUAAAUAACUAAGUGAAGAGUCUAUAUUUGUUUUAUAUAAAAUAUAAGUGUUUUUCCAAAUCACUAUCUUAAUGUAAAAAAAUAUUACAAUUGUGGUUGAUUUAAGCAUAUCUUUAAUAACUCACCUAAAGUAGGAUUUUUUAAAAUAAGAAAAUAAAUAUUCAUUAUGAUUUUAAUAAAUUAAUUUUAUAUUUAUAAAAAUAUAUAUAUAUAUAUUUUUGUAAGUUCAAUUUUGAUUUAGAUGAAAUAUUAUAUAUUAUUUUUAAAGAAGAGGUUUUUUAAAAUUAAAAAAUUAUUUUGUCUAAAGAAUGUUUAUAAAAGAUAAUAGCAUAAUUAAAGCUAAUAAAACAAGGCCCAUUCUUUUGGCAAAUUAAGUGAAGGACAAAGAUAAGAAGAUUGGAUUUUAAAAUGUCAUUUACUUAUGUAAGAUAAAUUAUAAUUAUUUUUUAUUUAAAAAAAAUCAUGUGAUGUGAUUUAUUAAAAUAGAUAUAGUAUAAAUGCAUCCAUGAGAAAAUUAAUGACUAUAGAUAAAAGAGAAGAAAAAUCAUAUUUUUUUAUAUUUAUAAUAAGAUAAAUAGUAUAGAAGUGACUCAAUUUGCAUCCAAACAAGUUAAAAUUUUCUUUGAAAUUUUUUCAUUUAUUAUUCUGUUAUAAAAUAUUAGCUAUAAAAAUUUUGCUAAAUAACAUAGCCUUUAGUAAAUUUUAUAAUAUAUUGAUUUUAAGUUUAUAUGCAAAAUUUGCAUAAAAAAUUAAAAUUAAAAUACAUAUAUAUAUAUAUAUAUAUAUAUAUAUCAUUUGUAAGUAAUAGAGAAACUUGUAUCAUCAAGUUUUUUGAGAUUGUAAAUUUAAUUUUGUAGGUCAAUAAAAACUAAUAUUUUAUAAUAAUAAAAACUAUCUUAAUAUCUGCAAUUUGAUGCUCUAUAACCUUUACACACAAUGCUUUCAGUGUAUUUUGGAUUUGUACACUAUACCAUAGAAAAAUAAUUAAUAAGUAAUAGAAUUAAGAAUAUUCAAAAUCAUAAUUUUUUGUGGGCUUUAAAUAUUACAAAUUUUUAUUUUGGUUUAAAUUUAAUUGACUUAUUGCAUUUCUAUGUGUUUUUAAUUUUAAAGAAGAAUAAUAAAAAAAUAUUUAUUUUCUAAAAACUUAUGCUUUAAUUCUUAUCAAAAUAAGAUAUAUCUAUUAAAGAAUAAGAGAUUUUUUUAUUAAAAGAAGUCUACAUUAAUUGGCCAUAGUAUAGUAAUUUAAAAUAACUUGAAAUAAAAAUUAAAUCCAAAUUUAAGAAGUAGAAGGUCAAUGGUUGAGAGUCUUGUUAUGAAAUCUCAAUAGUAAUUGAUAAAAUUUUGUCUAUGGUUUUUUAUCUUUUUUUAAAAAAUAUAUAUAUAUAUAUAUAUAUAUAUAUAUUAAAAAAGAAUACUUUAUACAAUUAUAAAUUCAGAUUGAUUUAAUAUUAUUUAAAUCAAUUUUAAAAUAAUAUAAUAUGAUAUAGUUUAAAUUUCUUCUUAAAAAUCAUCUUCUACUGAUACAUUGAAUAUGAAGAAAAAUUAAUUCUUCUACACUACAAUCAUAUUAUUUUAUUUUUAUUUUUAUUUUUAUUUUUUAAAAGAAAUAAAUAAAAUCUUCAUUUCUUUUUGUAAACAUAAAAUACAUUCAACCCAGUUACAAGUGACUCAAGUAAAAUUAACUGAUUUAUUAAACACAGCUUAAAAGAUAAAACAAAAAAUGAUCCAACUGAUUUGAAAUUGCCAAAGGCAAUUGCUGAGUCAUAGACCCGAGUUGAAGAUCAAUGUCAAGGCAUUUAUGUGCUGUAAUAGUGGUUGAAAAGCAAAUCCUCAUAAUAUAGCUGGAAAGUAUCCACUAGAGAGUUCCUUCCAUUAAUGUGGAAAAAAUGUCUUGAUGACUUUACUAUAGAUGGAGCAAGGAAAAGAGAUGAUGCAAUUAAUUUGACCUCUCCAUGUGUUGACCACAAUAGCUUGGUGCCACAAUAAUCAAAGCAACUUGGCCUCUUCGCUUGCUUGACUUUUUAUCUAGAUUGUCUACUGAGAAACAAGCUAAAAAGAAUCAAUUGUCCUUUUAGGCAUCUCUAAUAUACCAUAAUCUUACAUUGUGGGGUUGUGAUGCUCAAAGUUUUGAAAAUGUAGCUCCAAAAAGGUUCAUUUGCUACUUGUUUUAUUAUACAUGGAGUCACUUGUUGCACAUCUUUUACUAGGGCUCUCUAUAAAGAGGCAAUGCAUGAGCAUAUCUUGAAUCCUUGCUUAGCUUUGAAUUGAGUGGUUUGCCUAAUCUAUGGUUUCAUAUACAAGAAGGAUGUUAUCUAGAAUAAAAUACAUUAGUAGAAAAAUUGACUAAUCAAAUGAAAUGAUUUCCAUGAGCAUUGGCUAAAAGUAGAUUUGUAAUAUCUUAGCAAAGAGUUUAUUGGCAACAUUAAAGAGGGUACUGGACGGCCAAAAUGUUAGUUGUUUUGUUGUGCCACUCUUGAAUAGUAAGGAGAUAAGACCUUGUGUGAUGCCCAAUGAGAUUGACUACUCACUUUUGUUAUCAUAGCAGGAUAAUUGUGUUUAAUAACAUCUCAAAAGGUUUUAAAGAAUUCCGAUAUUAUCCCAUCCGGCCUUGGUGCUUUCCCUGGAGCCAUGUUUUUCACAACUUUGUUCAGCUCUCGCACAAAAUUGGGGUCCGGAGCUCGGCCUUCAUUCUGGUUGUGAGACAAUCACUCACACUAUCUAGGCUCGUGUUUGUUGUUGUUGCGGCUACGUCUCACUUUGGGAGACACUUUUGCAGACCACUUACCGGUCUGCUGUUCGAUCCAGUUAGCUGCGAUGUUUGACGCACUUCAUCAUUUUAAAUGAGUGCUAUAUAUUUAACAAAUGAGGCUGUCCAAUGCCAAAUCAAAACCCUAUGGUCUUCUCACCCUCGUCUUAGUUUUAUACGAAAGCUUCGCAUGGCCGUCAAAUUCUACCGCGGAUACUGUGUGCAGAAAGCCCAGCAGUAUUGGCGAGAAGAAUUGCAAUGGCGCCAAUGCUUGUCACAGACUAUGGCCGAGCUAUGACCCGUUGAAUACAGUACUAUUAGGGAAGCUGGGUGUUGUGGUAGACAAAUUACAAAUUAUAGAACAAGGGAACGCCGAAGGCCAAAAGGUAUGCAGUUGGAAUAUGUGGAAAAGAGUGGACAAUGCGAGCAGUACGUUAGGGUACUGUUGGAGGUGCGUCAUUGGACUGUCUGCCGAGCUGACUUUUUGCUUGUGCAUUUGUUGGGGGGGGGGGAGAUGUGUAGCCACUCGCUGGGGGGGGUUUGGGGCCUCCACCCGGUCAUAAAUCAUGUCAUUCUACACUUCAAUACCAAUACUAAUUAAAUUUAUGAAAACAUUAGAACUCAACAUUGAUAUUUAUUAAAGCAUUCAUUCACUCUUCAUUCACUUCUUGUGGCCCCUUUCUUUCAACAAACGUAAAAGCCAAAUCAGAAAUAAUCACUAGAUCGACUUAAACUGAUGUCGCAUCGGCCCAUUAGCUUAGACUGAAAACAAUGUCGAAAGCACUGAUGCGGAUUCCAUCGCAUCAUCGCCGGACAACGUCAAUGCUGCGUGGGAUGUCUAAAUUUAGCUUCUGAGCUGGAAGCAUCUUCACUCACAAGUUGGAAUCGGCAUCUACGACGUGAUCGUUCUGUUGCUCCGCUGAAUUCACACACUCUGCGGCGAAUGCGCAGUUGAGCCUGUGAUGUGAGAAGUUCAUUUCGUUCUCUUGUCGAUGGGGAAAACGUGGGAGGUGAUCUCUACUGCCGACGGGACCCAAAUCUAGACUCGAAAUCGUUGAAUCCGUUUGGUUUAGGGUGGGCGGGGGCAGUUUUAAGCUCCCAAAUCUGAAGGAGCGGGUUUCAACAACCAUCUCCAAUGCAGAAUCACUGCAGAUGCUAACCCCACUGGCUGUGUAACCGACGAGGAAUAGUGAUGUCUGUGUUGUGGGGUCUUUGAAUAAGCAAGUUGUACAGUUUCAUUUACGUCACGGAAGAACGAGAUGAUGAAGGCGAAGGAUCAGAUUCGUGUUCCGUGCUGCCUGCUUCUGUCCUGGUCUGUACUUUGUGUUGUGUUCCUUAGCGUGGAUGCACAGGACGAGGGGGAGAAGUUCGUUAAGCGUUGUGAGGAGAACGUCAAAAAUGUUGCUCUGAGUGCGUCGAUGAACGACGGUAAUUGCGGUAAAUAUCAAUUUAUCCCAUCCUUUGCGUUGAAAUAAUUAUCAAUUUCAUAUUCCGACGAAAUUUGAAGUGAAUCGUAAAUUUGUUCUCUCAUCUCACGAUGGAUUGACCUGAUGCAUGAAGGGGGAGUCGGAACUAACUUUUUCAUGUCGUGUGUGUCGGUAUCCAUUGGGUGGUUUUACUCAGCAACUGUGAGUACUAUCAAUGGUUAUGUUGGACACUGUCUAGGUUUUCCAAAACUGUCAAACACUGCAGCGAGAAUACUUCGAUUAAAAUAGGAACAGAACGGGACGCCAGCCCCUGUUUUUUAGGAUGUGGCUGAUUUACUUGAAAGUCGAUUUCGUUACAGAAAAUUCAGUUAGUUUUUCUCCCCGCCACGGUUCUCUAUUGUUUGUCAAGCUGGAUACAAAAAAGGCUCUAAUUUUAAUUCUUACUUUCUGCUGCGGCUGCAGAUCUUUUAAAUAAUUGCAAGAGUGAGUGUUCACGAGUCGUAUGCAGCCCUCUGAAUGCGGAUUUGCAAUCAUCUCUGUGCGUUCGAGUGGAAGUCAAUGAUAUCUGUCCACCCACAGAGACCAACCAAUCAUGCAAUCUUUAUAUGAAGGUCAAUUACCAACGGAGUUAUGUCUUGUAAGGAUCAAGUUGCUUCAGUCUGAUCAGUAGCCAUUUCCAGUAGACAUUGACAGGAGGUGAUAAUUACACUGUUCUUUUGAAAUCUUGUUGAUUGAAAUACUUUUUACAUGUUCAGUCUCUUGUGCAAGUGUUUAAAAGUCUGGCACAGUAUUCAUAUUGAAAACGGUGUGCAGGCUUGCUCCACCUGCUUCAAGUCAACAGUUGUUGCCUGGGAUGACUCGAGAUAUUUGCCUCCAAAGAAACCUCGAUGGUUUAUUCAAGAGUAUUUCUCCGAACACGUCAUACACAUCCACUUUUUUCGGAUCUAUGAGCGGAGUCUUCAGAUCUUUUCCAGGAAGGGUCUGUUCUCUUUCAGCCUUCUGUUGAAUGCCUAUGCAUAUUUAAUGGUUUUCCUACAUUCAAUUGAGCCUAGAAUGUCGACACACCAUUAUCUGUGGUUGAGUAACCGGGGCUCACUCAGGCCUGGGAUGUUUGCAGCAUUUUCUAAGCCGAAGUCAAAUUAGAAUCAAAGUAAUCAUGUCCGCUAUGUCACAAAAUUCAUGUACAGACUGGAUGUAGACUGUGAUCGUCGAAUUAUUUCUGAUGCUCUAUCUUCUCAUGCCCUUGUUAGACUUUUCCAUCGUAGGCGGGAACCAGGUGAUAAUUGAACAAGCUGUAACGCUCUAGCGAGACGUUUGGAUAUAAUGAGGAUUUAAUUGACGGUCUGGGAGUGUUGCAACUGCAGGAAGAACCGCCCGAUAAGUGCAUCACUUUCGAAACUCGUCGACGGCCCUGGUGCGUUUAAGCGUUCCUAAAUCUACUUCCUAAUUGUAUGGUUGUUGAUGAUCCUACAGUUUGCGAUUGAACCAUGCCAUGAAAUUAGCCGCAAAUCGGGAGGGAGGUGUGGCAUGUAUGCUUUCUUACUUGUCUCUAAAUGUACGUCUGAUUUCCAAUGCAGGUUUAAGGGCGGCAUUUCUGUUCAAAAGCAUCUCAAGCUCAUAGUGGAUACUGGAAACAGUAUGGGUAAUGCAGUGCCUCCAGACUAUCCUUUAGCCAGUGGCAAAACCUUUCUGGAAGUGACGUCAAAAAUUAUUCUAAAACUUUUCAAGACGGUGUCACCAGAUGAUUUGAUCAGUGUUGGUUCAUUCAACAGUAGUGGGUACUACCAACUCGGUUCCCAGGUAAUACCACAACCAGGCGCCGAGGCCUUUCAGAAAGAAAUGUGCUGUGAACACGUGUAUGGCCGCACAAUUUUUCUUCUGUAUGUUCAAGCUUCAAAAUCCACAUGACUUUCAUGCUACGUAUACUCACUACACCUGGCUUGUCCAGCGCAGAUGAUCCAAAAUUGGUGGAAUUGGUUGUGUCUAGGUCCAAAUUUCAAACGCUUAUGAUGAAAGUGAAGAAUCGAACGAAUUGGCGGGGCUGGAGAACAUUGUGAAAACGAAUCUCAUACGAUCUUUGCCCGGCUCCCCCUCGAACCUCACUGCUGCAAUCUUGAGCGCAGUGCAAGCAUUUAAUGACACGCCUAGGGACACUUUGAAGGUAAGUGUCCCGGGGUGGUUCUGAUAUUGGCGUUACAAUAUGAUUUCUGGACCUGAUUAUUUGAGGCAUGAGACGAGAGUUGUGGUUUGCAAGCUUUUCUCUCGCUGGUCAGCUGCACUUGACUACAAAGUUAACAUAUAAUGCAGGUAAUUAUAAUCUUUACAGAUGGGCAGUUUGCAGCCCUGGAUGCAACCAUUUUCCCUUCAGCUCAACUGCUGGCGCUGCGUAUCAAGAUCUUCAUCUUCAAGUUGCCCCGGAACUCCGAUCUAGAUACUUUUUUGCGGAACACAACGCUUCCCGACGUCCUCUGCAGUGUGCAUGGCACCUUUGAAGUGCUGGAACCAUAUUCCACCAGUAACCCACUGUUGGCCAUUCGAAGCUUCUACACAUUCUUAGCAACCACACAUCUUGCUGUUGCCAAGAACCAAUCGACUUGGAGCAGUAUAUAUCCAAGCUUUUCUCAACGUUCCAACGGCACCACUGUUACAUAUCCAGGUUGGUGAUUGCGAUGACUAAAUUCCAGCUAAUCAAGGUAGUCCUGUAGAUGGAUUAAUUUGAUCUCAUCGAGUCCUUUGUCUUCGAAGGCUCAUGUUUAAAUGACCUGUCUAUUUGAUCUUGAUCAUGGUACUGUUGGAGACAAAUUGCCAAGACUUUAUUCGUCUGUCUUGGAGCACUAACACACGAACUUUUAUGGCUUCUGAACAGCAUUUGGAAGUGAUGGGCGGCUGAUCGGAGUGGCAGGCAUUGAUGUCUUCCCCGACCAACUCGAGGGCAGCUUAAGAGAUCUUGUGUACAAAGCUCUCGGAAGCCGGAGCGCCAAAGGGAAUUUGCCUGCGCCAUUCGAAAGCGUCAACUUAGUGUGCGAUUAUCAGGUGAACACCUCGGCACCUCGUCUACCACUCGUAACGCACACUGUUUUGGGCUGAAAUGUCGGCACAUAGUUCAGCGUGGAAUACAAUUUCCUAGAUUGUGACACACGGGGCCAUUGCAGACAGCGAUGAGGAGUGAGCAGCAGCCGUGCAACAAUGCAACCAGUGUUGCAAAUGGUGGGAUUUGUCAAGUAGAAGACACGGGGACGCCUUUGAAACAAAGAGUAUGUUGCAGUGGUUGCGGAGGAACAACCGAUGGGGUCAACAAUGGAAAACAUUGGGUGGUUGUGCUUGCUUCAGUCCUGGGAGUAGUGGGUGCUGUUGCAAUUGGAUUGGCUUUAUGUUGUUGCUGUGUUAGCUGCAAGACGGGUGAUGAACAAAACACCGACAUACCUAAAAAUCCCUUUGAUCAAAACUCCAGCUGGUAGAAAAUCAUGAAACCCUUCGAUCACCUCGCUGUUAAUGUCAAGUUGGAUCUCUUCCUGAUCGUUGUCAUUUUCAACUUUGAGUUUCCCGAAAAUGAACGAGAACCUAUUUGGGGUUCAACUUCUUAAAAACUUGGAUUCUGCUGCGCAUUGAAACUUGAAGUUGCAUGCCAAGCAAGAGAUUUGGGUAGGAAAUGAAAUGUGGUGUCAGGAGAAGACAAACCCCAGACGGUGUUCGUUUACACUCGAUGAAGCUUCGUGAAAUCUUCUGUAAGAUGGAGUGGUCUCUCAUUUUGUAUCAUGAACAUUCACGAGUAAGCUUGAGAUGUUUAACUUUUUUCACGGGAAUUGAAGUAAUUUUAGUCACUGACUUCAAGUCGAAGGGUAAGUAGUUCGGAGACAUUAAUUUUGAUAGUUGAUACAACCCAAUCAUCUUGUGUGGAUGCUCACGAGCGAGCCCCAGAAGAUUCAAUAUCUUGUCGGGAGGGUUUUAGGGCACACAGAUUCCGCUGGUUCAUCAUCUUUGGGAAAUGGGUUUUGUUUGCUUCUUGUUAACAAAAUGCCAAGUGGAACAGGAUCACAAUUGUGCGUCAAAAACCUUUCGACUUUGCACACGAACCUUGAAUCAAAUGAGCUUCAAGCCUUGAUGAAUUUGAUAGAGAAAUGUUGCAAAUUUUAACCAGCACUAGUUCAAGUCUGGGCCCCUUCAAUUUCUUGAGAAGGUGAUGUUUUCAUCGACUCACUCAAUGCACACGUCGUUGGAUUUCUCUACACUAAGAGGAAGAGGUAUGUUCGCAGCCGUAAUGGCCAUCUUCUAGCCAACAACAUAAUCAACACACGCAUGAAGACAUUGGCCAGCAUUUGGGUAUUUCAGAGGGGUAUUAAAUACGUGGGUCUCGAAGUCUGCAUGCGUUUUCAUGAACCAUAAGCCCGAUAAAUUUUCAUUCCACGCCAUAUCCCGUACGCCAAAAUUCUUUCGUUAAAACCAUUUCUAAACUGCUUGUUGAAACCAAAUCAAUAAAAUAAAUUCCACAAGUAGUUACACACCUUGUUGAAGACAUAUCUGCAACCGCAUGUUCCGCGCCAAGGAACAUCGAGAUUGCAGUUUAGUCACAACUAAGUCAACUUGUUGAAGAGUAGACAAGAAUAGAGGAGAACAGGGAAUUUGUAACCAGGCUCUAUACAACUCAAGCCUGAUCGGUUGGAUCGAUGGCUUGUACUUCACACACGUGUGCCUUCUCAGGUAGGAAACUCCUGCAAUUUCAUGACGUCUCUUGGUUCAUCAGAGGUCUAGGGAAACAUCUGCUCAAGAAAACCCUGAAUUAAAAAUCAUAAUUUUGUACAUCGGAGUAGACCUCCCAAAACUCACCACCGAAGAUCGUCACAGACAUCCCAAAAAACAGGAGUUAAAUUUGGGUUGCGAAUCGUCCAAUAUGACGAACUACAGAAGGAAAUGAUUGACACUGAAUGUGUACCAUGACUUCAUCUCUUGCGAUCCAAUUGACUGAUGGUGUAGAAUUUAGUCUCUGAGGUACGGAACUGAAUAAUUGCAGAAUAUUGGCAGAAAACUUCUAUCGCGUGGAUGAAUGCUAUAUUCAACGAGGCAAGGCCAGCGUGAAACACCAUUCAGCUCUACCCCGCGGCUGGCUUUCUAGUGCAUCUAUUCGCCAUUUGCUUGAGAAGUUAUGAUCCCUUCUGCUCAAAUUUGAAAUUUGGGUUGCUUUCCAACUGUGGGGGACUAUCAAAGCUGUUUUACCUCCUGCGAUUUCGAGCUGUAAGUGUAGGGAUCCUCAUGUGAAGUGUGUCAAAGAGUAGAAUUAAUGUUCCUUUUUCUGUGUUCGACAUUGAGGCGUUUUAAAAAAAAAUUGGUCUUGUGUGAGCUCUGUUGCGACUGAUUUUGCGUACAAGGUUUAUGCCUUGGGAUGCAGUGAUGAUGGAUUCCUCAUGUGGUAAUAAAAUGUUGACAAAUUAUUACUGUUUUGAAUGUUGUUCAGGGUUUUGCUCUGCGGCUAUUCAAUUUUGGCACUCUUGAUGAGGUGUUGCUAGCGUUGGCACACAGCGAGGCUGAGUGAGAAUCCAUAGCUAAAUCUUUAUUCGUUGUUUCGUGAUUUAGGGUUUGAAAGCUCCACAUCGCCAAGUUGCAUUCCUUACAACUACUAUAGCAAUUGAAUGGAAUCAGAUAACUUCGUCACACAUGCUUGAUUAGUUCAGGACCAUUACGCUCCGUUCAGACAAAUUCAAUUAACUAGACGCAACAGGAAACAUCACUGUGGUGCAAGAAGAGCUGGUUUAAGUUCAGCAUAUUAUCAAGAUUUCUGAUGUCAAUCAUCGCUAUGUAUGAGUAAUGAUCGUUGAGCAACGGAUUGGUUGUAAAGUACUUUGCAAUUCGGGCGAUUAGGUUGAGGGCUGAUUUUGGGGACGGGUUUUCAUGAACAUAGGAAGGAAUCGGGGGUUCCUCAUGUUGCGGCAGGGGUUGCUGUUUGUGAAGAGGUCGCUUGGAGGUGCUGCCGAAUGGAGGAUCUCAGAUGCAGUUGGUCAGAAGUAUCCGCGAUUUGCAUCUCCCUUGUCGAAUGUGGCAUCGGAUGCGGGGGAUAGUGAAGAAGAUCUUCGGGUUUUUAUUGUGGCAGGGGAGCCUUCUGGAGAUGUCAUUGGAAGUCGACUCAUGGGGUCCUUGCGCCGCUUGUCACCAAAGCCAUUGCGUUUUGCAGGAGUAGGCGGGUAAUGGUUCUUUGGCGUCCUGGUGUAUGCAUACUUUUCGCAUGCAGUUACGUUAAGAUAUAUUAUGUUCAAGAAUCCUACCAGGGAUUUUCCUUCUUUCUUCUUUUUCCAUUCUCGUAGUCUUUCUCGAUGAUUUCAUUUUGACAAGAGGUUUGGUAAUGGAAGCAGAGCUAAUAUGGAGAAAGAGGGGUUGGAUUCUGUGUUCAAGAUGGAAGACAUCACUGUCAUGGGCGCAGCUGAGCUCUUUCCUCACAUGUUUCGCAUAUGGGUACACCUUCUGCACUUAUCGAUUUCCAUUAGGUCUGAACCAUGUGAGCUGAGACGCAGCUAUUUGGUGCUCGCUUAAUAUUCUAGCCUACCCUUUGGACGCUGCUCACCAGAGUAUCUAAUAUUCUAGUGUGGAUUUAGUCCGUUAGUGCAACCAAUUUGCUUGUCGACGUGUUCAUCGACUUAUCAUGCAUGUUGUAUGUGCUGUGUCAUGGAUUAGCGGCGGCUCCGUCAGACUGUUGCAGAAGCUGUAGAUUUCGAGCCGCAUGUAGUUGUCACAGUGGACGCGAAAGGAUUCUCUUUUCGUGUGCUUCGAAGCCUGACAGGUAAUGGAUAUUCUAUGAUUCGGGGUUCGGACACUUCGAGAUUGGUACUGCUUGCAAGCAUUGUGCCUGUUGAAUUAUAGCAUUGUAAGAGACAUGUCUUAUACAUCAGUUUUUAUUCCAUGUUCGAACAACGAGAGAUUUCUUCCUCAUAUUCCUGUUCUUCUGCAUCAUGAAAUUAAUAAGGACCAGCGUGUGCCUUCUGUGGUGCAGCCAUAUACGAGAAAAAAAAAGAGCAGCCGCCCUUCUUGGUGCACUACGUAGCACCAUCAUACUGGGCAUGGAAAGGGGGUGAUGCGAGGUUGGAUAGUAUGAAAGAAUUUGUUGACCACCUUUUGUGUAUCUUGCCCUUCGAAGCUCCGAUGUGUAAAGCUCAUGGACUGGGAGCAACUUUUGUGGGACAUCCUGUACUGGAAGACGCCUACAUGAAUGUACCUGUAUGGGCCUUCUGGUACCUAAGCCCUCAUGCAUGAAUUCAUCCGAUUGCUAGUUCUAGUAAGGCUCCUUAAUUUCUAGUUCUUUUUCUUGCACAUCAUAUUUCUGUGUUGUUUUGUUUCAGCUCACGAAGUAAUUUUGAGGAUGAGUAAUGUCAUGUGCAGAGUGCAGAGCAUAGCGCACCAAGGAACUGGGAGAUUCAAGGAUUUGGGACCAAUUUUCGAGAAAAACACGGUGUGCAGUCUGGUAUGCUUUAUAUUUUCAACAAUGUUCUCUUAAUAGGCCUUAAAUAAAUGCCUGCCAGUUCUGGAGAAAUUUUGAGUUUAGUCAUUUCGAGUGUUCACUGAAGUAGAUCUAAUCAUUUGCAGGGACAAAAAUUAUUAGUGUGUUGCCUGGGAGUCGCGUUCAAGAAGUGAAGCGCAUGCUGCCACUGUUCAGAAUCGCCAUGCACCGUCUAGCUGAAGAUUAUCCGCAUAUCAAAGCUGUCGUACCAACUGCACAAAGUUCUGUUGUCACAAACAUGGUACAAGAAUCCGUAUCCAGAUGGGAAAUCCCUGCCAUAGUUGUUCCAGCUGCUUCAGAUCUCGAAAAAUAUGAUGCGUUUGCAGUAAGUUUCAAGCUCUCCUUUCAUAUUUUUGUCUGUGAAACCGACGGUGUAGUGGCUUAGACCUUCGUUUAAAUUACUUGCUGCAGCUGUUCAUUGUAAAUGUAAAUGUUUCGUGUGUUGUUUCAUUUAAGAACCCUAAACCUGGUGUUUCAAGAUUUAGGAGGACCUCAGAUUUUGCUUCCACAGGUUGUCUAGAUUGAUUUGAACUUCUGCUGUUUUACAAAGCUUAUCUGGUGUGUAUAUAAUCUUAUUUUAAUGUAUUUUCUUUCUUUGCAAGGCAAGCGAUGCAGGGUUGUGUACAUCGGGAACAGCGAGCAUGCAAUUGUUGUUAGCAAGGGUUCCAAGUGUGGUGGCGUACCGUGCCAAUCCAAUUACGGAGUGGCUGAUCAAAUCACGCACAAAGUUGGAGUACAUCUCGCUUCCUAACAUCUUAUUGAAUUCACCCGUAGUUCCGGAAGCUCUUUUUGGCGAAUGCACACCUGAGCGACUCGCUUCUCUUCUGAAGUAAGUGGAAUUUACCUCAACCUGGGACUUGGAGCCUAGAUUCACGCGUUUCUAAACUACACUCCUGAUUUUCAAAGUGCUUGUGCUUCUAGAUAACUUAAAGAACUCGUAGCUGUUGGAUUGUUGAGGUUGAGUAAACAAAACAAGAGUUUUGUUUCUGUACAGGCAAGUCCUUGAAGACCACCAGAUGCAGGAACUGCAGCGGACUUCGGCAGACCAGGUGCUGUCCAUGUUAUCUCCUCCAAGUAGCAGUUUGCUGCAUUCUAGUGGCGCAUUGCUUAUAGAAGAUGAACAUAGUGAGAAGCCAAGCAUGGCUGCUGCAGCAACUAUUUUAGAGUUUUUUGGUCUCAUGAAUAGCCCUAAGAAAUCACCCAUUUCGUACUGAGAAAUAGCCAUUUGAGUCACUUGAGUCGUUGUUCGGACUAAUUUGUGCAUCUCUUUGCCUGUUUGAGGAGCAAGAAUUUUUUGUGCCGACACCCCAUCAUGUUCCUUGUGCUGAGUUGCUUGUAGAUAAAUCUGCAAACCUCAAAUUUAUUCUGUACUGUGUGGAGCAGUGGAAGGCAUUUUCUUCAGUGCAGUAUUUGAAGAUUUGGGUCAAAGAGCUGGAGUGAUAUGAACAUUGGUUUGUCAGGAAAAUCGAUUAAUAAAAAUAAAUGUAUGACUUACAAUUAAAAAAUGUUACAAGAUGAGAUCAAAUAAUGUAGUGUUACAAGAAAUUGUUUGAACUCAGAAAUGUAAGAAAUCUUAGUAAAAUGGUAAUCUUUGAUAUCUUAUUGGUAAAAAGAAUGAGUUGUCUGUUUCCGAAUGAAAUCCAGAAAUCGAGAUGCGAAGGACACAUGGGGUGGUGGUGUAUUAUCAUCCAGAACCAAGUCCAAGUUGUCGACGUGUGAUAUCAAUCAAGGAUACCAUUUUGUGUCGAUUUCUGUGUGGUUGGUUCUGCGACGACGUCAACUUUUAUUUAUUAUAGUUCGACGCGGUUCCAGGGCUGUAUACAACGUGGUGCACGCGGCUACUUCGGGGCUGAUGCCAUGCAGUGAAUGUUUUCUCGCCUGGACUGGCCUCACCCUAACUUUCUUGCUUUCCGCUCGCUGAAAGCUGUGUGUCCUCUCUUCUCGUUUCCACGCAUCCUCACAUUCUGUGACAUUGCUCUCUUUGGCUAGAGCAGGUGAAACAGGCUUCUGUGCUCUCCGUGCUUCUCCAGAAAGUAGUUAGUUAUCUCUAAUCACACACCUCUAGUGCAAAAAUUCCCAAAAGAAGAUAGCUUCUUCAGACGAUCAACUAUGUGACAUCCAACAGCACCUGCUCCGCCAUGGUGCUUGAGCUGGUUGAUCGAGGAACGAAGCGGAGGAUGCACGACGAAGGCGAAGGUGCAAAAUGCGAAAGAGUGAUUGAAGAGCUUUUACGGCUCUAGGGGCAGUUGAAGCUGCACGAGAUUUAGGGCACCACCAUUCUUCCACAGAACAUGACCACUUCCACGACCAUUCUGUGAAGGAAUUACUGCUGUAUUUUCGUUAGUAUAGGAGAAGUCUCCUCAUUAUUGCCCUUUUCACACGGGACUUGCGGCUCAGUCACGGGACGCCGGCGAGUUUGCUGUUGACGACGGUCUCGCUCCGGAAGUCGAAUUUGAGCUCUGGAGUCGUUGUUUGUGUUGCAGAGGAGCGAGGGAGAUGACCACUGCACAUGUAGAGAUCAUCUCUUAACGAUGAGUGGGCUUAAUGUGUUAUUUCCGGUGCAAAAUAGCUUUUACUUGGUUGAGUUUCAAGGAGCAAUUAACGACAACCGCGUGUAGAAGAAACUAAGCACGGCGGAUGUUGUGGACAAGCGUUGCAUGGUUUAUUGUUCCUACGACACCCAUGGUUAUGCAGUAGCAGGUAACACAUGUGCUGACACAGCUUUGUGGGUUGUGGAAUAGAGUGAUGGUAUUUAUGUAUAUAGAGAUUUUUUUGAUGUGGAGUGUAAAAUAAGAAAACAUUUCUUUUACUUAAGAAAACACUUCUUUUACUUAAGAAAAUGAUUUUAAGAAUAGUUUAAUAGUAAUAAUAUUAUCUUGGUGUAAAUUAUAUGAGGUAAAUUAUAUGAUAGUUGUGUUUGUUAUCAUCAUUGAAGUCUUGAUUUGUUUAGAAUGUUGUAUUAAAAAGGAUAUGAACAUGUUGGCAUGGAAUUAACAUUGAGAGUGAUUUUAGAUUGGAAUUUUUUUAGUUUUUGGAAUUAGAAAUUUUUGAAGAAUAUUAACUUUGCCUAUCAAGGUUAGAUUCAAGAAGUGUAGGAUGUCAUUGAUUAGAAGUUUUUACUUAGUUAUAUCUUUUUUUCUUUACUUUGAAUUUUAUUCAUAUUUGCCAUUAUUUUUUAUUCUUUGUAUAGUUUCAAUGCCACUAUUAGUAAGCAUAGCUUUCUAAUGGUGUGUAAAUAAUCUUAAUUAUUUAAGAAUUAUUUGGUUUUUUAUUGGUCAAAUUGAUUUUAAAAGUGUAAUGGAGAGAAAUCAAGCUAAUUCUCGAAAUGAGGAAUUUGUGGAGAUGUAUGUUCAAGAUUAGAGUACUUUGGUUGUUAUAGUUUAUUGAUAUAUAUUACAUUUUUUUAAUUAAUAUAAAAAAAUUAGAUGAUAUGUCUUAGGAUAUAAUUUUUUUUUAACAAUUACAAUUUAUUGAGCUUUGUUACACAUGAACAUGACUAUUAAAUUGUGAAGUAUUUGUAGAAUAUUCAAUUUGCAAGAAUUUAUCUAUUCUAUGUGGA